AAAUAUUAAUUUUAUUUCCAAUUUGAAUAAGGAUAAUUUUGGGUUUAGUUAAUAAUUUUAAGGAUAUUUAUGGAAUUGUAUUAAAGGAUAAAAUUGAUUUUCAAAAUUAUAAUUUAAAAGUUACUCAUUUUCUGCUUUUCAAAAUUAACUGUAGAACAUGCUGAUUUUGACAAAAGUAAUUUUGGUUUUCUUUUACCAAACACUAAAAUUAGCUUUUGUAUUUCUAAAAUCACUUUUAAGUCUCCUAAAAGCAAUUCCAAAUAGACCCUUAGCCUUUAACAAUAUCCAAUUAUCAAUUAUAAAUUGGAUUGAACAAAUCAAACUUUGCUCAAAUCUUGGUGGAGGUUGAAGCAACGACGACAAUAUUAUUUUAUGACUUAAUAGUUUUCUUGGAUCAGAUCAAUACUUGUAUCCAAAGUUAAAGUUUGAGAUGAGGGAAGUAGAGUAAAAGUAGCCACAGAAACGAAGAAAGCCAUAACAAAAAGGUAAAAUUGAAAAAAAAAAAUUAAUGCCAAUUUGCUGUUAGGUAGUGUUUAUGUAUUUAAUAAGGGACGAUAAAAGCAAAUUAAAUGCCACUUCAUAUUGGAUUUACGAUUGUAGCAAUCUUAGAAUAAUUAAGAAGACCACUAUAUAUGCUCAUGUUCAUGAACAAUCAUUUAGCGAAUGGUAAUAUAUGUACUCAUGCAAUGGCAUACCAAGAAGAUUGAUGACUCACUUUUUGGCUUGGAAAGGCAAAGUUAAAGUCUUAAAAAAAGAACCCACUAUCUCCCUCUUCUCAUCAAAAGUGAAUCGUGAAUAUGUAAGCUACUUAAGUCAUGAUCCCUUUCAAGGGAAUAGAGUAGGGACCAUAAUUCAUUCCACGUAAAAGAGAGAGACAGAAAGCGAGCAAAUAAUGCCCAAAGUAAAGCAUUAAUUAAGCCUUAAUUAAUUGUAAAAUGAGAAGGACACAAUUAAUGUCCCCAUCAAAUUUGUGACCACUACUGAAUAAGAAGCUCCACCAAGAAGCUAAGACAAUAACUUAUAUGGUGAUCGUCCACUGUUAAUCAUUGAAUCAUAAUUGACAAAUGAGAUCGAGGAGGACACAACAGACAAAUGCUUGUUCAAAACUAUCUUCGAUAAAGGAAGUAUUCAAAUAUUCAAAAGAAAUUAAAGGCUUCCAGUCGGUUUGUCACUAGCUAUAUAUUAGUGUUGGCUGAAUGAAAGCAGAAAAGGAAAUAUUUUAUGAAGGAAAUUUGAUAAAAAAGUGAUCUUUGUUGUCUAAUAUUUUUCCCAUAUUCGAUGGCGAUCACAUUAAAAAAUGGAUCUCCCCACAGAUAUAGUCUACAUCGAGCAUAACCAAUUAGAUAGCUAGAGAUAGAGAUAUUUACAAACAAUUGUUUUGAUAUAUAACUGUUGGAGAAACAACUGAUAAGUAAGUCCAAUUAGGGUCCAACAAUAAUAUUAAAUAUGUGUUUUAAUAACAUUUUUAAUAUAGACCGUAGAAUUUUUUAUCUGUAAGGGCGGAGCUGUCUCAGGCUAACAGGGACUCUGGCUUCUAUAGACUCAAAAAUAAAUAAAUAAAUAAAUAUACAGUAUAAAUUUGAAAGUUUUGUUGCUUGACCAUAUAACUUUAAAAGUUUAGCACUUUAACCCAAAUCAUUAAAUACUCUUUUUUAUUUUUAAUCAUAAAAUAUUGACCUUUAUAACAUUUGGCCCUCGAAAUUUUUUUGUCGGCCUCUGCCGCUUCUUGUAUGUUGCUAUUUUAAUUUUCGCUUGCACAAUAUUUAUAAAUUCUUACAUUCACCAGACUGAACUAAUGAUUUUUUAAACCACGGAUUAACUAGUGAAAAAUUCGAUCCUCGAAACUUAAUUAAACCCAUCAAGUCAAAUGAUGAUUACUCCCUGCUGUUUUUUAUGAAUUGAUUGAGCAUUUAAUUUUGAAUGAUACACAUAAGAUACAAACCUCAUGUGCUGAUAAAAAGUGGUGCUUUAUUUCAUUUAGUUUUUAGAGAAAUCUGUAAAUAUUUGGCAAAUGCAACUUUCUUUGAAAAAUAUAUUUUUGAUUGGGUAGGGUUCUGUUACAUGCUUCCUCAAGGACCUCAACGGUACUCUCGACAGUCAUUUAUUAUUAUUAUUAUUAUUAUUAUUAUUUCACUUGUCGGAUUCAAAUUUGGGCAUUUUGAUUUGCCUCAAUACUAUCUUCUUGCAUCGUGGGCUGGAUAUCCAUAUUUGGGGUUAAAUUUAAGCCAUGAGUGGUGCAAUUAGUACAACUAUUUUCUCACAACCCCUUCUCUCAUGCAACCCAUUUAACAAUUUCAAAUGCUAACGUCUACUCUUAUAACACUACCUUCAAUACCCUGAACACCCUUGUUCGCUAUGAUUAUUAAAAAAAAAAAGUCUAUAUAAAGAAUUAGGGUCUAAUAAUCGACCUGAAUUUACAUCAGAAAAGUGAUGGGGUUUGAGAAACAAGAGGACAAUAAAUGUAAUUUUAGCAAAAUAAUCCAUUUUUAUACGCAGGAUAUGGUAUUAUCCAAGGAGGAGUGGAGAAACUUUGGCAAAAUAAUGAACCUCCAACUAGAAGCAGAAAUGAUAAUAUUUUUUUUUGUCGUGAGGAGGUUUUUUCUUUAUACAAAUUUCUUAUUCUAGAAUGCUUGAAACAGAAAAGUUUCAUGACUGCUUCAAUUGCAUGUAUUAGCAUUAAUGAAGCAUCAAAUCUAAAAAAGAAGAAGAAGAAGAAGCAGAAAUAACAUAGGAGAUGGCGAUUUAGAAAGCUUCUAAAGACAGAGAUGUGUUUAUAAAUAUUGAAAAUUAACUCAUCAAAUUUGGUUGAACAAUUUACAAUCUCACUGGAGGCCAUAAAAUAACGAUAAAGACUUAUGAACAAAAUAAUCAACUGUUUAUUAGUUAAGUUUUUUCUCUGUUAUUUUGAAUAUGGGUGCAGAGGAGAGAAGUUUUAUAUCCAAAUUACAACCCGGAUUGCCUGGCUGAAUGCAAGAGUUCCAUUAGAUUUUUUUUUAUUUUUUUAAAUUUUGAUGUAAUUUUGCUGUGUGGUUAAAAUUGUAAAAACAAAACUGGGGUUUUAAUAGGAUUGUUGAGGAGUGCCAAUAAUGCUACAUUUAAGUCAUUUCAUCCUAGUUGGGUUGCUAUGGCACUUGAUCUAUUGGUUUGGGCUUUGAGUUUCUUGAACUUCUUUUUGAAAUGGGAUAUUAUUAAUUUACUACUAAAGUUUUACUGACAUAUCAUGUCAGUACCAAGGUUUGCCGAAAAGUACAUUUUACUACCAAAGGUUUGCGCGGUUAUUAUUUUACUACUAAUUCGUUAAUAAAACGUUAGUGCUCAACGAAAAUAAUGUUAAAAGACGAUUCUGCCCCCAGGAACAUAAAAGACAAUUUUACCCUUUGAAAAGAAAGAAACAACAAAAGCAAAAAUUACAAGAAAUGCUCAAGAAAAUAGCCGUUAGAACCAAAAACAUCUAUUUUCUUGGCUUAUAAAAGCUAGAAUUUACAGGCUUACAAACAUAUUAGCAAACCAUUUCAUCAACACCAGUAGCCUCACAGUCAUAAUCAACACAGUAGCCUUAUAAACACACUAGCAAACCCAUUUGAAACACCCCAGCAACCUCACUUGAAUACUAACAACCCCAUCUCAGCAGCAACAAUCUUAUUUCAAACACACUAGCAACCUCACUUAAACACUAACACCCCUAUUUCAAACACACCGGUGGCCUCAUUUCAACCCUAACAACCCUAUAUCAACAGCAGCCUGAUACUAAAUACCUGCAAUUCUGAAACACACCAGCAAUCCCAUAGUAAACACCUGCAACCUCAGACUAAACACCAGUAAUCUCACACUAAAAGUACUAAAAUUUAAACACUUUUGUCAUACAAAAACAACAAGAAUAAGGCACAACAAAUACUUGAAUUCAUUGAAAACAUAAUAUCCACCUCUUUCCUAUCUUCAGUCAAAACCAAACAAUUUUCACCCUUCACACAUAUAAAUUCAAACAGAAAAAUGGCCUCCAGCAGCCAAAAAUUGAGGAUCUGCAUCAAUUGAUUCAUUGUCAGAGCUAGAUCCCCCAUCAUCCAUAACUCCUGCAUCCUUAGCUAUGUUUUGGUGAUUUAUACGACUACCAUCAGCAGCAAAUUCCUUCUUAAAAUCUGACAACCAAUCAUCAUCGUUGUUGUCAUCAACAUUCUGAUGAACAUUCUCAUUCCUAACAUCUAUGCCUUCACUCUUGGAAGGUGAUUCAUUUUCAUCAGCAUCAGCCUCACACCCAACAUUCUCAGCAAGGUUUGUUUGUGGCCCAUCAAUGCCUCCAAGCCUAGAUAAUGGUUCAUUUCCACUUUCAUUUACCCAUGCAACUUGCUCUGCAGAUAGCUGAACUCCUAAGGCAUGUAGUAGCGAUUGUAUCACCCCACCAAGUUCUAAAUCAGGACGUAGGGUUGGCAACACACUGACUUUAAAUAUUGGCACUUGUAAUGAGUCAUGUGCCGUGAACAUAAUUCGCAACAUUGCAUCAGUAUCUACAAUAACUUCCACAUUAUUCCUUGGGCUGGUGACAAGUAAUUGUACACUUUCAUGAGUGGUUUGUUAGCCUAUAUGGCUAUAAAUAUUGAUUUUGAUGAUAACAAACCACAUGUAUUUAUUAAGUAAAGAUGUAUGAAUUGUGCUUUUAUAAUAAGAAAAUGAUGUUAUGGAAUUAAAGCAUUUUGGACUAAAAUGAAAGUAAUUUUAAAAUCUUUGAUAGUAUUUUAAAUUUCGGAUUUGGACCUAUUUGAAAUUAUUUAAAUGUUUUUGGGCCAUUCUAUAAUUUCAUAAAGUUUGGGCGAAGUCAUAAUUUCAGAAAGUUGUGGGUUUGAGAAAGCAUUAUUUAAAAUUCUGAAAUUGGACCUAUUUGCAAACUUUUAUAACGUUUUGGGCCAUACUACAGUUUUAUAAAGUUUUGGGGUUAAAAUGUAAAUUUCGGGAAAUAUUUUACUGUAGCAAGCGGCUUACCGGAUACUGAUAAACGGCAGGCCGAAUUCGAGGCAGAAAGCACCAGAACGAAAACGGCUUACCGGAUUCCUGAAACCGGCAAGCCGGUUAGGCAAAAUUUUGAAUUUUGCCUUAACGGUAACAUAAAUCCGGCUUACCGGAUUCCAUUAAACGGCAAACCGGUUAGCCCAGAAUGUGAGUAACGGCUAGUUUUCGAGCUCAAGCUAUAAGAACUCAAAUCCAACUCAUUUUGAAGCUCUCCAACAAGCAAGAACAAAAAGCACACGUGAUAUCUUGAGCCUUCAACUUGUCAAACACAAAACAUUGAAUCAUUCAUUGUUCUUCAUCAUUGUAUAUCUACUCAUUGAGUGAGAUUUAUUGCAAUCUUCAUUUCUUCAUUUCAUUUGUAAGAAUUUGAGUGAGUGAAACACUUGAGUGGAGAGAUUGGGAGAUAAUCUCUUCAUUGUAAAGGUUUAUUGACACCUCGAAGUCAAUUGUAUUCGGUUGAAGCCUCGGAAAGGCUUGGUUAGUGAAAUCCUCGAGCUUGGAUCGCUUGGAGGCGUGGACGUAGGCGGGGAUUGCCGAACCACGUAAAAAUUCGUGUGUUUGUUUUUAUUCUUCCUUACUCUUUAAUUAUUGCGCUAUUAUUGAACUUAUUAUUUUCAAUUAUUGUUAAGACAUUAGAUUGCUUGUUGUGUGGAUUUGUUAGGAUAAAUUUUUAAAAUUCCAAUUCACCCCCCCUCUUGGGUUGCACACUUGUAUUUCAUGGUUAACCCGUCUUCACUUGUAAUCUUCACCACCUCAUUCUUCAGCUGCAGCAGACUGCAUUCAUCUGGUUCAAUCAACCAUUUACAAUGGUUCUUGCCUUUGUAGAUUAUAUGUAGUUGUAUUGGUAACAUGAUUUGCAAAAAGCAACCAGUGAACAAAAAUUGGUAACAUUAAUUCUAGUAAUAUGAACAUAACACAAUUCACAACUUAAUUAUAAAAAGCAAACAAUAACAUAAAUUCUUAUACUGGUAACAAGAUCCACAAUAAAUAAGGAAAAAUUCUCAAAGCUAGAUCUCCAACAAUAACAGAAUUAACAAAAAAUUAACAAAAUUAACAAAAUUAUAAUGUCAAUACCAUGGACAACGACAAAGAACACAUUAACAAAAAAUUAUGCUACAAAAUUAAUAUUAUAAUCUAUGAAAUUCAAGUAUUAUUCACAACAAAAAACAAUAACAAUUUAAUUAACGAAAAAAUUAAUGAACUAUAAGUGAAUAAAAAGGCAGAGUCAACAGCUCACUAGUGGAGUCGGUCGUCACUCAGUUGCCAAGGAGACAGAUCGGAGACGGAGGUUUCACAGUGGAGUCGACCGUCACUCAGCAGCAAUGAAGAGAGAUCGGAGACGGAGGUUUCAGAAUGAAAGAGGGGGUUUAGCUUAAAUAUUCUGUCAAAACGUUGUGUUUUACUUCAACUCAAAAUGUCUUUAAUGCCCUUAUAUCCGGAAAUGGCUUUUAUGCCCUUAUUACAUCAACAACACAUCAACAAUUUUUUAACGUUGUUAACGGAUUCGUAGUAAAAUGAUAAUUGCGCAAACCUUUGGUUGUAAAAUACACUUUUCGACAAAUCUUGGUACUGACAUAAUAUGUCAGUAAAACUUUAGUAGUAAAUUGAUAAUAUUUCUUUUGAAAUUAUCAUAGUAUAAUUUACUGAUAUUACAAUUAAGUGUCAAAUUUGGAUUCCUCUGUGAUGUUGUAAUUUUUUUUUAUAGUAUCAAUAACAUUUUAAUUAUGUACCAUUGGAUUUAAUUAAUGGUACACAAUAUUUGUAGUAAAGAAAAAAUAAAUCAUUUAAAAAUAAUGAUAAACAAUUUGUUAAUUGUGUAAGGGUGGAUAAUUUUGUAAACUAACUAUGACCACCCUUAGAGUUUGAAAUAAUUUCACUUAAAUAGUAUAUUUUAUUUAAACUUAUUUUGCAAUCUUCCUUUAAAUUUGAAAUGUGGUAAUCUUUUUUAAAUAAAUUUUCCAAAAUCUAUUACCAUUAAGUAUAAAAUAUAAUGGUAGGUUAUUUAACACAAAUCAAAUAAAUAAGUUGCAAUUGCAAAAUUUAUAUAUGAUAUAAUACUAAUAAAUAACACAACUAAGUACAUAUAUUUAAGUAAAUGUCAUAGUUACAUCAAUAAACUCAUUGGUGAGAUUGCUUGUAAUAUAAAAAAUACUUAAUCACACAUGUUUUAAUAAAAUUUAAUAUCUUAUAUUAAAAACUCAUUAUUUUAUAUAAUAUUAAGGCCGUUGUAUAAUUGAUCAUUAAGUAUAUAUUAUUUUUAACACUCAUUUAACAUACUUAUUCUCUAAACUUUAUGUCUAUCUUACAAUUAAUAUUCUUACGUGUUAGAAAUUUUAAGUUUUACAAGCCUAUAUAUUUUCAUUUUAUUUUCAAAUAUCACUUUGUUAAUUUCAUAAAAGUUAAAUAUAAUGUAUAUUCCUAAUGAGCUUUAGUUUAUGAAUCAUGAAAAAUUAUUUUAUUCACAUCUUUUGAUUGUGAUUAUAAAAUUUUAUGUUAUUAAGAGUCAUUACUUUUGUUAUGAUAGUUAAUAGUGACAAUAAAUAAAAUAUUGUCUCUAAUAAUAUUUACGUGGGAAAAAAUGUGAAAGAAAAUCUUUUAUAUUUUUAUAUAUGGUAGGAAAUUAUCUGAGCCUUAUAAAAUUGAACUUUUACAAGAUUGUUUUCAUUUUAUUUUCAAAUGUCACUUUGUUAAUUUUAUAAAAGUUAAAUCUAAUACAUAUUCCUAAUUAACUUUAGUUUAUGAAUCAUGAAAGAUUAUUUUAUUGUUAAUCUUUGAUAGUAAUUAUAAAAUUUUUAUGUUACGAAGAGUCAUUACUUUUAUCACGAUAAUUAAUAGUGACAAUUAAUAAAUAAAAUAUUACAUCAAAUUAUAUUUAAUGGACAAAAUGAGGAAAAAAUAUUGUAUGUUUUUAUAUUUUCAUUAUAAAGACAUGGUUUUGCAUACUUUAACUUAACAUUUUGAUACAAUAUUUGAGCCACUAAUAUCCCAUAGCCUAAUGGUUCAUAUUGAAAGUCAAAUCAAUAUUUCAUAAUGUUAUAUCCUCCACCAUUGAAUUGCAUGAAAUAAAUAAUUUAAUUUUUUUGUUAAAAAUUUAAAUAAAAAUAUUUCUCACUCUAUAGCUAUAUAGACAUAUAUAUUUUUCAAUAAUAAUUGGUGAAUAAAAUAUUUCUCAUUUGUUGUGACUCAUACAGUAUUAUUAAUAAAACACAUAUAAAAUAGUUUAUCGCAAUACCUUCUAUUAUCAUUAUUGUUUAGGUAUUAAUGGUUUGUAAUUAAAUUCAUACAAUACAAAUUAUUAUAAGACUUUGUGUUAAAUAACUACUUGAUAUUAUAUUUUAUACUUAAUGGUAAUUGAUUUUAGAAGAUUUAUUUAAAAAAUAUUAUUAUAUUACAAAUUUAAAGGAGGGUUAAAAAAUAAUUUUAAAUAAAAUAUAUUAUUUAAGUGAAAUUGUUUCAAACUCUAAAGGUGGUCACGGUUAGUUUACAAAAAUGCUCCAUCCACUUAAAGGGUUAACAAACUGUUUAUUUUUUUAAAAAUUAUUAUUUUUAGUAUAAAUAUUAUAUAUUGUUAAUUAAAUCUAAUGAUAUGUAAUUAAUACAUUAUUAAUGCCGUAAAAAAACAUAUGGCAUGAACCCGUGAAAUUUUGAAUAAAAAUUUGGAAAUGUAUUCACGUUACGGAACCUCAACAAAACGACGCGCUUCAUUUGGGAUUUGCUCAGCUUGGAAACGUUGUCGUUUGGCUCUAAAGCGUAAGCGACGGUUUGUACCCUUCCUUGCUGAAGCUUCACGAACUAGAGCAAAAUUAGUUAAUUUUUAAGCACAUCAAAUCCAGGUAUCAACCCUAAUCUCUCUCUCUCUCUCUUUUGCUUCUGCAUAUUCGUUUGCAGUUCGAUAUAUUUUUACUUUUAUUAACAUAAUUUAUCGUUUCAGGAAAUUAGUAAAUUAAGUGCCAUGUGAGAUUUAGAAUUUAUAUUCGCAUUUUGCUAUUAAAGCAAGCAAACGGAUAGCAAAUUCUUAAAUCAUAAUUUUACCCGCUUAUUUGGGGUUGAUUAUAUGCAUUUUGUUUACUUAAAUGUUACGUGUUUCUCUUAAGAGCGUUUCACUCUUAACAAAAUUUCCAAAUUGCUGAUGUUGUUUGUUCUGCUAAGUUAUUUAACUAAAUCAAGAUCAUAUUUUGAUUAUCAAAUGAUAAAAAAGUUGAGUGGAAGUUGUAAACUAAUUUGUGCUUAACUUGGAGAAUUUGGUAGAUAAAUAUUUGUUAUUUGAAAUUAAGUUAUUCUUCAGUGUUAGUGUGCCCUAUUCUGCACUGGGUGUAAUUCUUAAUUUUCUAUGUUGUAGAGGUGGUGAAUUUGAACCCUAGUUAAUUGUGCAAGGAAAUGUUAAGGGUGUUUUUGUGAUGGAUGCGAAGGCACUGGCGAAAUCCAAGAGAGCUCACUCUCAACAACAUAAGAACAAGUCACAUCCAAAUCAGAAAUUAAAAGCCCCAGUAGUUGCCUCUGACAAUGCUGGGAGCAAAGAAAAGCAACCGGGGAAGCAAGCUGGGGCGGGAACACGCGAGGCACGGCGUUUAUCUAAACUUCCGUCUAACUGGGAUCGCUAUGAAGAUGGAUCUGAUAUGGAUUCGGAAGAUACCACAAGUCAAGCCUCUGAUUUUGUUGUGCCAAAGAGUAAAGGGGCAGACUAUCGUCAUCUAAUUGCUGAGGCUCAAUCACAAUCUCUGUCACAGUCACAGUCACAUUCUUAUUCAGAUACCUUUCCUUUACUUGAUGAUGUUAUGCCCGGUAUGCACUAGCUUCUCGUUGGUUCUAAUUAGCCCUAUCUGUUUGUCUUCUUUAUGUAGUUCUGGCUGAUUAUUUGAGGUCGCCAUGUUGUAAGACGCUGCAUACUUGGUUGUCCUUAGUUGAUAUUGAUUGAUAUUGAUUAUAGAAAAAUAUUUGAGGAAUAUUUCUUUUGCUAUAUGUACAUCGCAGAUAAGAACUGGCCUGUGGUUCCAAAUUUCAAAUGUAGUUUUCUUCAUUAAAACUUUCAAAAAAUGAAUCUGAUGCUAGUGAGUCUGAAAUAGUUGAGAAUUUGUUGAAUUUGAUACUAGUUUUUGGAAUAUCGGAUUAUUGUUUUCCAAAACAUAUUCCAGAUGUGUUGUCUUUUCCUUUUCUUGGCUUUGUAAGUAGAAAACAACUUUUUGAAAUCUUACUGAAGGACACUAAUUUCCAUAUGAACUUCAAACUUGGUUGUUAUUUCUUUGGAAAAGAUGAGUGGAAGUUGGAUUUUAUAGGCACUUGUAAGGGAUUAAUGAAGAAAUGUAUUCUCCAGUGUUUUAAUUCUUCUCCUGAAACCACUGAAACUUGUUUGGAAUUAUGGUUGGUCUCCACUCACUCUCUUGUUUUCUUCCGCUUCUUUAAUACUCAUUGUUCAAAUCUCCUUCAAUCUCAAGUUUUGAUGUAAAUGGAGUUAAAAUACCAGAAAUUGCUUCCAUUACUUCGUAGAUCAACCAUUUUUUUUCCUAGCAUUUUUAUUUCAAGAUAUUUUGUUAAAUUUUAUAAUGUUAAAGGCUUGAUUUAAAAUUUUCCUGUUCGAAUCUGCCAGGAGGUUUUGCUCCAGGAAUGGGCCCUAUGCUGUCAGUCAGGGGGGAGGGCAUUUUGUCAUGGGUUGGGGAUGAUAACUUUGUCGUGGAGGAUAAGACAACUGCAUUUCAAGAGGUACCCCCCCCCCCCCCCCCCCAAUUAUCAGAUGGCAUACCUAUGUAUGAAUUCUUUAGGAUGUUUCUCUCUCUUAGUAUUUUUCUUGCUUUCGAGAAAAAGCUUCAAGGAUUCAUUUGUAUCAAUUAUGGCCAUGCAUGUAUCGAAUUGUUAUUUGGAGGAAAGUUAAAGUUUCUACUUAUGAUUAUAUACGGAGGUGCUCCCAAUUCAUGAAACCAGUAUGCAACUGUAUAUAUAUAGCCUUGCAGUAAGUUAGAAGUACAAUACGUCACUCUGUAGGCUACAUCUGAAGGGUUUUUGCCUUAAUCAUUUCAACUCUUGAAGAUUCUUGGUUUUGUGGAAAUUUUUAAUUGCAAUUGAGAAAGAUGUGAUUUGCAUGGAUUUGUUUUUACAGCAAUGCAAUGGUCAUUACUGUAUUGCAGUUUUACUUUAGCUGGAGGCAACCUUCAGAUUAUAUUCCAUUGAAGGGUUUGAAUUUUCCUGUACGUUUACAACUCACUUUUCUUCCCGCUUUGCCCCUCAAUAUCAUCCUCUUGGGAUGGUUAUCUAUGCAGGCAUCAUUUCUGUCUCUAAAUUUGAAUGCUCUUGCGGAACACCUUGCAAAAGUUGACUUAUCACAGAGGCUGUUUGUAGAAGCAGAUUUAUUGCCAUCAGAGUCGGUAAUUUAUGUUAAUACUUAUCAUUUAUUGCAUAGGAUCCAUGAGUGUUAUUUUAAGCUUCUGAUGUUUUAAUACUUUGGUGUAUAGGUUCUUUUUUCAAGUCUCUUACCCAUUUGUAAAGGUGAUUAAUACUGGAUGUUUUAUGGCUUAUGUGACAGGGCACGGAGGGAUCAAUAGCAAGCAGCAAUCAGGAACCAGGCCUGAUGCAAACAGAACAUGAAAGUGAAGCAGAUGUGGGUAUAUCCAGGGACAUAGAUAUAGCUUCUAAAGAUUUUCCUGAGGUUAAAAUUGCGGAUACUGAAUCUUUAUCAUGUUGCUCUGUCAGUUAUUGUGUAGAUGCAGUUUUAUUCACCUGUGACAUGGUUUAUGUGACAGGGCGAAGAGGAAGAGGAAUCAGUGGCACACAAAGUUAAAGCAGCUGCUAAUAUAUCUGAAGACAAAGCUUCCACUGAUUUCCGGGAGAAGGUUAAAAUUGUGGAUACAAAAUCUACAUCAGUUGUUGGCCACAAAAAUGUAGAUGCAAUAUUUUCUAAUCAGAGGUCUGCUUUAGUGAAUCAAACCAAAAAUGAUGUGACCUCCAGUCAAUAUGACAGAUUUGGACAAGACAAAGCACUUGAACCCCCGGCACAAUUCAAUGAAAAUUCUGUUUCAGUCUCGAAGAAUCUUCCGACAUUUGAGGCCACAGCAGCAGAAGCAGAACUAGAUAUGCUUCUUGAUUCAUUUAAUGAUACCGGGUUCUCUGAUUCCUCUAGCUCCAAAUUCAGCAACUCUUCUGUUUCCCAACAAACAUCUUCUACAGCUCCGCCACAGCUUUCAAGAAAGGGCCCAGAUUUAUCUAAAUCUGCAUCUGUCACUGCCAGUUUUGAUGAUGUACUUGAUGAUUUAUUAGAGGAAACAUCCAAUUUGGUGAACCCCAAUGGCUUGUCCCGGCCUCAUGAAGCUCAGUCUUCUUCUUCUUCUCAAUCUGUUACAAAGUCUAAAGUGUUGGAUGAUUUUGAUUCAUGGUUAGAUACGAUUUGAAUGUAUUCUUCAGUUCAAAUCCAAACUCAUAUAACCAAAUGCGUUGUGUUAAUAGCUGUUCAAUGAAAUUUUUUUAUGCUCUCUCAAUGGAAGUUGCACGGAUUCAUCGUUCAAAUUGAUGGGAGCUCUCCUAUCUUUCUUUUACCUUCACCAGGGUUAAAGGGUUUCAAUUUUCUUUUUCUUUUUCUUUUUUGUUUUGCAAUUUGAACUCAUUUCAAAACGGGCAAUAUAUAUUCACUUUUAUUCAGGACUGCACCAAGUAAAUGACCUGCCUGCCGUUUGCCUCGAGCAAAAUAAGUGGGCCAUCAAAGCCCAUUCUAUUUAUUAUUCUCACAAUUCGUCCCCCUAUAAACACUAAAGCCCUAAAACCCAUCGCGUUCUUUCUUUCGAAUUUCAUAAACCCUAAAACUAAACCCCCUUCUCAGGUACCUACUUGUGCUUCUAUUUUGACUCCCUCAUUUGCUUAUAUUUGCUUUGCUAUAUAUAGUGUUGUUCACAAUUGUUUAAUCUUCCAUAUUUUGUUCUUUAUCUGUUUAGUUUCUGAGAAACAUUUGGGUAAAUUCGAAGACAUCAACAAUUUUAUUAUAAAUUUCGUUUUAAUGCGGCUUUGACUCACCUGGGUUUUCGUUUUUACACAGCGAGAUCUGUGAAGUUUCCUUCUUUUUCUUUCUUGCCUUUAGUAGUAACAAGCUCAUUAUUUUUUUAAAUAAAGUUGUACGAUGAUGUUUUCUUAGAAAUUGUAUAAUUGAUUGUAUGUACUACGAAUUAGUUGAAAUUUACUGCACAGGAUUUAGUUUUUGAUGGGUAUUGGGGUUUUGUGGUGUUAUUUAUGAGUAAUUAUUUACUUCAAUGGAAAAUGCUGUUUGAGAGUUUGUUAUCAACUUUCAAGAAUGUUUCAAUACUUGUUGUAAAGUGCAUAUGACAUCUGUUUCUUUUGUUGAAUUAUUAGUUUAUAGCUUGCAGUUAAUUUCGGGAGACACAGAAAUAGUUUCUAUUAGAUGUUCCAAAUGAGGGUUGUAAGAGUGAAAUCUUGGUUUUUAAUUGCCAAGGUGUUAGUGUUUCUCAGGAGGGAACUCAAGUAUGUGUCUGAUAGAGAAGAGUUUGAAACAUAUUGAGAUGCUUGUACCCAAAUGUUUUAAACAAAUAUACUUGUUAAUAUGUUAUUUUCCACAGCCUAUGUUUUGUUUGUGAAUGUCUUCGGUGGAAUAAAAGUUGGUUAUAAAAAAAAAAGGCUACUUUCAGGACUUUAAAAUGGGCUUUCAGUUCUAGUAGGUUCCUUGUUUAAUAUGUUAGUUGUCACAUCACAGCAAAGUAGUAACAUUCAAAACUUUCCAUAGAUUCACUCCAAGCUAAUGGAGCCUUGUUGGGUGGAUUCAAUAUGUAUUUCUUAUUUACUUGUUAUAAAUAGUUCAAGGCUUUUGUGUAAUAGCUAAUUAAUUUUCUUCAUUUCCUGCUCUUUCAUACUGCUUUCUCAUGCAUAUGGUCUAUAUGUGAAUUGAUUUCUUUUUACCUUGUUGAACUAAGAGUCAAUAUAUGAUGUGCUUUAAGUAAUGUGAUCAUGUAAACAUAUGUUAACUGACUUGCCAUUUAGGAACAUGAACUUCAACAAUGUCAAAGUUCCCAAGGUGCCUGGUGGUGGUGCAGCUUCUGCCUUAAUUAAGGUAGGAAUUAUUGGUGGGAUUGGUUUGUAUGCUGCUGCUAACAGUCUCUACAAUGUUGAGGGAGGGCAUCGAGCCAUUAUGUUCAACCGUAUAACUGGUGUGAAGGACAAGGUUAUUACUUCACCUGAAAUUCCUGGUGUUUGUGGCUGACUUGGAUUUUCACUAUUAUGAAGAAUUUGGAUUUAUUUGCCUGUGUACAACUCUUUAUCCCUUCUUUAGUAUUGCAUCUAAAAUUUAUUUGUACACUAAUCCCUUGGUUUUGACAUAGUCUUAGCAUUGUGGUGAUUAUUUUUUGAGAAUGAGUCAUCCUUCUAAAAGGGUUUUCCUUUACUCAUGGGGAAUUAAAUUUUUUUGUGUCUAUAAUUUUUUUUUCGUCUGAUAAUUUGGAUCUUUAACUGAUGUUUGAUUGGAUCUUUGUUUUUUGAGGCUUUUUCUCAUGGCAUCAUGUCAUUGUGCUUACAAAAAUGGUUCAUCGGUGGUUCAACUAAAACUCUUAUCAUUUACUUCUUGGAAAAAAAAAUUGAAUAUUUCUGCAAUAAUAAAACCUCUUUUUCAAAUUCUCCAUUAAGUAUGUUGGUGAAAGUGUUUGUCAUGCAGACCAUCAUUAGAUUUGUUUUAUGCUCCAAUAUAUAUAUGUGUAUGUAUUCCCGCUUUGCCUUUCCUGGUUCAUGUUAUUUCAGAUUACUGGGCAUCAUCUUCUGUCUGAACAUUUUUUAAUGUUUUUGAACACUCAUACAGUUGCCCUUAAAAUACUAUCCUUAGCAUUAGAGUCAACUUCUCUGAAAAAAGUGAAGGAUACAUCAUCGUCAUGAUUUUCUUUGCUUUAAAUCAGCAUUGCCUUCUCUCUCUCUCUCUCUCUCUCUCUCUCUCAUAUAUUAUGUGCAUCAGUGAAUCUUUAUUCUUGUUGAUGCUGAUUUCUGAGAGGUUUCUUACUUUGUUCGGUAAUUUCUGCACUGUAACAGAUUCCAUUACGGUGAUUCAUGUUGAAUAUGCAGGUUUAUCCUGAGGGGACUCAUCUAAUGGUUCCAUGGUUUGAGAGACCUGUCAUCUAUGAUGUUCGCGCAAGACCCCACUUAGUGGAGAGUACUUCUGGUAGCCGUGAUCUUCAGAUGGUAAAUACUUUCUUCUUUAUUAUUCUUAUUGUUUGGGAGAUAAGAUAUGCUUGGUAUCUGCAGGAAAUGCAGUGAGACUAGUCUAAACUGCUCUCUGUUGCUAAUGUAAGAUUUUCCUUAAUAAAAACAGUGUUGCAAAGAUAAGGUUUUCCUUAAGGUAAACUGUGUUGAUAGGCAAAACACUUUCAGAAGGUUUUGUAGCACAGUUCGCUGGACUAUUUUUUGCUCUAUAUUUCACUUGCUACUCUAUAAAGAGUACUAUUAUUUGCUUUCCUUUUGGGUCUACUGGUUGGUGUUUCACGCAUCUUGUACCCAUCAUGCCAAAAUAAAACAAAACGGGUUUUAUUGUAGCUAUCAACCAAUGGCUAAUACAGUUCUGAAGCAUUCUAUAUUUACUUAUUGCACCACAUUGCUUCAUUUGGACUGCUGUUUGCCGCAAGUAUGUGUUGAAGAUAUAAUUUGCCUUUUUAAGUAUUACGAAUUGUGCAGGAAUUCCAAUGAAUUUGGAGGUUCAAAUUCAUCGUAAUAUUAAGUUGUUUGUAAGGUGGGUGUCUAUUGACCAUCUAUUUUGUAAAUCUUAAAAAGCUGGAAGUCUCAGGGUGAUGACAUUACUCUGAUGAAGAAUUUAUUAAUUCUUAACUGAAAUGACUGGUUCUACUCAUUUACAUGUGUAUCUGAUACUGCUACGUAGGUUAAGAUUGGGCUUCGGGUCCUCACUCGUCCUGUAGCAGACAAGUUGCCAACAGUUUAUCGAGCCCUUGGUGAGAAUUAUAAUGAAAGGGUUCUACCUUCCAUCAUUCAUGAAACUCUCAAGGCUGUGGUUGCACAGUACAAUGCCAGCCAGCUCAUUACUCAGCGUGAGGUGAGCAACUUGGCCUAUUUCUUUUUACCUGAUUGCAGUUUGUGUUGAAGUCCAUCGCUUGGUCAAUAUACACUCUUCUUCUUUUAGACUGUUAGUAGGGAAAUCCGGAAGAUUCUGACGGAGAGGGCAGCCAAUUUCAACAUUGCCCUAGAUGAUGUCUCUAUAACAAGCCUCACUUUUGGGAAGGAAUUUACAUCCGCCAUUGAAGCUAAACAGGUAGCUGCGCAAGAAGCAGAGAGGGCUAAAUAUAUUGUGGAAAAAGCUGAACAAGACAAGAGAAGUGCUAUCAUCCGAGCACAGGUGAGAAGGAAUACUCUUCCCAUGUUUGUCCGCUGUUUAGUUGGUGGUAUAUUUCAUCAUUAUUAUCUUCGGUACUUUGACUAUUUAGUAAUGAAUUUCAAGCAAUGAUAUUAUUCACCAAGGGGGGAAUUCUAUUUUUUAUUAUUUCUUUAGGCAGCAUAUCCAUUGGUUAAUAAUUGAUAAUACUUCUUUUCUCUCAAUCAGGGAGAAGCCACAAGUGCUCAGCUCAUUGGUCAAGCCAUUGCCAACAAUCCAGCAUUUAUCACACUGAGGAAGAUUGAAGCUGCAAGAGAAAUUGCUCAGACAAUUGCGCAUUCAGCCAACAAGGUCUUCUUGAAUUCGGAUGAUCUUUUGCUGAACCUUCAGGAGAUGAAGUUGGAGGGUGCAAAGAAAUAGGCAUAAAUUAACAGGCUGCGGAACUUUUGUUUUGUUUUGAUUCACACACAUUGUUCAAUUGUGGGAAUUUCUUAUCUUCAAUAACUGAGCGGUGCAUAAAAGUGAAGAUCCUUGUUUGUGCUCUGAGAUGGAUGGGCUUGGACAACCGAGUGUAAUUUUCCCAAAGAAUUGUUAAUUGGAGAGAACAACUUUGAACUGUUAAACCGCGCAGCAUAUCAUCACUUCUAGGGGCGGGUAAAAUUGGGUUUGGGUCAACCCGAUCGGGUUUCGGGUUGUUCCGGUUAGACAAGAAUUAAUCCGAACAUAACCCGAAUUAUUGACCCGACCCGAACCGACCCGAACAGUUUGGGUUAUGUUCGGGUUGGAUUUAAAACGGGUAGGAUUGAGUUCGGGUCAAAUCGGUUUAGUUCGGGUCUGUUGAAAUUGGGUCAAUUUGAGUCAAUUAGGGUCAAAUUCGGUUAAUGCAAUUUUGAGCUAUUUUUUUUUCUUAUUAUUGUAGUUUUUAUGAAAGUUUUAAGAUAUUUUUUUUAAUUGUAAUCAUUUUUACUAAUUUUCAACUGAAAAAAAAAAAGAAAAGAAAAUGUUAUUAAAUCAAAUGAAUAAAGUUAAAAUGCUAUAAUAAGAUUAUUUGCCUAUUGGUUUGGAGGGUAGAAUUAGAACUAUUAUUUGCUCAACCAACAAAAUCCAAAGUUUCAAACUUAAUAAAAGUUAAAAGUAAUACAAACUUACAAAGUCCAAAGCACAAUUUUUAAAUAUUAGUCUUUAAAAGUUUGCAACACAAACUCACAAAGUCACAAAAUUAAAUUGUUUAGAAACAUAAAUCACAAAGUUCAAAGUUCAAACAUAAAAAUUAAAUAAGCUUUCUUGGUUCCUCCACCUUGGUUCCUCCAUGGCUCCAUGCAAGCACUUUGACAAGUUCUAAAUUCAAAUUUUUGAACUCCAAGUUUAAGUGCCUAUUGCCUAGAGAAAGAUUGAGAAAAUGUACAAUAAAUAUUUUCUUUAAGCCACGUUCCAAAUGAACAAACUCAAUUCAUAUAAAAAAUUGAGCACAUAAACCAAAUUUAUAAGGUUACACAUCACACACAAACACAAAUAAAUAAAUCUAAUUCAUAUAUUUAAUUAAGCUAAAGGGGUGUUACAAUUUUUCUAAUUUCUAUUAUAUCAUUAUAAAUUUAUAAUUACAAAUAAAUAUAUAUGUUUACCAAAUUUUUCAAUACACACUUGAUUAUAUAUUUCUAUUAUAUCAUGCUUAUUUUAUGGCAUUCAUCACCGAAUCAAGUUAAUAAUAAUACUAGACAAUAAUAAUAUUCUAUCAACUUUAACUUGUCUAACUAAAACAAUUACAAAUUAGACUUAAAAUUUAAAACUAUAACAACUAUAAUUAUAGCUAAAAUUACAACCAAAUACUAAUAGUACUAUAAUAUCAAAUUAUGAAUAAUAAUAUAUAUUAAAAGUUACCUUUCAAACAUCCAUAACACCAAUGUCGGCGCUCAACGCUUCCACUGUCGAAGCUUGCGAUCUUGUAAGCUCUAUAAAAUCCAAAAAAAAAUUAAUAACUCAAGUACAUGACUGCAUGUAGAUGUUCUAUAUAAAGUUAUAAUGCAUUUUAAAUAUAUUAUGCAUUUAAUGGAUGAUAAAAAAUUAAAAACAUUACCUUCUUGUAAUUCCAUAUGAAACAUUUGCUCCUUGAUAUCUUCUUGGAGGUUGUAGACGGGAUUGACAAAAAGUUUAGACUGCAGCUAAUUUUCAGUGCAUAUCAUGCCUCAACCAUAGCCGGGGUUAAAGAACUCCUACACUCAUCAAUAAUACGACGCCUGGUGCUAAAGGCAGACUCAGAUGCCACUGUGGAGACAGGAACAUCAAGGACAUCUCUUGCAAUUUUCUCAAGAAUUGGAUACCUCAAUCCAUUCACCCUCCACCAAAGCAAAACAUUAAGUUUAAGAUUGUUGGGAACUUCAACUGGGUCCUUCAAGUACUUUUCCACCUCAGAUACUACUCUUCUACUCUCAUUCUGAACAGAGACCUUCCUGGCAUAUCCAAGGAAAGGACGAGAUUCUUGAAAAGCGUCAUCACAUUCACCACCAGCAACAUCCACCAAAUUAGCCUCAGUUGUAAAACGUUGAGAAGAACUUGUACCUCCAUAGCUGCCACUAAGACCACUUUCACCAUACAUCGAUGGUGUUGAACUAGCAAAGAAUGCACUAUAUGCAUCAUAAAACUCAUUCAAUAAGUCUUUCACUGCUUUGGUCAUUUGUUCAACCAUCAAACUAUCAUUGCCAAAAAUGAUCUCAAAAAUAUGUUUAGCAAAAUCCAUUUUCGCUCGUGGAUCAAGAAUAGAGGCAAUAAUCAGAAUUUUGUUUAUUUUUCCUGUGGACUCCCAAUACUUAUCAAAUUUUUCUCACAUACUAUAAGCCAUAGAGGACACCCAAGGAUUUGUACUUUCUUGCAAUGCAGUCAAUGAACUCUCAAUUAAGCUAAUAGUAUCACAACAAAGAUUAGAAAGUCACACUCAAAGAGGCAGAAAAUAAUAAUGUGGCAUUAUAAAAUACCUUCAAAAACUUCACAAUUCGUUCAGCACUCUCUCAAUCAUCCGGUCCAGGUGGGCCCACCCUUAUGACAUUAUUUUCUUUCUCAGCAAAGUAUGUCUCAUAAGGUUUAUCCACUUCUGCCAUUCUAUCAAAUGCCGCUUGAAAUUUCAGCGUAGUCAUCAACAUUAAAUAAGUGGAAUUCCAUCUAGUAGGACAAUCCAAAAUAACAAUUCCUUUUGGACAAUUCACCUGCUCAACACAUUGUUUAAAUAUCCGCAGCCUCAUACUGGAGGAUCUCACGUACUUCACUGCAUUUCGAAUAGCGGUAACACUAGCAUGCAACUCUCCCAAUCCUGAAACAACAAUUAAAUUCAAAAUAUGUGCACAACAAUGCACAUGCAUAUAUUGUCCCCGCCAACACAAGUGCAUCAUCAUUCCUCCAACUAAGCAACUGCAUAGUGACAUAACCAACAACAAUAUCAUUUGCAGUGGCAUUAUCAACAGUUAUUGCAAACAACCUCUCUAUCCCCCAAUCUUGUAGGCAAGCCACAAUCUUUUUACCUAUCGACUUCCCUCUAUGAUAUUUGAUUGCGCUAAAACUAAUAAUUCUCCUAUUCAAACACCAAUCACUAUCAAUAAAAUGAGCUGUAAUCACCAUGUAGCUCAUGUUUUGAACAGAAGUCUAUAAAUCAGUUGUAAGAGACACGCACUGCUUGUUGUUGCAAAUCAAACUCUUCAACAUUGCCUUUUCCUCCAAAAAUAACUCCAUAACAUCUCUACCAAUUGUUCUUCGAGAUGACAUAACAACUGAGGAAUAACUACACUGCAGAAAUGCCUAAAUCCUUUGUUGUCUACAAAAUUGAGCGGCAACUCAUCCAUAAUAAUCAUUUUAGUUACUACCUUUCGACACGCGUCUUGACUCCAUCCUUUACCCAAAAUCAAAUUAUUUGCAUUUUCUUCACCGCCCUCGGAUGUCAAAUUUUAUUGACUUCCACUUUGUUGUGCCCGAAAUGUUUUGUAUGAUUCACAUGUCUUUAUAUGCCUUGUCAUAUUUGUAAUCACAUCAAGCCUUGAAUGACAUUGAUAUUGCUUACCGCAAUAGUUGCACAUACAUUUGUUUGGAUUAUCUUCGAGUAAAGUGAAGUGAUUCCAUACUGCCGAUCUUUUCUUCAUUGGCGGUCUUUUCCGCUUCGCCUCUUCCUUUCCUCUAUGGGUUCCUUCCAUUUGUACACUUUGGUCUUCAUCGUCACUCAUCGAAUUCGAUCUUAAGUGUCCAAGCAUCUGAAUAUUCAAAAUAAUCAUUAAUAAUCAUUAAUUCAAAAAUCAAAACACAUAAAUAUUAUUAACAUAAUCCAUAAACAAAAAUUAGUAAUUUUAAUUCAAGUUGUUCAUGCUCCAUAAACAAAAAGUAAGAAAUGACUGAUUAAUUAAUUAAUUUAUAAUAUCCAAUUGUCCAUUCCCCAUAAUAAUAUGAUAUUAUUUGUCUAUCUAUAUCUUAUUUUUUAUUAUAAAUUAAAUCCUUUGAUUUAACAACUUAACGGAUGAUUAACAUACAAUAAAAUAUUAAUUGAAUUUAUUAAUUUUUUUAGGGUUGAAAGCUUGAAGCUACUGCACAAGUACACAUAAUUACAUAACACAUUAUAAUUAUAAAAUAUAUACAGCAUAAUACUUAAUUUUAAUAUUUAAUCUACCUAAUGUGCUAAUUUAUUCAUAAAAAAUCAAUUAUUAACUAUUAUUAACAAUUAACAAUUAAUAUUAUUUCAAUUAUUAAUAAUUAACAAAAUUUUUGUUAUUCGCUGGCUAACACCAUUUUCAUAUGUCCUUAAUGCUUGAUUGUUAUAGUCUAUUCGCUAAAGAGAGCAAACGAUAACAAAUUAAUAAUCAAUGAAAUAAAAACAAAACCCACCAAUCAACAAUUCCUUUUUAUAUAUGAAAAAAAAAUAUUUCUGAUGAGCUCAAUAAUUAACAAAAAUUCCUUGAUUUUAUUACUAAUAUUUAUAAAUACAUAAUUAGUUAAUUACAACAAUUAAAUAAUAACCAAUUACUGAAUUAUAUAAUAAACUAUUUAGCAUAUAUAAUUAAUUAAUUAUAUAGUGUAUAUAUACCGUGAAUUGAAAACUGAAAUGACUUGGGAAACUUGAAAAAAGUUUAAGCUUGAAACUUGAAAGUGGAAGGUGGAAACUGGAAAGCUUCAAAAUUGGGUUCGGGUGGAGAGGAUUCGGCCUUCAAGCAGCAGAUCGGUGGCCACGGCUCACGGUUGGACGGACGGGAUUUCACUUGGCAGCAGAUUGCGGCUUCACUUGGGAGUUGGCAGCAGCAGAUCGCGGAGAUGCGGACGGCUCACGGCUCACAGCUGGUCGCGAAUUCACUUGGCAGCAACAGAUCGUGAUUUCAGUAGUUGGCAGCAACAGAUCGCGUCUUGUGGUGGCUAGUUGCAGACUUGCGGGUUGCGGUUGCCUUGUUCAGUUGUUCAGUUGUUUGUGUUUGUUUAGUUGUUUGAACUUGUGAGUUGUGAUUUGUGGAGUUGUGGCUGACAGCGUGUGUGUGUGUGUUAGGUUUGCGAGUGAAUUGUUGAGACUUGAGUGACUGUGUGCAGCGUGUGUGUGUGCUGUGCAGCGUUUGUGUGUGCUGUGCAGCUUGUGACUUCUGUUCUGUUCUCUGUGUGUGCUGUGCAAGUGUGCAGCUUGUGACUUGUGUUGUGUGUGUGCAACAACGUAUGUGUGUGUGGCUGUGUGUUGUGCAGCUUGCGACGUGUGUGUGUGUGCUGUGCAGCAGCGUAUGCGUGUGUGGUUGUGUGUUGUGUGCAGUGUUGGGCUAUUAGCUUAGGUUUUUUUUUUUUUGGAAACCCGAUCGGGUAUUCGGAUCGAAUCAGAUCGGAUAAAAUGCCCACCCCUAAUCACUUCCCCACCUUCCCCCUCCUCCUCCUUUACACAAAUGAGACGACCAAAAUUAAUUGCAAACUAAUCUUUGUCUUGUAUCUUUACUCUUUUAUCAUUGCCUGUCUGAACUUGUAUCAUAUUCUUUAACAAUACCCAUUGCCUCUUUCUUGUUUGCAUGCGAUUGACCUUCAAAGCCGCCUGUCAUAUGGAGUUUAGUAGCAUCACUCUUCUAGAUGCCAAUAUUGGUUGCAUUUGACUGCCACUUGUUGGUCAAUCGCAAAUAUCUUCUCAACAACCGGUGAAUGGUAGCUUCACAAACACUAUUUGCACCACCACCACAGUCACGGUGAUUAGAAAAUGACUGUUUACUGUUUGGCUUGACUCGGUCACUGCUUUGCCCACUGUUUAUUUUCGACUUUCCAGUUUUCUUAUAUAUAUAUUUCACAAGCCAUUAAAGUCUAAUGAUUCUCGAGACUUUUUAGGCUGGUGCGAGUGCAAAGCUGGUUCCAGCCGAAUCAUAAUACCCUGUGAUCAUCAAACUAUUGAUAAUGGCUAUCCAAAAGCACUUUCUUAAUAGGAAAUCAAAGCGGGGCCCACUUCGUUGCAGAAAAAAUCUGGAAAAUAAAACAGUGAAUCUUGACAUUUGUUAGAAAAAAAAAAUCUAUCCUUUUCUCAAUGACACGUUAGUUGGGACAUUACAUGUGCAUCGUCAUCAUCUCGUUGCAUGAACUGUUGUUAAGAGAAGAAUCCAAUCAAACGCCAGCAGAUUAUCAUCAAACAUAUCUUUAAAAUUAAUUGAUUAUGCUGGGUGAUGCAAGGCGUUGACGUCAUCACCUUGGACUUUUCCACCUUCUCACGACCACCAGAUAAUCAAUAAUUAACAUGAUUUAGUAGUUUAUUUUUAUUUAAAUUUUUAAUUGCACUUGAAUUUUUUUAUUUAAAUAAUGAGAGAAUCACGAUUUUUUUUUUUGGGUUAAUUUUGUCCUGCCCCAACUGUUUCAAUAUUUUUCACCACGCACCCAUAUAUUUUAAAAAUAUUCAUUCUACACCCAAUUCCGUUAAUUUAACCGUUUAUUCUAACGGUCAAAGGAUAAAUUUAGAAAUUCAUAUCCUAAAUAUUAUUUGAUGAUGAUAAAUUAAAUUUAUUUGAUAAUUUAAUUGAUGAAAUUAUUAUUAAUUACCUUUAAAUAAAAUUUUUUAAUAUAAACAUUAAUUAUUAAAUUAAUAUUUUAUCUCAUUUUAUUUUUUUUAAAUUCAAGAUAAGGGGUAUUUCGGACAUUUAUUUAAAUUUCAAAUAGUUCUGUUAAACAUAACGGUCAAAUUAACGGAAUUGAGUAUGGAGUGAGUAUUUUCAAAAUACAUAGGUGCGUGGUGAAAAAUGUUAAAACAAUUGGGGGUAGGACAAAAUUAACCCUUUUUUUUUUUUUGUAAAAUCAUAUAUAUGGGGGAAUGGGAGGUGGUAGAAAUAAUUUUGGUCCCGCGGAGCAGAUGAUAACUCUAAAGGGUACUCGAAACACGUAGGGGAUGGCGGCCGUGUGAUGCCACGCCGUGCUACAAUCAUCAUGAAUCAUGACCGCGGAUGAUGCAUCUCAUGACGUGGCAGCCAAUGGCAGGUGAGUACUUUUAUUCUGUGCCACGUGGCGGGCCAGAUGUGUGACAUCAUGCACACAGUACCGACACGGUUCAUCGAUUGCGGCAUGCGUCGUUUGGUUGGCGCGAGCUUCGGGCACCGUCCUUGAGCGGCUUUUUGUCUUCGCUGUGGGGUACUGUGCGCUGCCACGUGGGCGCGCGAUUCAACAAACCAAACUGUGUUAAAUUACUUGAGAUAAUUAAGCCGAGAAGAAAGAGAAUAUAUUUUAAGAUUAUUGCGCAACCAAUCAUUAAAGUCUCCAAAUGGGCGUGUUUAUGGAUAACCAUUGUGUGAAUGCUUGUCUGAUUGAAGUUGAUGGUUGAAGGGUCUCCAAUAUAAAGGGUAGAAUUUGGAGAACUCGUAAUCAGAUUGAAAAUUAUAAUAUCUUAAAAAUAUUUUAAUUAAUUUGUAUUUUAAUUUAAUUUUAUUAUUUAUUUAGAGUUAUAUUAUUUAAGCAUAGCUUAUUUUAAAUGUAUUCCUUAUUUAGGUAUGAGUUUUUUUUUUGUUGUUGGAAAAUGUAGGUAUAAUUUUUGUUAAAAUAGAUUUUCUACUUAAGUUAGGACAUGUUGCAGUUAGUACAAAUAAAAUAUCCUUUACAGUUUUUAUAAGCAGGCUUUGAUAUGGAUGGCAACCGGGUGGAGUGGAGGUGGGGAGACCUAUCUUAUUUCCCACCUUAUUAAAAAAUUUACCUCUAUUUUCUAAUAAAUUUAGUGGGGUAGGGAUGGAGAAUCUCCACGUGGGGAAUAAUUUUCCCAUCUCCACCUCAUUUCCAAUUUAUUUAUUUUAUAGUAAAUAUAAAUACAUGAGUUCAAUAAAUUAAAAAUUAAAUACUUAAAUAGUUCAAUAAAUUAAAAAUUAAAUACUUAAAUAAAAUCAUUAUCAUAUUAUAAAGUAUUUAAAUUAUUUUAAAAAAAUCUCCAAAUGUUUGAAAUAAUAUCUUGAAACAAUAUCAAAAUGAAAAAUAUCUCCAUUUAUCUAUCAGCUUACAUUUUUUAUCCUUCCACUGCAUCAAUUUCAUUGCAGAGCUUUCUUCUAUAGAGCAUCACUAAGCAUGCUUUUAAAUUUCAAUUUUUAUUUCCAUACAAAUUUUAUUUUAUUUUACUAUUUUCUACUAAUAUGAAGUUUAGAGUUAGAAAAGUAAGAUAUCAGUUAUAAGCCCAAAAUUAUUUUUGAGAGGGUCAAAAGUAAUUUUGAAAAGUUAAAGUUAAUUUUAGUAUUUUAUUUUGCUAAAAACCAUGUCUUUUACGACAGAUUUUGAAAAGUAAGAGAGGAGUAUUUUUUUAAAAUUUAAUUUUGAAAAUCAAUUUUAUACUAAUAUAAUUUCAUAUAUAUUAUAAAAAUCCAAAAUUAUUCUUAUUUUUAGAAAAUGAAAUCAUUAAAUUUAAAGAGAUAAUAAUUAUUAUUACCAACUAGGUUAUUUUUUUUAUUGCACCAACUAGAUUGAGAUAACAAAAAAAUUAAUAGAAUAAAAAUAUGUAUUUUAUUUACUAAUUAUUUUAUUUACAGUAUUUACCACACACACAUGUGUAAAAAUAUGUAGAUAAAUUAUAUUUAAUAUUACGUCUAUUUAUAUUCUUAUAGUAGUUUAACAAUAAGAACUACUAAAUAACUCUGGCUACUUUUAAAAUUGAUAGUAUUUAAAAAAAAUAAAUCUUAUUACAAGUUAAAUUAAUUCUUUUUAUAGUUGAUUAUUUUUAUGGUACAACUAUGAAUUAUUUUAAAAUCUAUAAAAAUUGGCCCGUAAACUAAUUUUUUAUCAUUGUGUGAUAAUAGAAUUAAAAUGAUAUUUUCUGUUACGCCAAAAAAAAAAUGUAUUUUCUCUUUAGCAAAGUACAGAUUCAAGUGAUAGGUAACUACUACGUAGGUUGAAUGAAUGUUGAAUGCCCACAAUUACAACCACACAGGUCAAACAACUAUUUGAUAAUUGGAAUUUGAAUUCCGGACUAGCAUUUCGUCCGUGUGUCCCCAUGUCUAUUUCUUCUUGUAAUUUUUUAUUUUUUGUAUCUUUCUCUUUAUUUCAAUUUUCAUACACCGCGUCAUAGGGAUGGCAAUUUUUCCCGAUGGGAUGGGAUUCUGCGGGAUCUCAUCUCAUUUAAGACGGGAUUGAGAUAUAUUUUUGUCCCAUAAAAAAAUUUAGGGACAGGAUUGAGACAUUUUUUUUAUCCCAAUUACAUAUGCGGAAUGGGAGUGGGAUUGAUAAAUUCCGUCCCAUCCCGUCUCAUUACCGAUUAAGAAUGAAAAUUUUUUUAAUUGGGAUGGGAUUCCGCAAGAUCCCAUCUUUUUUGGGACGGGAUUAAGAUAUAUUUUUGUUCCAAAAAAAAUAUAAGAACGGGAUUGGAAUAUUUUUUCAUCCCAUUUGCAUAUACGGGAUGGGACUGGAAUUGGUAAAUCCCAUCCCAUCCCGUCCCAUUGCCAACCCUACCGCGUCAGCUUAUGCCUGCUAUUAAUUAAGACGCCAUACUCUUUUCUUUUUUUUUUUUUGCUGGUAAACGUCGCACAACACCUUCAAAUCAAACCAUUUCUAGACUUUCCGGAGAAAAUUUAAGCCGUUUCUUUGGCACCUAUUGGAUCAGAAAAGACCCAAUAACAUAAAAAAAAUAUCAAUUCAAUUCACCAUUGUCCAUGUACGUGUAUCAAACAUCAAAUAUAAUAUAUAACAACAUGAUAAUAAGAUAGCGUAAGAGAAAGUUGUGCACCGACUGUGGGACAAGAGCGUAGAGGUGACACAAUAAUAUUAAUAAAAUGAGCACAUAAUAUAUAUAUAUAUAUAUAUUGACACAAGUUAAACGUCACCAAGAAAUUACGAACGCGUAACCAAUUGCCUAACUGCCGUUGACGCAUGACUCUUUCAAAAUGCUCAACUCUUUUAUCAUCACCUCUCUCUCUCUCUCUCUCUUUAUAUAUCAUUCCUCCCCCCUACAUUAUUCUCGGUACCACUCACUACUUAAUUACCCUUUUAAUCUCUCUCUCUCUCUCUCUCUCUCUCUCUUUCUCUUUGUUUUUUCAAAUUUUAAUUAAAUUAUUCUGCAAAAUAAUUAAUAACCAUGCAGCAAGCUAUCCCCUACAAAUCGUGGCAACCCUUUGAUCCCCUGAGCCAUUCAUCGGUAUCGACGAGCAGCAAGAGGGCCGUACGAGGGCCUAGCAUUAAUACCACCGAUGUUGUCAGCAGCAUGGUGUCCGAGAAUGCGGUGAUCGUGUUCGCGAAGCGCGGGUGCUGCAUGAGCCACGUGGUGAAGCGUCUGCUCUUGGGGCUUGGUGCGAACCCUUGUGUUUACGAAGUUGAUGAAGGGGAUGACGAGGCUAGUGUUCUGGAUGCAUUGGAAAUGAUUGUUAAUAAUAAUAAUAAUAAUAAUGGUAGUCACGAUGAUCGUGAUCGCCAGAAGGUGCAGUUCCCAGCUGUGUUUAUUGGGGGGAAGUUGUUUGGCGGGUUGGACAGAAUCAUGGCUACCCAUAUCACAGGUGAACUGAUUCCCGUUUUGAAAGAAGCUAAGGCCUUGUGGCUCUGACGGAUCUUUUUCUUUUUCUUCUUCUUCUUCUUCUUUUUUGUCUUAUUUUGAAAAAUCUUUUCAAGUUGUAUUAUUGGAUUAUACAUAGGUUCUUUUUUAUUGACCUUGUUUAGGGGUGAUUAGGGAGACGGGGUUUAUUCUUUCAAGUUUCAGAACUGGGAAUUGAUGUGAUUUUGUAUUAGAGCUAGCAAAAGGAAUACAAAAUUACCAAGGGAUGGAUUUUAUUCUUGUUCAAUCUUUUUCCUUUCUUGUUGUUGAUUGGAGGAUCGAGUUCAAUAGUUUUCCUCAAUGGGAAUUUUAUCUUUUUUGACCGUUUGGUAAUUAUUAGCUGUUUCCAAUAAUUACGUUUUGUGAAUAUUUUUUUACUUUAUGCAGAGGAAAGAAGGAUUGAGAUUGAAAUACAAAUAAUGAAAUCAUCACCAUUCAAAUUAAUUUUAAAGAAGGUAAAAAAAAAAAAAAAAAAAAGAAAAAGAAAACAUCAAAAGUGAAAAUUAGAAUUGAGUGAAAGGGUCGGAAUCAGAAAAAGAAAAUACUCUUUCCAUCACAUGGAGGUUAGUUAUGUUUGUCUGUCCCAUAUGACAAGCUAAUGUACCUAACUGACUUGAUUUGUAAGCACAUCACAUGUUGGGCAAAUGUUUCCUUUUUCCUUUCACUAGAAAUUAAAUUUUUUUUGUUAUGUACCAUAGAGCAGGACAUAGGGCAAAAGCACCUCUUCGUUCUUACUUUCUGCAACGCAAGCAACAUUAUAGUCCAGAAAAUUAUUAAGCGCGCACCACCACCACCUCCAAUCCUCCAUAUAUCGCAACUGAAAAUGUAAAAAUAUUAUAAAUAAUUGAACUAAUUUCAAAUAAUUAUUUCUAAUUAUUAUCAUUAUUUGUGAAAUCCUUCUCUAAGAAAUUACAUUAUUUCUAUUAACACCCACUUGAGAGCAGCAGACUGCACUCGGCUCAGGAACAGUUUCCAAGAAAAAGGGCCGAAAAGGCCCAAAACUGGUCCAAUAUAUUAUACUUGAAAAAUGACAUUUUCUAUUUUGAGUGGAGCCUUUAACAACCCUCUACAAUCUUUAUAAUACCUCUUCUGAAUUUUAUUUUCUGAAAUACUCCCAGUUUUAAUUUAUAAAACACAUAAUUAUAUAUAUUUAAAAAAUAAAAGUUAACCAUCUUCCUAUAAAUUUUUACUCCAAAAAGGAUACGUCUUUUAAGGUUUCAUUAUAAAAUACAAACAAAUUCUAAAAUUUUUAAUUAUUUUCAUCUUUUUAUAUUAUCUGUAUCGCAAUAACUCAAAAAUCUUAUAAUUUUCUUUGAGAAAAUAUUUUCUAAUUAAAUGUGAAAAUAUAAAUAUAAAUUAUAAAAUGUGGUGGGUGUAAAAAUUUUGUUAAAAGAAUAUUUUAUUUUUGAAAAUAAAAAAUAAUUAAUUUGUCUUUGGUUAGUUAGGUAAUUUUAAUAAGAAAGAUAUUUUACGAGGAAUUUCGAGGAGCGUAGCGAAGGCCUACUCUUCUGUUUGAUAUUUUGGUCAGAUGAUAUGUAGUCAUAGACCUUUCGAGCAGCGGCGGAACGAUACUAGCGCUCUGGGGUUGCUUCCAACUCUUUGAAAACUUUUUAAAAGUAAAAGUUUUUAAGGUAACCCCAACUUGUUUUUUGAAAAUUUGUGAAAAGUAGCGUAAAAAUUAAGAAGUUUUCAAAGUAAUCCGAAACUUAUUUUUUUAAAAUUUUUGAAAGAUGCAGUAAAAAGAUAAAAAGUGCAAAAAAAUUUAAAAAGGCGGGCGAAGUUUUUUGUUUCUUUUCUCUCCCAAAUUUAUAAUUUAUAACAUGAACUUCAGAUUUUACGUUACGAUUUACCCGUUAAUAAAAAUCCAAAUUUGCUAUAAAUAUAUAUAUAUUCAUGAACCACCUAAUUAAACUAGAAUUUUAAUUAUGCGCUUUUGAGUAAUUUACUUUCAGUUGUAAUUAUUUUGGUAUUACUAAAUUGGGGAAACCUGUGGUGCAACUGUGGUACAGUGCUACAGUUGCAUCCAACCGUUGGAUGUCAGUGGACCCCACCAAUCUAAGUGCAUCCAACGACUGGAUACAAUUAUGAUACGGUACUACAGUUGCACCGUAACCUGAUCUACUAAAUCGGUAUGUUUCAUUUUUUUCUCUCAUAUAUGUUGACAUUAAACAUACAGUCAGAUCGUAUUUAUCAAAAUCUAUAUUACCGUGAGAUCAAAAUUGCGAAAGAAGCAGCAGGGAUUUGUUCCCUAAUUAGUUCCCAAAACGUCGAGUCCACGUAUGCAUUAAAAACAAUAUUUUGACGAGGGGCUCUGGCUUAGUGGCUGUCAUAUUCCGAAAUUAUAACUACAAUGAAUUCGUUGUAAUUAUUUUGCACGUUAACCACUCAGAUAUUUGAAGAGCCGGGCUUAAGGUGAGAUUUGAUCAAGCUCGAUUCUAACAACACGUUUAGUUUCAAACAAGUUGAAUUAUUUUAUUUGAGUCUUUUCUUUCUUAUCAUUUUGGCUGUCACCUUCAAUACUGCUCCUAAGCUGUAAGAAAUAUUUUAAUAUGAUCCAACAAUUUGGAAUAUGUUUAUUUGGCCCAAUUUUAAACUAACUUACGAUACUAAACUCAAUUGAAAAUUCACCGAAAUUUGAUUUGCCAAUUGGUUUAUGGACAAGGAUCAUCAUCUUAAUUUUUUUUUUCCUUCUCCUAAUCUUUUUUAAUUUAAUAAAUGGUUGAUCUUGAAUUUUAAAUUUUGAUAUUAACGAUCAAUUUUUUUUUACUUUAUUUACAAUUAAGCUAAUUUUUUCACUAAAUUUUAAAAAAAUUAAGAGAAACAAGGAGAGAGAAAAACUAAGGAAAAAAAAAAUCUUACUCCUUUAAAUAUAUGAUACAAGGAAUUAUUAGAGUACAAUAUGAGCAUUUGCUUAGCUUUAGCUAUAAAGAAUAUAAUAGAAAAUGUUUCGAUAGUUGAUAGAAAAAAAAAAGAGACAUAUAUUAGUAAUAAAUUAAAAUCAUAAAUACACCUCAACUUUAUAUACACAAGCACGUAUAAUGCGAAUGAUGGGCAUAUGAGUUGGUCUUGUUGCUGGACAUGGAAAAUCAUAACGGUUCGAGUAUUCGAGUAUAACAUGCGAUCCACUCUUCAUAAAUCUGCUUAUAAAUUAAUAAAAUUGUAACUUAAAUUCUAUAAUUCAUUAAUGGGUUUGGUUUAUCUACGAACUAGAAUUGAAUCGUAUUCAUACUUUAAGAGAAAUAAGCUAAGGCAUGAUAAAUUAAUCAUACAGCGCAAAAGAAAACAAAAAUGAAAUAGAAAAGAGAAAUACAAAUAAUAACAUGAAUUGAUAGAUACAUAUGGUAACUUGAGAGAGCUCAUCAUGCCUUUAAAAAAAUAAAAAAAAAGGAAAAAUAAUAAAAUAACGAAUAAAAACAGAAAAAGAAAGUAAUGGCAACACUAUCUUCACUUAAUGGUUAAGAAAGAACCCCCAUGCAAAGCAACGCAAGCCCAGCGACAAACCCUAAUCCUGCAUUCAAUCUCCCACCGGCGCCAGUUUUAUCAUCGGCAGGAGCAGGCUCACUGGCUGCCGGCACCUUCUUGUUGGAACCCUCCGUUGGUUUCUUCCCCUCCGGCGCAGGAGCAGCCGACGGAGAUUUAGCUGCCGACAGCUCCUCAGGCAGCAAAACCUUGUCCACUUGGUAUACUGCGAGUGGAAAAUUUUGCCUUAAGACACUGUUAAUGGGAGUCUCAACAACCCCAGAUGACACAUUCACUUGGUUACCCUGUCCGGUGAAGUUUAGGCCCCAGACGUCUUGUCCUGAAGCCAGAGUCCUGACGGGGUUGCUGACUAAUAAAAGAUCGCUCUGCCUGUAGAAUUUAGAGGUUACAUGGUACAAAACAAGCUGCACUUGCUUCUGGUUGUCGAGGUUGUUUAGGAGACCCUUUUCGAGGUUGUUGAAAGCGUUGUCGGUGGGGGCAAAGACUGUCAUGCCUUCGGAGGAGCUGUUGAUUUGGCUUUGGAUUUGGUUUGCUACUUGUGUGGAGAUUAGGAGCUUGAUGAAUGUCGUGAAUUGGCCAUUCUUGUCGAGAAUUCCCGUCAGAUUUACGGGGCCAGCGGGGGCCGGGGCCGGGGCUUGGGCUUGGAUUUGGGGAAGGACAAGGAGGAGGACGAGGGGGGCUAAUGUUAAGAGAAUGUGAGAGGCUGAGGCAGCUGCCAUUGUUGAUUGAUGUGGUGGUGAUGAUGUGCGGUGAAAGCUAAGGGGAUUUAUGGGAUAAGAUGUGGGGGUAGGACUUUGUUGGAAUGAGCUGGCUAUGGUAAUGUAGUUAGAAACUUGAGUCAAGAAAAACAACUUAAAAAUUGGUAUGUUUAUUUUAUAUUAAGAUUGAAAAAAAAAAAAGGUUCAAUUGGGAGAAUAGCCUUUGUAUAAUUCAUGCAUAUAGCUAAUGUGUAUGAGUUCACUCGAGAAAUUAAUUAAUGAAAUUUAAAGACUUUCUGUGGUUUUGCCAAAUGCCUGAUAUUUUAAUGGUAGUUGGGUUUAUUUAUUAAUUUGAUUGGGGUAUCGGAUGGACCGUAUGGCAGCUAGCUGGCCUCUCUCAUCUGGCAAUAAAAAAUGAAAAACUGGAAUAAGUCAACAUUAUUAAUUUUAACCAAUCUAUUGGCCAUUAAUUUUUAUAGUACGCUAGGAGUUGUUAUUGUUUUCUUUUUUAUUUAUUGAUUCUAUAAUUUCAAUCUAUAAAUUGAAAAAGAAACCUUGUUUCGCAAUAGAAAAAUAUAUGAAAUGUUUUCAUCAAACAAAUAAUAUUAUCAAGUGAAAAAAAAAGUAUUAUAUAUCAAAACAAUAUUUCCAAACACCUCUAAAUUAACUGCUAAUUUCUUGAAAGACAACCCCAAUUGGAGCAGAUGGUGUAUAAGAGAGGCUCAAUAAUAUUAUUGUUUCAAUAAUUAAGUUAUUUAACCAAUGCAAUGUGAGGGAGGUUUGAGCUAAGAUUGAUCAAAGCUAACCCACUCAUCUCUGAUUAUUUAAAUUCAGUUUCUGGUGACAAACAGAAAGAAUACAAGCGUAUAUCCUCAAUUUGGCAGCCUGGCAUUGGCAGGGCAUGUGGGAAUACGAUGCCACCAGCAACUGCUCAGCAUGUUUACAAGCAAUGAUUGAUGUGCAGGAAUAUUUAUAAAAGAGUGUAUAUAUUAUAAUUGUGUUUAUGGAUAAUGUUUUUGUUGGUCCCAUUGUCAAUUUACAACCUCCCCCAAUACAAUAAACAAAAAAUUUAAUUACCAUCUAAUUAGUUUAGAAGAAUUACUUUAAUUGGUCAAUUAAUACUUCAACAAGUUACUUUAAUUUUAACUUCUAAUUGGAACAAAUGAACAACUUUUGAGACCACAGCUAGCAUAACAAUUGACAUUAUACAUAGCAAGUGACCCAAAAAAAAAGACUAAACAGCAAUUAAUUAAUUAGUGACUCAAAACAAUCGUAUUGAAUAUUCAUUAUUAGCUUGAUAAGGCGUUAACUGUUGAAGUGUCCCUUACUGCAUUCAUAUCUGUUAUUUCUGGCAAUACGAGACAAGCACAUCAACGGCGGAGCUAAAUUUCUUGUUGUCACGAUGAAGAAGACUAAUUAACGGCCGGAUAAGAUUAGUUUGCUGGCCUGUCAUAUUCCAUUGGAUACAGAAGAAAAAUGGUCAGUGCUAACAACCCUUUGCUUGUAUAGAAUUAAGAAAUUGUUAUUAGUGACAAUUUGGAACCAACCUCGCGUGCAUUCUUAUAUUCCGCCCCAUUUUAAAUUUAAGCAAAUCAAAUUUACCAUGAUUUAUAAUAAUCACGUACUUACAUUCUAAUUCCUAUACAUGAACGGCUGCAAAGUCUGGGAAUAUGCCUCAGUAAUUCAUCUUCGUUAAUUUUAUACUUGACAGGCUAAUUUGAAAGGCCUCUAGCUAAAUUCUUCUGGGUAGCAUGCAUAUAUGCGUACAACACUCAGAGAUGGACACAGCCAACUUGUUUAGUGGGGCUCAAAACUCAAAGGGAUGGAAAAUUAAACAAUCAUUGGAUAUUGGGAACUUUCUUUCAAAAUGAAAAAUAGGGAUGGCUUUUAACAUAUUUGACAAUUCUUACAAUACUGAGAGGUGGUAUUUAUAAGUUAAUAAUAUCGAUAAUAUAAAGGCCGGGGCUAGCUGUGCAAUCAAAGAAAAAGUAUAUGUAAAUUUCAACUGUCGAAAACAAGCUAUAACAAAACUAACAGGCCUCAUUUAUUCCAACACUGGGUCAAUCAAAUCAUGCCAAAAAUGUAUGCUAGGUGGCAAAUAUAUGAAGCAUGUGAUUUGCAUUCAUGACACAUUUAGAGCGGAAAAAAGCCCAAGCAAAAGAAAUACAAUAUAAUGAAUCAUACAGUAGCGCUGGACGUGCUUCGAAAUUUUCUUGUAAAAAACUUUUGUCAGUAAAAAUUUAAUGGAAAAAAAGUACAGUGUACAUGCGUCUAAUUUCACUGCAGAAGUCCUUUUUCUGAUCAGAUUGCUCUCCUCCUCGUAAGCUUUCCACUUAAUAGUCAAUUCGAUAGUUUGUUAAUACGACGCAUGGCGAUACCCUAUACCAUCUUCUCAAAUGUUGAUGUAGGUAAAAUUUUAAAAAACAUAUCUAUAAAAUUUUUUAUGCAACAUAUGUAUCUGUUUUUUAUAAAUCUUUUUAUUUUGUUGGAACUCGAGGACAUAGAAAAACUUCAGUAAAAUGUGUUUUGUUCUAUCUCAUUUAAAUAUCUUCCUUUUCUUUGAGUUAUGCAAGCAAUAUUAUCUUCAGAUAUCAGAUAAGUGGCUCCGCCCAUGAAUAAAUUCAAGGCUUUUCAAUAAUAUUGGAGCAUAUAUUUAAACAACGCUAUAUGAGAUUUAAUAGAUAGAGUUUUAAAAAACUUCUAAGUAGUAAUAAGUAAAGAUGGGUAAAUUGGGUUUCAAUUCUAAUUAUUCGGGUUUCAAUUUGGAUUACAACCCCAUUAGGACGAAGACUUGAAAACGCAAACUCAGUGACACAGUGAGUUUGUGAUUGUGGGAGUAAGUGAGCCGUGAUUGUGAGAUGAGUGAGCAGUGUCAGCAACCGGGGGGGGGGGGGGGUUGUGGGCUGCAACAGUGCGGCUGGGGGGUUGACUGUGCCAUUGUUGGUUGGGGUUAGGCUACAUAUAUAUAUAUAUACUGAAAUUAUGAUCAAUCAAAUGGUAAUUUUCAACCCAUUCGAUAGAGGUGGCUAAACGAAUCGAAUUCGAAUCGAAUCGUAUAUGAAUUGGGUCAAAAUUAUAUUGAUUUGGAUUCGAUUCAUUAUUAAAUGAAUUGAAAUCUCAGAAUUCGGAUUCGAUUCAUUUAUUAAACGAAUAUUCGGUUCUAUUCAUUUAAUUUGUUUAGUAGAAUUAAUAAACGAAUCGAAUCAAAUCUACAUUCAUUUAUUAUUCAUUUAUCCUAUUACAAAUCCAUAAUAAAUCAAAUGGAAUUAGGAUUUGUUUACAAUUCGUUUAGAAAAAUAUGAUUAAUAAACAAAAUUAAGUAAAAUAAAAUAUAAAAAAGCCCCAAAUUUAAUAUCCUACAACAAAAUACAAAUAACCCAAACCAUAUUUUAGGAUUAAAUAUACAUUCAUCCAAAUUACAAUAUUAACCUUCAAAUUUUAAAAAUUUUCAAACUAAUUUAAGGACAAAAAAAUAAUUUAAUUAAACGAAUAAUAAACAAAUUUUAAAUGAAUUGACUUGUAUUCGAUUCGUUUAUGACCCGUUUAUUAAACGAAUUCUAAAUGAAUAAAUGAAUCAAUAUCUUCAAACACUUAGCGAAUUAAAUCAAAUUCACCCAUUUAUUAAACGAAUUAAUUUUUUCAAUUAUAAACAAAUUUAAUUUGCAUCGAAUCGAAUCGAAUCGAGUAAACGAAUCCUGACCUAUAUUGCCAUCCCUACCAUUUGAAUUUUAUAGGUUAACCCGAACUAAACGCCCACCUAUAGUAAUAAGAUCCCAUAGCCAUUUUGGUCGACCAAAUUAAAACAACUACACAAGAAAAGUUCCUUUAAUCACGAAGUUGUUUUUGCUGCUCUUCACAUUAUAGUUUACUCCGUCCCCUUGAUUGACACACCUUUUCCUUUCGCCCAUAGAAAUAAUAUCCUAAAUUAAAAGACCAAAACCAAACCAAGUUGUCUGCGGAAAAAUAUUGUUUAGCUAUUGUAACACUACAUUUGAGUUUGAGGACUGUUAAAUAUUUAAUAAAUAAAACCAAUGGAUUCAUAAUUCAUUCGCCUUUGCCAGUUUGCCUCACAGUUGGAUUUCUUUGUACAACUUUCAGCCUCGAAUCUUGUUUCGGGUAAGUCAAGUAAGGACCAGUUAGUCAGCCCAAUAAACAAUAAAACCUGUAAGGCCCAGUGCAUAAAUAUCAAUUUCCGCCCAUAGAAAUAAUAUUACAAAAAUUAGUACAUUAAAUAACCAUCCCCUACUCUUCUUCCAUAGGUUGAUUAAUUCAAUUAUCUUAAACCUUAUCCAGCACCUUUAACAAGAAGGAUAUGCAUUUGAAUAUAUCCCCUCUUUAGAAGUAUAGAUACCUAUAUUUUAAUUUAUCAAAUAAAUGAAACACACACAUACAUAUACACUUGCACCAACACCACUAAUUUUACUAGAAUUAAUUUUGAAUUAUCCCCUUUGAAUUGAUUAUUUCUAAAUCAUCUCUUAUUUCUAAAAACCUCAAUUUAACUUUUUUUUGUUAAAAGACAAAAAAAAAAUCAAUUCAUCCCCAAUUUUUUUUCUUAUCUUUUGAACAAAAAUUAAAAUAACUUGAGAUUUUAAAAAGUAAUAGAAUGAUUUGAAGAUAAUCAAUUUAUGAGGAAAUAAUAUGAAAUUUACAUAUUUUACAAUAAAGGAAUUGCUUACUUGAUUUCUAAUGUAAAAUAUAACAUUUUAGUUAAAAUAUGAAAUCUUUUAAAUGGUGGUUAGAUUCCCAUACAUGAAUCUUUUAUUUUAACUAAAAUACAAAUUCUGCAUUGGAGAAUAAGUAGGCGAAAUGUUGUGGUAAGUAAUCUCAUAACACAAAACUUCAAUAUGGUUUACGAAGCCUCCCAAAAUCAUUUAGGAAUACAUUGAAUAAAGGGAUAAUCAAGUGCGCAUCAUCAUAUCAGCCCAUAUAGCAUUAAGAUAUUAUAUCAGCUUUAUAAUAAAUAAAUAAUAUCAUAAUAAAUAUGUAUUUAUAUCAAUUUUUAUUACAUAUGUCAUAUUUAACUUAUCUCAAAGUGAGCCGUUAUCCUUAAUUAUUUUGAUUCGAAUUGUUUAUGUUACUUCUAAUAUAUUUUAAAAUUUUAGAAUAUGAACUAUUACAUAAAGUGUCCAUUUGGUUAAAAUUCAUAUUUAAUGUGUCUAUAUAAAUAUAAAAAAAUCAUGACUAUCUUAAAAUUACUUUAAAAUAAAAUACGAAUCAUAACUAUAUAUAUAAAAUAAUAAAUAAUAAAAAAUAUAUUAUAAUUUUAACCGCGUAAUUAUAAAAGGUGUCCGACCUCAUAACGGUUUGAAUAUAAUCGACCCAGAAAAAAAUCCUAAAAUACGGAACCUCGCAUGAAGAGAAGAUCUAAAACUUCUAGGAUUCACGAAUAAAAGCAAGCAAAGGAAGCAUCUGUGGACUGCUUAAAACUCAUCACAAAAUCUCUCCGACAAGAUCUCUCCAUGUAGGCACCUGGACCAGACCCCACCAUCCAUUAUCACUUUUUUUUUUUAAAUUCUGAAACUAAAAAAAUGAUUAUUCUUUCUUUCCCCGCACACCGGCCACCGCUAUUUCAUCAAAACCGCCCACAGAAACGAAAAAUUAAUUUUUAUAACAAAACCAAAAGGUUAAAUUCUCUCUCUCGGUUCAGUUUCCAAAUCUCGCGAAACGAAGCAUUUGUGGCGGUGGUGGAUGGCAAGAACUAACAAAUACACGUCCAUUAAUUUCAACCACGUACUGGAAAAGAACCUCCCCGCCUCCGGAACCGCAGCUAGCAACGCCGGGACCCCUACAAAUCAUGCCUCCUCUUCGUAUUCCUCUGUCGCUUCUCCCAAUAGUCACUUGCACGCGGCUCGUACCCAUGGCCGUAUGCUGGUUCUGACCAAACCGACUCCCAAACCGAUUUCCAUCACUCCGCCGUUGUCUCCGCCACCUGCUUCGUCCUCUUCGUCGUCUGCGCAGACCCAGCAACCUCAAAUGCAAACCCCAGAUCUGAACCGGACCGAACCGGGUUCGGAUCAGAUUUCUCUGCGUCCGCUCGGUCGAACUGGAUACGGUUCGGAGUCUUUCUCUCCUGUUGUGGGGCAGCAGGAUAGGGAGAAGGAAGUUGGUUCAGUUGUUGCUGGAUCGCCUAAACCGGGGAAGUUCGUGCCGCCCCAUCUGAGGCCGGGUUUUGUGGCAAAAGAGGAGAGGCCUGGACCGGAUGCUAUUCGAACCAGAGAGUCGGGUCAAAAGCAUUCUGGAUCUCCGGGUCGGUAUGGAGAAGAUGGGCGUCCCAAAUCUGGUGGUUAUGAGAGAUUAAGGAGAGGUGGUGAGCCGGAUCAUGGUUUGAUGAGUCGACCCAGGUCAAGUGGGAAUCGCCCCAGUUCUAGUGGAUCAUGGUAUGGUUCUUACUCAAUCUUAUUUUCAUUGAUUCUUUUUUCAGCUGAUUGUUUUAGUUUCAGAUAUUAAAUUAUAUCAAUUUCCAUUUUUUCAUGUGAUUAUAUAGCUAAUAUUCACGCUUCUAAAAUUUCAAUCCUCGUUUCCUUGUUGUGUGAUUGAUUAUGUGUCUUCGGUGGUUACCAUCUCCUAUGAGCAUCCGUUGGUAUCAUAUAUCUGCGCAUCAUCCUGUCUUUCUACUGGAAUCAUGAUAUUCAGCUAAUUAGGUUAUUUGCAUAUCUCCGUUGCAUUUUGAUGAAUCCUCUUUGGGUUAAUUCUCGUUAACUUAGGUCCCCAAUUAUCAUUCAUCCUUCUCAACAUCCCGUAAGAAGAAAAUUUAUUAAAUUAAUCUGCUGUGUAUUGGAAAUUCUAUACCAUUCAAUGUGGUUAAUUUUUUCUUUCUUUUAGUAUGUAAGUCUUCUUUCAAUGCUUGACUGUUGCCAUUGGCUUAUAUCGUAAUUGGAAAUCUGAUUUUGGGAUUCUAUGCUCAGUCUGCUAUUUAAAGCUUUUGAAAUCUGAAAGUGGGGCCUGAAUGAUGACUUGUCUUUGAUCUUGAUCGAGCCACUAAAGAUUGUGUUUGAAUUGUGAUGUUGGUUCGAAUAAACUCGGACCUGGACAAUAACUCCCAAAAUCUAGGUGUUGGGUUUAUAUGGUGUAUUUAUAUAUGUUACACAUUUUACAAAACCGUGAUUCUGUGUUUGUUUAUUGAUGCGUAACUUUCUUUGUUAAGUUUCUGGUAUGUAAAUCUUCCUUGAUAAAAAUUCUUUUAGUACAUAUCCAAUAUAUUGUGAUGUUCAUGGAAGAUGUGAAGGUGUAUCCUACCAAUGUCCACAUGGGUAUUUGACAUGGCGGUUGAAAUUGUACUUGUGUCUUCUAGUGUCUGGCAUGUCAAAUUUUCAGAAUAAGUUUCUUAAAAAAUGAUAGCCAUCAAUUGAAUGAAAAUGAGAGUUUUAUAUAGAGGUCUAUUUAGUGGGAAAUCAUGAUGGUGAUUCAGAUAUUGCUUCUGAUGAUGAAAUUCUGUGAUCCGUUCUGUUUGAAGAAUGUUUUUAAUAGAAUGGUCCAAAAUAAACUGAGAAUACCUUUGCCUCAACACUUCGUAAGGUUGUGAAGGCUCCUAGGGUGCGUUUGGCAGCUUGUCUUACACUAUAUUGCAUUGCAUUAAAACAAUGUUCUUAUGCUCAUCUGUGCUUGGCUUUAAUUUCUUGUUGCAUUGCACCGCAGUAAAAAGGUGAUUAAUACAAUAAAAGGUGUAUAAAAUAAAUCCACGAGGGUAGGGUUUAGGGUAUAUUGUAUUAAAACACUGUUCAUAUUUUAAAUAUAAUCAUAUAAUUUUUAUUUUUUUAAUAAUUUAACUUUUAUUUAAUCAUUUAUUAUUUUGCUAAAAUACUAAAUUUAAAAAUAAUUUUAAACUUAACAAUUAUAUUCACAUUAAUAAAGAAAAUAAAUGAAAAUAAAUAUACAAAAAUAAUUAUUUAAUACUUCAAAAAUUAAUAAUAAAACUCUAAAUAUUAAUAAAUUUAAAUAAUAUUAACAUUAAUAAUAUUAAUAAAUAAUUUAUUAAUAUUAACAUUGAUAUAAAUAAUAUUAUUUUGUGUAAUACAAUCUAUACUACAUUGAACAUAGUAUUGCGUCACAAUUUAAUGCAAUGCACACCAUGCAGUAAUCAUAUGGUGCGUUUGCUGCACUUUAUUAUAUUGUAUUAGUUGUAUUGCAUUAUAUUGUAUUAAGUUGUAAUACAAUACUAUCUUUAGUGUAAUAUGGACUAUAUUAUAUAAAACAAUAUUUUUCUUUUAAUAUUUGUAUUAAAUUAAUAGUUUAAGAUUCAUUAUAUUUUAUUAUUUUUUUAUAUUCAAUUAAUAAUUUAAAUGUUUAUAAUUAAAAUAGACAAUAUUCACCGCCGGCCAUCACAAGCUGCUGCAGGCUGCUGCAUGCUGUAUUUUAGUGUCAUUUGAACUAUAUUUUGGCACCAUUAGAAUCCUUAUUGUCGGGGCUACGCAAUGGUGCAACUAUUACCGUUAAAGGAAUUUUAUUUGCCAUAGAUUUAUAAUCAAUUUUUUUUCCAAAUUUUUUACUGUAUGUUUGCAGCAGAGGGAAGCUAGUAAUACCAUUGCAUAGUCUUGAUAAUAAGAAUUCUAAUGGUACCAAGUUUUAGUGCAAAACACUAUGUUAUGCGGUAGCCAUCGACCGCGCAUUUGAGUUUUUAAUUUUAUUUAAUAUUGUAUAUUUCAAUUUAUUUUUUAUUAUUUUCAUUAAAUAAAUAAAAGAAAAGCUAAUGUGAACAGUGUCAUAUCACACAAACCCGACCCUCCUUGGGUUUAUUUAAUGCAAUCCUAUGUAAUGUGGUGUGCCAAACACACCCAUAAUGCAAUACAACUAAUACAGUGUAAUGCAAUACAGUGAGCCAAGUGCACUCUUAAAGCAAUUGGGUGGUUGGGUGUUAGAUUCCUACUGGGUCAUCAUAAAUUCCGGGGACGGUUAAAUGAAUAUUGUGUAAUGUUUCAUACUCAAAUCUCUCAUAUGGGUUGGAUUUUGCGCCAAUCUUUAUCCAGUAGAUCUGCUUAUUUCUAUGUUUUCCUAUUUCACCCCAUGCUUUUUAAUGUUUGCAGGCUCCAUUUUUAUUGGUAAAAACUGAAAAAAAAGAAAAAGGUAGAGCUGUGGUAUAGACAACACAAACUAAGCUGUUCUUAUUAUUUCAGGCCAUCAUAUCAAGUGCUUUUCUCAUGUGAAAAGUUGGUGUAGGGGGGUGUGUACUACUUGCAGGCUGGUUGUUGCAAUUACAGUUAUCUGAAGACUGACUAGUGUUAUUUUUAGCUAGAUAAUUCCGCAAUGCGUGUAGGGCAUAAAGGAUGUCGCCAUAACGAUCUUAAGUUUGUUUUGUUGUUCUGUUUCACUGCUGUUGACAGGAUUUAGGAUUAAAAGAUAAAUGAUCUAUGCUGGGAUGAAAAAAUAUUGUAAUGCUGUGAAAGCAGUUUCUUUAGUCAAUUUUGAACAAUAUAUAAAUUAAACUCAGUUUUGCCCUUCUCUACUUGGAAAGUCGCUUUCGUUGUGCUGCCAAUUGUUCGUUGAAUACUAUAUAUAUCACUGCUAACAGAUGCCCUUUCUGCAGAAUUUCGAAUGAAGUGGAACUCUUUCCUGGGAAAGGACAUGAACUUUCUUGAAACUGCAGAGAAUUCUUUUACUGUGAUCAGGUGCAGUUCUUUGACCCUCUGGAAUUGGCAUUACUUUUGGGAAAAGACCAACCGAAUUACAUUCAUGGCAUGCAAGAUCAGGUGGCACUUGUAGCGGUUUAUAACGCUCACAGGAACUGAAUGAGAUUGAAGUUUUUGUGAUGAAAGAAAGAGAGGUCCGAAGCCCCGCAAUCCCACUCAUCACUUGAUAGCUGUCUCUUUAUAUACUCUGUUUAAACGAGCCACAUUUGCCCACCAGGGGUAAAUUAUAGUUGUAUGAUUUUUUAUCUUUGGUUAAUUUGACUGUAUUGAAAUGGAGCAUUAUGUUUUACCGCUGUCUGUUCAUAAUUCCGCCUUGGGGGCUGUACUUGGAACUGGAAGAUCUCUUUAGCAAGCACAAUUUUCAUUUAUGUUUCACCCGCGCUGGGAUCUCUCUUUCUUUCGUAUUUAUUUAUUUAUUUUUUAUUGUGUGUGUGUGUGUUCAAAUGAAUCUAAUUAAAAUAACAUGCUAUUUACUUUAAAAGAUAAGACAUUAUGGACUUAUGGUAAAUACUGUGUGCUGGAACAUUCAUUUUAUAAACAAGAUAUGACAUGGAAGAAUUAUUUUGCGAACAGAUGAUAAGAAAGCUUAUAUAAAAUGGGAAGGCCUUAGACCCAGAAUUGGAAUGAUCUUAUAAUGGCCGUGUUUAAACUUUAAAAGGCUUUUCAAGUUAACUCUUAACAAUCUUGAUCAAUUGGAGGCAAUCACAUUGAAUCAAGACGACAAAACAGAACCAAGAACAAAAUUGAUGAACCAACUUAUGAAGGGAAAAUAUUCUCACUUUAUUGAUCAAACAAUCAAGGUACAGACUGGAUCUACAGAAGAGAUUGCAUAGAUCACAAAGAAACGAAUUCUAUAUAAAAAGAGUAACUAACGAAAAGGAAAACGAGCUGACACAGGCGCUGUUCACCAGCUCUUCAUACUCUGAUAUUUCUGGAUAGAGCAUAACAGAAUUACAACGUCUGCCACGUCAGCAUUAAAUAUCACUUGGGCCCCUUCACCUGAAAUCAAUCCGCACAAAGGCUCAUAACUUCUUGAAGGUUUUCACUUGAGUCCUAAAAAAAUCAGAUGCAUAUUUCUUCACAGGCCAGCUGCCAAGAAGAGCUUCUUCCAGUCGUGGACAUUCCGUUCAUUUCCCUCUCAUAAAGAUACCAUAUGCAUGCUAAAGUAUAGUUGUAUCUCCACUGAUUCCUUAAAUUUCCCUUUGUUUUUAGAUGGCCAUCUCUAUGAUAAUUACUUUUCCUCCCUCAUCUUUGCUUGGAAUUGCUUCUUUACACUUCUUUAGUAUCUUCGCAAUCUCCUUAUCAUUCCAAUUACUCCCCUGCCCACAACACGUUCUCCAGUAACAAUCUAGUCAUAUCCGAUAGACACUGUUUAAAUAAUGUCCACAUUUCUAGUAAAGAUCAAGAGAAGCUAUCAUUAAUGAUGGAUCAUUCUUAUUCAGUAAGGCGGUUUAUAAUUACCUUUCAUGUGUGAAGCUAAUUUUGUUCUUUCUGGCUAGUAGAACAGUUCUUUUUCAUGCUUAUUAUUGCAGCCACAAUUAAUGACUCAAGUUCGACGGGCAAGUUUUUCAUAAUUUACUUCAACAAACAAAAUUUCGGGCUUUCCUCCAACUAAAUAGCACAGGAUUCUCAAAUGGAUAUCAAGGUUCUCAAGCUUCCAGUAGCACAAAUUUAAAUGUAACAAAAUGCUAUUAAUUUUAGUUUAGUUUAGUUUUUGCCUUUUAAUAUUUAGUUAGUUUCUAGACACCAAUGGUAAUGUACAUUCUGCUAAUUUAGAUUGAUUUUACAAAUUGCUGGUUUUUAUAUUUUUGUGCUUUUGCCUUUCUGAUCAAGAGCUUUAUAUUAAUGCAUAAGCGUUUCUCUUGUUUGAUAUUUUAAUGAUGAAUGCUUAGACUUGUUUAUGCUAAUAACACAAUAUGAAUAAGAGAAUGUCAUAAGUUUGGAGAAAUGAGCAACAACAAAAUGAAAGAUAUUUGCAUAUAAAAUAAUUUUUAUUAAAAAAAAUAGCAUUGUUCUUACAAAAUGAAAGCUGUUUGCACCUUAAGCAAAGGUAAACCAUAUUUAUAAUGAAGAAACUCAACUAUAGUUCACAACAAGUAAUUUGUGCUCUAGGUAAGUUAUUCUCCAAAAGGGCUAGAAUAUAGCCAACCCAAAAUUUUUGCAAAAGAAAUUUCUGCAUCAUGCAUUCUCAAAUCUUCCAACUUAGUAGUAAGAAAUUGAGUUUCGAGCGUUUCACCAAUUCAGUUUCUUUCAUGAGUAAUUUGAAGAAUUUCCCAAGUAUCUUUUGUAGAGUCACAUUUCGAGAUCAAUCGGACCUGGCUUUCAUCUAUACCGUUGCAAAUUGCAUUUAGAGCUUUGAAAUUAUGGCUAGCCACGGUGAUUUCUUCUGUAUUCCACGUUUUUAAAGAUUUCACAGUUUUGAGUCCUGCAGCAUCUUCGGUUCCAAUUGACUUUAUGAAAGCACUCAUCGUAGCCUUCCAACAAGAGUAGUUGUUCUUAUCAAGUAGUGGUGCACACGGCAUAGAUCCUUCUACGAAUGAAAUUCUCCCGUGAAUUUCCUCUCUCCUCAAAUGUUGAUAGCAAGAUCAAUAUCGCAGGAAUUCAUUGAUUUUCUUUCUACAUCAUUUAAGGAUGGCUAGAAGCUGUUAUGCCACAGUUGCGAAGAAGACCCUACAAGUUAGCUCAUUAGACACCCGAUGAGACUUAGUGAAUGGUCGGCAGGAGCCGGUUGAGACCUUAAAAGAGAUGGUAGUAAAACAAGAUGACCCGAGCAAGGUUGUGAAGAUCGGNNNNNNNNNNNNNNNNNNNNNNNNNNNNNNNNNNNNNNNNNNNNNNNNNNNNNNNNNNNNNNNNNNNNNNNNNNNNNNNNNNNNNNNNNNNNNNNNNNNNGGGGUUACAAUUUAAGUCGGAGCUUAAGGGACAAGCUGAUAGAGUGUUUAAGGUCUCAUGUUGAUGUAUUUGCUGGUCACAUGAGUAUAUGCUAGGGAUUGAUACAAGGAUUGCUUGUCAUAAGUAAGCAAUCAGUAAAUAAGCAAAGCCAGUGAAAUAUAAGAGGAGGUGCUUUAACCAAGAAAGGUAUAAAGUCAUAAAUGUCGAGGUAGAGAAAUUGCUCCGAGCAGGAUUCAUCAGGGAAACCAGUUAUUCAGAGUGGAUUUCUGAUGUAGUACUAGUAAAUAAAGCAAAUGGAAAGUGUAGAAUGUGUGUAGACUUCAUGGAUCUCAACAAAGCAUGUCCUAAGGACAUCUUCCCUUUACUAAAAAUAGACUAGCUGGUCACAGCCUGCUAAGCUUUAUGGAUGGAUUUUCCAGCUACAACCAAAUACUCAUAGACGAGCAUAAUGAAGAAAGCAUGGCAUUUGUUACUAAUAUGAGUUUGUUCUGUUACAGGGUGAUGUCGUUUGGUAUAAAAAAUGCAGGGGCCACAUAUUAGAGAUUGGUGAAUAUGAUCUUUAAAUCCUCGAUUGGGCAGACAAUGGAGGUGUAUGUAGAUGAUAUGAUCACGAAGUCUAAAGAGCCGGCAGAGCACAUACGACACUUAGAAGAAACAUUCGAACUGCUCAGAAGAUACAAGAUGAAACUCAAUCCAAAGAAAUGUGCAUUCGAGGUAUGCUCAGGAACGUUCUUGGGGUUCAUGGUGAGCUAUCGGGGAUCGAGGCUAACCCUGAGAAAAUAGGUUCGAUAACAAAGAUGAAAUCUCCUCGGAUGAUGAAGGAAGAUCAAAGCCUUACGGGAAAGCUACUAGCUUUUAAUCGAUUCAUAUCAAGAGUAAUAAAUAAAUGUCAUGCCUUCUUUCAGGCUAUAAGAAAAGGAAAAAAAUGGAGUGGUCAACAAAGUGCAACGAGGCAUUUGAGCAGCUGAAAGGGUAUAUUACCAAAGCCUCAUUAUUGUCAACAUUGCAGGAGGGUGAUGUGUUGUACUUAUACUUAGCCUUAUCCAAAUGGGCUACUAGCGAUGGUUUGGUGAGAGAAGAAGCAGGAACCCAACACCCUGUGUACUAAGCCAGCAAAGCGCUAAUAGAUGCUGAGACCAUAUACCAAUGAUGGAAAAGUGGGUGUUGCCGUUAGUAACAACGGCACGUAAGCAGAGGCUAUAUUUCCAGGUGCAUCCAGUGGUUGUGAUGAUUGGCCAGCCUCUUCGACAUGCCCUCUAAAAGUCGGAGGCCUCUGGUCGCUUGGUGAAAUGUUCAGUGGAGUUGAGUGAGUUCGACAUAACCUAUAAACCUUGAGCAGCCAUUAAAGCGCAAGCCUUGGCUGACUUGUGGCGGAAUGCAUAGUGCUGGAUGAGAAAACUUACGAAGACCAAUUGCCUAGCCAGGUAGAACCAAAAGGGGAUUGGUUGAUAAUAGUAAACGGGUCAUGCAAUGAGCAAGAGUCUGGAGCAGGAAUGGUAAUACGUAGCCUAGAAGGAGUCGAAAUUUCUUAUGUCAUAGAAUUUAAAUUUCAUGCGACCAAUAACUAGGCGGAGUACGAAGCUUUUAUUAUUGAGUUAAAGUUGGCAAAUGCCCUAAGAGCAGAGAGAGUCAAGAUUCGAACAAACUCCCAGUUAGUGAGUAAUCAUCUUAACGAAAACUUCCAAACGAGGGACGAAAAGAUGAAGUUGUAUUUAAGGAAGGCAAAGCAGAUGGUCAAAAUGUUCCAGGAGGUGGAAAUUCAGCAGAUAUCGUGAAAAAAAAAUUACCGAACAGAUAUAUUGGCCAUAAUGGCUGCAACAGCAGAUCCAAAACUACCAAAGUCAAUCUGAGUGGAGGCUAAAACCUCACUAAGCAUUGAACAAGAAAUGAAAGUAAUAUAGGUGGAUGCACAAAACUCCUGAAUGGAUCCAAUUAUUUCAUAUAUCCGCGAUGGAAGUUUAUCGAUGGAUAAAAAGUGGGCAACAAAGAUGAAGUGUUAAGCGGCUAGAUAUACGCUGCUCGAUGGGACAUUCUAUCGGCGGGGAUUAUUUUUCCUUUUCUGCGAUGUUUGGAUGAUGAGGAGACAGACUAUGUGUUGCGAGAAAUACACGAUGCGAUAUGUGGUAACCACUUCGAGGCAAGAACUUCGGCGUUCAAAGUAUUAAGCAGAGGUAUUUCUGGCUAACAAUGCACCAGGACGCACGAGAGAUUACUAGAAAUUGCAGAAGUUGUCAAAGUUUCUUGAAUGUUUCUACCCAACCUCUAGAAAAACUUAUUGUUAUGUCUUCUCUAUGACCUCUUGCACAGUGGGGAAUUGACAUGAUUGGCCUCUUACCCAAAGGAUGGGGAACUGCUACACAUUCUAUUGUAACCAUAUAUUAUUUUACAAAAUGGGUAAAGGUCGAAGCUCUAAGUUAGAUCAUGGAAAAGAAAACAACUGGGUUCAUUUAGAGGAACAUUAUAUGCAGAUAUGGGAUUCCUUACAUGCUCAUAACAGACAAUAGAAGGCAGUUUGAUAACCAUAAUAUCAAAGAAUUUUGUCAGAAUCUAGGUGUUGAGCUGAAGUUCUGUUCUCUAACACAUCCCCAAUAAACAGGUAGGUAGAGGUUGCUAACAAAGUUAUAAAGAAGCUCUUGAAAAUCAAAUUGGGGGAAAAGAAUGGAGCGUGGGUCAAUGAGUUGCCUGGUGUGUUAUGGGUUUAUUGGACAACUUACAAAACAACAACUAGAGAAACCUCAUUUGUCUUGGCCUUUGAUCACGAAGUUGUGGUACCAGCAGAAAUUAGAAUAGGAACACAUAGAAUGGAGUACUUUGAUGAGGAGCAGAACGACGAUAAGAUGUGUCUGAAUUUGGACAUGUUAGAGGAGAAAAGAAAAAAAAGGCCUCGCAGAAGGUGAUUGAAUACCAACAGAGGGUUGCGUGCUACUACAACUAGAACGUGCGGGUGAGCAAAUUCAGAGCUAGAGAUUGGGUGCUCAGGAGAGUAGAUUAAAGUCCAAGAGAUCCCAACCAAGGCGUUUUUGUCCCUAACUUGGAAGGCCCGUGCAGGGUGUUGCAAGCAACUGAUCCGGGAGCUUAAAAGUUGGUGUAUCUAGACAGACGAGAAGUAAAUAGAUCAUGGAAUACGGAGAACUUAAGAAAAUAUUUCCAGUAAGCAAGCCAUCACUCAGAGUUUUCCGGUCAAAAUAUUCAUGUUUAAUGUAGCAGAAGCUGCCACAUACUUAUGUUUUCUACUUUUGUAGCCGUUUAAGUGUUGAGUAAUAAUAAAAUGAUGAGUUUUAUUCAGACACAUCUGACAAAAUAAUUUCUAAGGAAAAUAAAGGCUCAAUAAGUUUCAAGGCCUAUUCGAGGCGAGGCGAGACAAGUCAAAAGUUUGCCAAGAACCUGCUCUGUCAAGCGAAGAUGAGCAGGCAAAGCUUACAAAAUAAUUUCAAAGGCAAAUAAAGGCUCAAUAGGUCUCAAGGCCUAUUCAAGGCCAGACGAGUCAAAAGUUUCCCAAAAACCUGUUCUAUCAAGCGAAGACAAGCGGACAAAGCCUAUAAAAUAAUAUUUAAGGCAAAUAAAGGCUCAAUAAGUCUCAAGGCCUGUUCGAGGUGAGACGAGCAAAAGUUUGCCAAGACCUACUCUGUUAAGCAAAGACGAGCGGGCAAAGCCUAUAAAAUAAUUUCUAAGGCAAAUAAAGGCUCAAUACGUCUCAAGACUUGUUCGAGGCGAGACGAGUCAAAAGUUUGCCAAGAACCUGCUCUGUCAAGUGAAAACGAGCGGCCAAAGCCUACAAAAUAAUUUCUAAGGCAAAUAAAUGUUCAAUAAGUCUCAAGGUCUGUUCGAGGCUAGACGAGUCAAAAGUUUGCCAAGAACUUACUCUAUCAAGCGAAGACGAGCAGGCAAAGCUUAUUAAAUAAUUUCAAAGGCAAAAAAGGCUUAACAGUCCCAUAGCCUAUUCGAGUUGAGAUGAGUCAAAACUUGGCUAAGCAUAUGCUCAAUUAAGCGAGGAUAAGUAGACAAAAGUCAAUGAAAUAAUUUACAAGCAAAUAAGAGGCUUUAAAACCCCAGGGUUAUUUUCAAAAUCCAACAUUCAGAUAACUUUAUUCACGAAAUCCAGCAUUCAGAUAACUAAGAAUACAAAAUUACAGUUCGUACAAGCCUUUAAGAGCAAAUAUUAAUAUGUAUAGCAAUUAAAGGGCAUGAUUUACAAAUGGUUCAAAAUGUGUGAACAUAUGAAAAGUUUGCGGUUCAAACACGAAGUAAAACCCAUAGAUCAUAAGGGGGAGGCUCAACUGGUUUAGAGGGGUCCAUGAUAGUAGCAAAGACGGGACUAAUGACUUCAGUAGGAGAAAGGACCUCUUCAACACCUGUAUUUAGCACUUCAUCCCCAACUUCUCGGUGCUGCUUUUCAGGAACUGGAAGGGUCCCUUUUUGGCCCUUAUCUCUCUGAUUCUGCUCCUUCAUAUACUUGUUUACACCUGCCUCCAACUUAUCCAUCUUUAAUUUUGGAUAUUCCUUCUUAAGGAUAGACAUAAUGCAGUUGUAGCCGAAGGCGAGCCUAGAAUUAUAUUUCUCGUCCAUUCGAUCCUCCAUACUAUUGACCUUAUCCUUAAGCUCUACUAUAACCAACUCUAAAGACUUGAUACGCCAUUCUUACGCUGAUUUCUAGGUGUCUUGCUUGCUUCGGGUAGCGUCCAGAUUAGAUUUCACAUCGGCUAAUUCACGAUUGAGCUGAGUAGCCUUGAAUUUAGAAAGAGCAACUUUCUCCUCGAAGUUAAGAACUUACUUGUAAAGUUCAAGUAGCUACUCCUCUACACGCUCAACUUUUUCAGCUUUUUUCUUUAACCUAUUGAUCUUUGUUUCUCGUUUCUUUUCUUGAUGUGAAGCCUUGAACUUAUAGUAAGAUGUUGCCGUAGUAAGUUGAAAGGCAGUCUUUUAGAUGAAACCCCCCAUUUCACUAAGAGUUAUGCCCUCAAGCUCUGUAACGAACUUGAGCCCCACCACCCUAGCAUACUUCCUCUUAUAUAUACCCAGGAAAUCACUCAAGUCUUAAGGCAGAGUUGGUGAAGCUCGUUCAGCCGAAGGGGCAGCUCCCUCAAGGCUCCUCUCACAAGACCACUCACUUGCACCCUUGCGGGUCGGAGGAGGUAGGAGAGCCGGUAGAGGAGAGCUGGUCGGGGCGGCGUUAUUCUUUUCUAGGGGGUGGGGGCAUUGCUCGAGUCAUUUGUGCCGUGAGCACAUUUCCUCGCUAUGGCGCCAAAGAUCCUAUUGUCCAUCAUUGCAGCAAUGUCAACUAGGUGGGAUUCGACGAGUUGGUUGAUGUCAAAGGGUCUUUACACACGCAAGCGUUGACAGGGGUAGUUCAGACCUGAAGCAACAAUCUCUCUUCGAUGUUGUAAACUAAGCUCUAAGAAUCUGAAAAACAUAGUAAAUGUGAGAAGGAAAGUAAUUAUUGAUUUAAGGCUUGAGGCAUGAAGAAUAAUAAACGACCUGAGGUACAAAAAUGAGAAGGGAUGUGGACACUAUCACCAGGUGUUUGAGUCACCUGACCCCAGUUUCCCUAGAGAAAAAGAAUUUGGUCUUCCAGUUUCCAUAUGAGGUGGGAACGUCAGUAAUUAGUUUUCUCUUCGCGGAGUUUAACAUGAAAUAAUACCAACUCGAGUCUUUAGGGCUGUUCCUCAACUGAUACAAGUUCUUUAUUUCAUCAGUGGUGGGCUAGUCGAGUUUGCACCUGAACCACAACAUGAACAAGCCCGAAAUAACCCUCCAUCCAUUUUGAUUGAGCUGACUAGAGGCCAGGUGCAUUUCACUCAAUACUUUCACAAAGUAGGGUUGGAGAGGCAACCUAACACCUAACUUAAAACAUUUCAAGUACAAGGUUACAAAACCCAUAGGAGGUCGACUGAGGACAUCACUUGUUUCCAAGAAAGACGAAGUGGAUGUCGUCGGGAAUACAAUAGAGGUUUCUUAAGUUGUGUAGGUUAUUUUGUGUGGUGCUGCACCUCAUAUAAUCGAUAGGAUAAGAAUCAACUUUUGUUCUAUGGCCAAGGUUUCUCUUUUUAGUUGGUCUGCUCUGCUCGAUACCAUCAUUUCUAUAAUCACUCACCCCAUUAUCAUUUUUCGUUCCACUCGAGUUAUGGGUCUCACCGGAGCUCGAUGCUUGUUCUCUUAUACCCCUAUUGGGUUAAUUACCAUAAGGUGAUGGGGUGGCCUCUAACGAUGGUUGCAUGAGAACAUUUUCGAUACUAGAGGGGCCUACAUCACUUAGGGGAAUUUGGGGAUUGAGGAGAUAUUCUCUUAACAUGUGAGGGUAAGAAUCUACUUCCUCAUCACUCUCAACUUUAAUAAUCUUUCCUUUUUGAUUCGACAUAGUAUGAAUGAAAACAAAUCCAAAUACUUGAACAAGAAAGCACAACACAGAUCAAUACAACAACAACCAAAAGAAAGUUCAGAAAGCGAUACCUGGGAUGAUCUAGGGUCGGCGAAGUGACUGUCGCGGCAAAAACGACAAAAAAGGGAAGUUUUAAGCAUAAAGAGGACGCCCGACUUCGAGUUAAAGUCAGUUUUUGGUGAAAGGCGGAAGAAUGAGUUGAAGAAAUGGGAAAAUCGAGGUUUAGGGAUUUUGUUGAUGAGAGAUAAAAGAGAAACAUUUAAGUAAUGCAUAUGUUAGUUUAAUCGACGCAUCUCGAGGGCAUGUAAACUGCCAUUUUAAAUUUCAAAUACAUGGUAUGGGAAACGCCACAUCAUAAGCAUUCAAGGUGAUAUGACAGGAGGUCAGAUCGGUAAUGCAUGGCCUAAGGACAUAGGUGUUGGCUCCUAAGUGUUAGAGACCGCUCGAGCAGCUAAGCAAUUGAGGAGCGCAAUUUCAACCUCAUUUAAUCCAGGUCAGGGAUGGACGACCAAGAUUUCGUGAUUACCAGAAUAGUAUCAUAAUUUCUAGUCUCUGUUCGUUUCAUUCACAACACUAGAAACUGGGGGACUGGCGUUUAGGUGACCAAAAGAACACCAAUUGUACACAUUUUUAUCUGGUCGAGGAGAUUUGAGAGUGCCAAACGAGAUAAUAUUUAACCACUUGGACCUCCUUGUAAAGGGAAAUUACAAGAUGGCACCACGGUCCUCUUCGAGGUACAACCAAAGCUCGACCUGAGAGUAGUUCUUGGAAAGUUGGGUAUGAUACCCACAUUUAAGCGACUGUUUUGCCACUUCCCAACCGUCCAAAGGAAGGCAUGUUAACCACUUCAUAGUUUUUGCAAUCCAUGAAGACCACGAAAGUUCGAAUAUUAUGGAGGUGGAUUCCAAAUACAAGAGGAAUCGCCGAUAAAGCCCCUAAAAAAUCACAAAGACAGAAAAAGAAAAAAAGGGAAUAGGGGGGAAACUCUGCCAUUUUGAAUCCAGAAUUCAUUGCCUUUAAGCCUUUUUAAGGCAUUUCCUUCGUUUUAUAAUUGUCAACUUACAUAGAUUGAUAAUCCAACGUUUUUCCCGACGGACUUAAGUAUCGAAGGGUUUUCAACAAAAAAAUCACCGGCGCCCCUUAUCCAUUUUUGUGAUUUUAGGUCAGAAGAGUAGGACAAAGGUCAAUUGAGGUCGUCGAAUCCGGUUUAUUGGAGAACAUACGAGCAGCUUUGUGCUCUACCAAAAACCAAUCUAAAGCGUUGACGAGAUAACCUGGUCUGCUCGAGAUAACGACCAAAUUUCAACAUCAACACAAAUUAUUUUCAAUAGAUCUUAAAUUGUAAUAUAUCAAAAUGAUGUAAUACCUCUAAACAAAAAAAAAAAAAAAUUGACAUGCACCCCAAGUUGCUUUUUCCAUUUGUUGAUUUUUGAAAUGCUGCUAAGUUUCAUUGUAUUAUGGGUCAGCCUGUAAUACAGUUCUGUAUGUCAUGCAGCUGCCUUUAUUAUUUUUUUAUUAUUGCGGAUGUAACCGGCCACCGAUAUCAAUUAUGAAACAGGUAAAUAUUAAAGGUAAUUAUCAUACAGCUACCCUCAUUUCAAAUAAAUAUCAAAAUAAUCAGUUCAAAGUAGAACACUACCAAAGAACCCCUCAAUUUAACUUGAAAAUAUACUACUUUCUUUUUGUUUUCUCCGAAUAACAUGAAAACACGUAAAAUAUAUGAGAUUUCUAUACUAAUUAGAAUAAUAUUUAAAUAUAAAUUAAUAAAUUGACCAAUUAAUUUUUAAUAUUACAUUAUAAAGUUAAGAGUGUUCUACAUAAAAAAAAUUAUCAUAAUAUUUUAUCAAUUUUUAGAUAAUACAAUGUAGUAUAAAUAUUUAGACCUAUAAUAUUUCUAUAUUAGCCAAGUAUAAAAAAUCUAAUGUUUGAUAUUUUUAAAUAAUACUCAAAAACAAUCUCUUGUGUAAAUUAAUUCAUAGAAAUUAAUGUGAAAUUAAUUACUUUAUUCAUUAUAUUAUGUAUUACUUUUAUGAUUUUCUUUAUUCACUAUUUUUAAGUCACAAUAAUUUCUACAAAUACUUGUAAUGGACAAUUAAGUACAUAUUGUUAAUUUUUAAUCUAUUUUUAUUAGUGUUAUUGUGAUUAAUGAUAUCAUAAUUCAUACACUAAGCCUUUUCCUUUUUUAAUGUUGUUAAUAACUCCAAUGGGCCUUUAGUCUAGCGGUGAAUCUCUACCCUCACAGUUAAGCAGGAUUGUGAGGGUAGGGGUUUGAGUUCUCAUGGACUCAAACUCUUUCAAUUAAACAUUAUGCAUGAUCAUGUGGAGUUAUUUGCAAGUCUUUUUCCCUUGCGAAAUGCAAGUAGAGCAGAGAUAUCCCUCAUUUAUGAUAAUUUGAUGUGUAAUCAGUAUUAAAAAAAAGUUGUUAAUAACUAUCAUGGCUAGCACUUGGUCAAUAUUAAUUCGAUUAAACUAAAUUCAGUUAUGACAUUAUUAUUUUUUUAGUAAUAUUUAAUUUAAUAUUAUUAUUUUAGGGGUAUGGUUGGGAGAGGACAAAUAUAACUUUUUAACUCUUACAAUCUCUCAUGAGUUUUACUCGGUAGCAAUAAAUGAAAAAACCAUUCAACCGUCCCCUUGGAGCUGAGUAAUAUUGUUAAUUAAAAUUACAAUUCUUAUUCACAUUGCAUUGUAAAUAUUAGAAAAAGAGAUAACAACGAGCCCGUGUUUUGUGAAAUUGUCUCGAAGACCCUUAUUAUUUUAAAAAAUAAUCAUAUAUUUCUCUUUUUGGACAAUUAUGUCCUUUAGCUAAAGUGACCCACCGAUAUUCCAUAUGAACAUAAUUAUUCAAAACAAGAUUUAUAUAACAGUUUCACUAAAUCAUAAGAUAUUAAUAUACUUUUUGUCAUAACCUUGGGUAAUUACAAUCUAAACACUACUAAUAUUGAAUAAUUUAGAAACGUUUUAAAUUAAAUCAAAUUAUUUGAGUAAUGUACAAUAUUAUAUUUCGUUAUAUUAUUUGUAUACUAAAUGUUGUUCAAUUCAUUUAUUAGUGUUACAAAAUUAUUACAAUAUUGGUAGAUUAUAAAAUCAAGUAUCAUUGAAAUAUAAACAUAUAAAAACAAGUCAUCGGAUAGAAUAUAAAUUAUGUAUCCAAUUGUAUAAGGAUAAUUUAUUAAAUUUAUUCGUAUUAAUAAUUUUUUGAUAUUUUUUAUUUGUAUUACUAUAAUAAACAUUUAGAAUGAAAUGUAAUAAGGUUUAAUUUAGGCAGUAAAACUACCGCCAAUAUGAAAGAAUGAUUUAUUAAAUUUUAAUUUUUUUGAAAUUUUUUCCUAUAUAAAAUUGAAAACCUUAUAUAGCUUUUCUUUUUUACCCCAAAAAUAUAAACACUUUAGUACUUCAUAUUGUUGAAAACCCUAGCCCCUCGCCUCAGCCGUGCUCAAGCAUCAGAAACCAGCCACCAUCCUAGUAGUCGCGCCGUCUUCGUUCCAACGACACUAGAUCACAGUCGCCGUUUCCGUCGCCGUCGCCGUCGCCGUCCCCAUCCUCAUCCUGCAUAUCAGCCACUAGCUCACCAGCCCUCACCGUCUUGUCACUUUCCUCCAUGAACUCUCUCUGCACACAAACCCUAGACUAGCGAGUUCAAUCAAAGGGUGAAGGUUGCUUUCUUUCUUUUCUAACAAUAAAGAACAAAGAUCUCAUCAAUUUCCUUUUAAUAAUAACUUCUAAUUAGUGAUUCGGCACUUCUUCUCAAUUUACAGCUCUCAUUUUUUAAUUUCGUCUUUAAUUCUUGAAGAACGAAGAACAAACAGAAGCCUUUCAACUUUGAUCGACUUUGAUUCUCGAAAUUUAGGUAUUUCCUCUAUUACUCACUUAAAGAAUUAAAAUUCUUCACUUUGAUUUUGACACCAUGGUUAGAUAUUGAUUUAUUGCUUGUUUAAUUAGUUUAGAGUUUCAUUUAAUUUGUUUUGAGUUGUUCACUUUUAUUGCAUCUUCAAGAUGGAAUUUUGGUACUCUAAAUGAUACAAAGUUUUAUUCCUAUGCAGUAUGAUUAGAAGAAGUAAAUUGAUUGUGCACUUGAUAUUUUGCAUCUUAAUUUACAAAUAAUUUAAUGCCUAAAUUCUUAUUUUAUCAACCACAUAGUCAAAAGUGAUUUGUUUGGGUUAUAUAGGCUUACCUGUAAUUCUGUAUUAUUUAUAUCUUCAUAAAUUCUUGUUUAUGUAGGCUUGAUUGUUGAGGCUUCUUUCAUCAGUGAUGAUGUGUUAUAGACUUGGUUGUUGAGGUUUGUUUUAUCAAUGAUGAUGUGUUAUUAAAAAAAAAAACACACACACACAUUUUGAUUUUUUUUUAUAUAUAUAGAAUAAGCAUGACAAUGGAUCUUUAAGUGUGUAUUAGUAAUUUAGUAAUUUGGCACCCAUUUCUUUCUAACAAGUGCUAUUAAGUUCGAUUAUUUUAUUUCACUUAUUCUUUACUGACCAUGGUAAUCAUUCAGGCCAAGCAUAAAAAUACAACAUACUAUAAAUUGAUCUAAAGUAGGAAAUACUACAUAAUUCAGAUGAGACUGGUUACUAAUUUCUAAUAUUAAAAAGCUGAGAUUUAAUUUUAAUGUGUAUGUAAGAAUUCAUGGGUGGUGAGGGUUGACAUUGUAUUUGACUCUUUGUCUUUGGAAAUGUUUUAUCAAGAUUUACUUUUGCUAAUAUCACUUGGGUAAUGCCCUGGACAUGCUUAUCAAAUGUCAUUACUGCCAGGUUUAUGCUUGUUGUCCAUAGUUCUUAGUCUCUAAUUAAUUCAAAAUAUUGGGAAUAUCUUUUUAUGGCACAUUGAUCUUUUCUUGUUGUAUAUCCUUGAUCUGUAUUUUGAUCGAUUAAGUAUAGAUGUUUGAGUCAUUACUCUGUAUUUUUGAUGGAUUAAGUAUGGAGCUUUGAGUUUACAAUUGAUCAUGGGUAUUUUCUAAAAUCUUAUUACUUUGAAAAAAUUGUAGGUUAAAGGAGCAAGUAAGCCCCUUUUCAAUAAGGACAAAAUGUCACAGACAGAAGGUUUUAUCUUCAUCUUAUUUAUUGUCUUAGAAUGAAAAAAUGACAAUUUGUUCAAGCUGUGAAAGCUUGGUAAGGAUUCUUAAAAACCAGAAAAGUGAGGAUGGCUAAUGCGUGGUGACUUACUUGGUGAUGGAUAAUUUGGAGGUGAUGCCAAAUUAAUUUGCGUCUCCGCAUUUCAAUUUCUAUUUCAGUCUCCACUCUCUAGUGCUUGAACUGGUAGCACUGUCUUUUUUCCUCUAAUUUUAUGUAACCUCUUGUGUCAUUGUUCAUGGAUUGAGAUAUGGUUUCGAUUAUUUGAAUUAGCUAUGAUGACUUUGUUUUGUGGCUCCUUAAUAUUUCUUAAAUUGUUUUGCAUAAACAUUUGUUUUUCCUUAUAUGAAUGUUAUCCCUGUUCAGUUAUUUGUUGCAGCCUCUCCCAUUUUUCAUUCUUUUUCCAUUUUUUUCUUGAGUUUCUAUCAUUAAUAUUUCAUGUGGAGGAUUUUGAUAUGCUCAUUACAGUUUUCUUUAAUCAUAGAAGUAAAUAAAAAUAUGAUAUGAAACAAUAAUUCAUAGCAUGAAUGAAAAUGGUAGAAAAGUAGAGAUUGAACUCUUGUUAUUUUGAUUUUUUAUAUUUGUGGUAUUACAAUAUCUUAGGAAUUGUAAAGUAAUCUACUCCUUUUUUUGUAUAUUUUUAACUAAUUCUGUAAUGUCUAAAGUUUCGAUUAUAUUUCAGUGAUAUUACUAAUAGGAACUUCAACUAGUGUUUCAGCAUUGCGAAGACGAUUCAAUUUUAAUUGAGUAUUUUUGCCAAUGUAAUUGAUUAGCAUUUUUCUUUUAGCUAUAGGAGAUAUUUUAAUGAUCUAACUUGCAUAGUCUCUAAUGUUUCAGUUGAAAUUGUAGUUGUUUGAUUGUUAGAUUUAAUUUUAUUUGCUUUAUUGUUUAUUGGAUUUUGUUGCUUGUCUUAAUUCCUUGGAUUAUAGUUGUAACAUGUAAUAUGAUUUGAGUUGUUAUUUUAAAAUAAAGAAACAUUUACUUGUUAUUUUUUAUAUGACAUCUACAUGCCAUAUUGUUUAAUUUUAUAUCACUUGUUACUAGUUAAAAUGAAUUUGUGGGUAAAUGAAAUUUUGAUCUUGGUAAUUCUUGAUGUAUUGUUAUCUUUAUUUUUAUUCCAAAGAUCACUUGGUCGUUAAAUGAAAGUAGACAUAAAAGUUGCAUCGAACAAUUAUGCAAGUCGAGAGUAAUUUUUUUAUAUUGAAUAUUGCUGUUAAUAAAUCCCUUAAAAAAUAUAUGUUAAAUGAAAAUAUAUUUUGUAUUUAUUUUAGAUUAAAAGUCUUCAGUUUUUCUGUUGAAAACCAAAUUUAUUUGAUCCUACCUAAGAAUUUGGAUCAUGCCUUUGAAAUUCUAAAUAUUGUUGUUUACUUUGUGGUUGCAUUGUGUUUUCUAAUGCCAUUUGUUUUUUUUUUUUUUUAUGUGUAGAUACUUGAAAUCUAAAACGAGCAGCAGCUGGAGUCCUAGUUUGUGGAAGUUGUAAAUUAAUUUAAUUUUGUGAAGCUAUUUGGUCACAAGCUUGUGAAAAAUUCUAAUUGUCUUAUUACAUCUGUUUAAAUGAAUGGAAGUUUUAGUUUACCUAAAUUUUUAGUGCAUCGCAAACAAUUAAUAGGGUAUUUAUUAUUUUAUUUGCAAAGGAAUGACAACAAAUCAAGAGUACCGACCAUUCCAAUCAAGACAUGCCAAAUUCAACAAUUAAAGUGAUGUUAAAAAAAAAAGUGGUAUUCUCUUAGUACCAAAUUAAGCUGUAAAAAACUUCUAAAAAUGAUUUUAGUCAAGUUAGAAAAAUUGAAGAUCUGAUUCUGUAAUUGAAUAAUUGACUUAAUAUAAUUUAUUUUUGAGAUAAAAAAAUAUACUUUGGUGUAACAUAUCGAAACAUCAAAAGUAAGUAUAAACAAAAUUACAUUAAAAAAAAAGAAAUAUAAUCAAGUUGAAAUGAUAGAAAAAAAAUGAUGUUUUAAUACAAAUAAAUUAGCAUCAAUUUUAUUAAUUUAAAAUGUUUUGGAAGUUAUAACUUACGUUUGCCUUAACUUUUUAAAAGAUAAAAUUUUUUGAGAAGCAUAGCAAUUGGCUGCAUCCUUAGAUGGUAUUAUUGUUUAAGUUAUAACAAAUUAAGGAAAUUCUUUUAAAAGUAAAGAGAAAGAUGAAAAUAAAUUAAUAAGGUUAUUUUAAACGUAAAUAAUUAAAAUGGAGAAAGUGGUUCAAAAGAAUUAGAAUUUUCUAAUUUUUUAUUUAAAAUUAUCAUGAUCUAAAACUUGAAUUUAGACAUUUUUUAUUUGAAAUAGAAUUUUAUUUUUCAAAUUAUAAAUUUUUCAUAGGAAAAUGAGAAAUGAUAAAUGAACAAAUGUUUAUGUAGAGUUCAAAAGAUCAAGUAUGGAUAAUCAAAUUAAUGAUUAAAAUAAUCUCUCAAAAUAAUGAAUAACGAUUUUUUAAUCUUUUUUCUCUUUCAAGUACAAACAAAGCAUUUUUGCCAACCUUUGAAACUUUGAUAUAACAUAUUAAUUUUCAUGGUUCAUUGAAUAAUCAUAUAAUAAAUAUAUAAUUUAUUUGAUCAUAACAAUUUGAAAAAUAAAAUGUUUGAGGAGUAUAACAAUUGCAUGCAAAGCUGUUAAAAUGAAUUUUGGUUGAAGUCGAAGAAAUUAAUUAUUUGAAAAGAAAUAGAAUGAAAAAAAUUUUAAACGAAUGGAUAAAAAAAUUAUUUUCCCAGAAGCUUGUAAAAAAUUCUUAUAAACAAAUGGAUGAAAAUUUUGAUUUGAUUAACUUUUUAGUGCACUGGAUAACUUAAUAGGGCACGAUAAUUUCAUUUACAAUUGCAAUCAUUCUCAAUUGUUAUUUAUUUAUAUACCGUUGCAGUUAUGAAAAAUUAAAGCAUUUAGUUUGAAAAGUAAAGAGAAAGAUGGAAAUAAAUGCAUAAAUUUUUUUAAAUACAACUAAAUACUAUUAAUUAAAAUGAUUAAAUGAUAAUAAAUAUAUAUAAAGAUUAAAAUCUUAAGUAUAUAUACAUUCAAGUUCAGAAGAACUCAUGAAGUAACGAAGAUUAAAAAAAAGGACUUAAAAUUAAGGACCCAAAACGUUGAAAAUGAUAAAGGGUUGCAAUAAAAAAAUUUCAAUAUUGUAUAGUAAAUUGAUAUUUGUUAAAAUAAUAAGGGGUUAUAUAUAAUUGGCCUUACUGAUAUUGUUGUUAUUUUAAAAAAGUAAUAUUAUUAUUAGUUGAAAAAAAGGAUAUGGAACAUGUAUCUAUAGUGUUGGAAUAUAAUGAAAAUAAUAGGAACAUAAAACCAUUGUAAAGGUGUAAAAGAAUAUGAAUAACUUAACCUAAAAAUGGGAAUAAUUUACUAAAAAGUUGAAAAAUUAUAACGGAAAACAUGAAUUUAUGAAGUAAACUUGGAUCAUUAGCCAAAAUAUUGGAAUACAAUUGAAAGAGUAAGAAUAUGUAACCAAAAAAUCUUGAAAAUAAAGUUGAAAUUGAUUAAAAGAAAGUAGGAAUACAAAAACUAAACUUGAAAUAUCUAAUCAAAAUAUUGGAAUUUAAUAGAAAGAGUGGGAAUAUAGAACCAAAAAAUGGUGGAAAAAGGAGUGGAAGAGCAGAACUUAAAAGUUGGAAUAACUUGAUAAGAAUUUGAUAAAUUCCAAUGAAAAGUAGAGAUUUAAAAGAUAAACUUGAAACAUUCACCUAAAUGUUGGAAUUCAAUAAAAAGAGUAGGAAUAUAGUAUCGUGGAAAAAAGAGUUGAAUAGGUUAACACAAUAGUUAGAACAACUUACAAAGAAUUUGAUAAAUUCCAAUGAGAAGUAGAGAUCUUAAAAACAAACUUGAAAUAUUAACCUAGAAUAUUGGAAUUUAGUAUAAAAAAAGUAUGAAUAUAUAAUCAAAUCGUGGUGCUAAUAAUAGUUGAAGAACUUAACCCAAAAGUUGUAAGUAUCUACCAAUAAUAUGAUAAAUUCCAACAAUGCAUAGGGAUCUGAAAAAUAAACUUGAAACAUCCACAAAAAAUAUUGAAAUUCAAUUAAAAGAGUAGGAAUAUAAAACCAAUAUAUUGUAGGAAAUGAGUGGAAGUGCUUAACACAGAAAUUGAAACAACUUGACAAGAAUUUAAUAAAUUCUAAUGAAAAGUAGAGAACUAAAAAAUAAACUUGAAACAUUUACUCAAAUAUUGGAAUUCAAUAAAAAGAGUAGAAAUAUAGGACCAAAAUUUGGUAAGAAAAUAAGUUGAAAACGUUACCCCAAAAGUUGGAACAACUUACAAAGAAUUUGAUAAAUUUUAAUAAAAAAUAGGGAUAUGAAAACAGAACUUGAUAUAUUUACCAAAAUGUUGGAAUUUAAUAAAAAGAAUAGGAACAUAGAACAAAUAAAUGGUGAAAAAGGAGUGGAAAAACAUAACCCAGAAGUUGGAACAACUCAACAAGAGUUUGAUAAAUUCCAAUGAAAAAUAGAGNNNNNNNNNNNNNNNNNNNNNNNNNNNNNNNNNNNNNNNNNNNNNNNNNNNNNNNNNNNNNNNNNNNNNNNNNNNNNNNNNNNNNNNNNNNNNNNNNNNNNNNNNNNNNNNNNNNNNNNNNNNNNNNNNNNNNNNNNNNNNNNNNNNNNNNNNNNNNNNNNNNNNNNNNNNNNNNNNNNNNNNNNNNNNNNNNNNNNNNNNNNNNNNNNNNNNNNNNNNNNNNNNNNNNNNNNNNNNNNNNNNNNNNNNNNNNNNNNNNNNNNNNNNNNNNNNNNNNNNNNNNNNNNNNNNNNNNNNNNNNNNNNNNNNNNNNNNNNNNNNNNNNNNNNNNNNNNNNNNNNNNNNNNNNAAUAAAAAAUAGUAGGAUAUAGAACCCAAAAAAGGUGGUAGAAAAAAUAAAUCGGAACAAAUUUACCAAAAAAUAGAAUAAAGUUUAAUACAUACAUAGAUAUAAAAAAUAAACUUGAAAUAUAUCCCUAAAAAGCUGGAAGUUAAUGAAAAGAGUGGAUAUAUGAAACCAAAAACUAGUGGGAAAUGAGUGAAAUAAUGUACCAAAAUUUAGAUAAAUAACCACGAAAAAUAGGAAUUUGAAAAGUAAACUUGAAAUAUGCAUUAUAAAUAUUGGAAUGUGGCAAAAUAAGUAGGAAUAUAACUAUUUUAUAAUAUAUUUAUAUUUUUUGUACUAUUUUUAAAUUUAAAAUUAUUACAAUAUUUUUCCUCAUUUAAUUACAAUUUUAUCUUUUUUUUCAAAAUUUUUCAUAAAUUUUUCACACUUAAAACAAAUAAAAAUGUAAUUUUUAUUAUAUUAUCCGGUUAAAAACCGGUUGUGCUGGUUGCAUGCAUGCGCUGUAUCAGAUACAGCGCUGCAUGGUAGGUUGACUCUUGUAUUAUAUGCCCUCAUUCUCGCAAAAAAGUAAAAUGACAGCAAGAUUUACUUUAAGACGGCAAAUGCUUGAGGAACAAAACACCAAUCAACCAUCAAUCGCAUGAAAGAGUAUAUUUGCCGAUUUGCAACAACACCCAAAGCUUAAUUAUAAUCAUUAUUACAUUUAUAAUUUACUCAAAAAUAAAACAUAUUUUAUUAAGAUGUCUGCAUCAGCUCUUUUAAAUGGUGAGUCGAUAGCUAGAGACAAAGUCAAAGACAGAUAUAAAUGGGGACGGCCGGAUUAAUGAUGGUCCCUUACACUUGUUGUCUCUUCAUUGCAUACGCAGCUAGAACUUUAUUUCACAAUUCAAGCUAUGGGGAAUUUAACCUUCACAAUCAGAGAAAUGAAAGGUGAAGAAUUAAUCACUGUGUCCAUCCUUUUCCAUCCAAUUAAUCCUAACCUUACACUCAUGCCGUCAUCAGUCUACUUCAGUUAAACUUGUGAGGAACGUGACCUGCAAGUUUUUCAGAAUAUUGUGCACGAUGCACGUUGCGCGGAGGCUAUCCAAUCCUUAUUUUAAUGAGAGUCGUACGUGUCUUAAUUUUAUAUUUUAAAUAAAAUAAUAUUUAUUAAUUUAUUAAUAAAAUAAUAUAAUUAAUUUACUUAAAUUUUAUAAAAAAAUUAUUAAUUAUUUAGUCAAUAAUGUAUCAUUUAAAAUUUUAAAAUACCAAUUAUUACUUUGAUCCCAAUUUUAUAGACCCGUGAAAAAUUAAAAUUACUCGUUUUAGCACGAUGGUUUGACAGAGGCUCUCGUGUUGACGUGUGUCUUCUGUUCUAUCGUCCUGUUACUACUAACUACUAUAAAUGAAGCAUGAAGCAUGCACCGUUGAGGCAAACCAAUUACAUAUCUACUUUCAAGAAACUCAUACUCCCCUAAUCAAUGGUAUCAAAAUUUUCCCCAAGCUCUGUCGAUUACUCGGGCAGGGCAACCGGGAACUAAUUGUUCCAGCGAGGGCCACCACCCACGAGAAAGUGAAGCAACUUUCCAGAUAUAGAUGACCAAGAAAGCCUAAGGUUUCAAUACCAGCAAUAUUCUUUACAAGAAUGACCCUUUACCUUCAAUGCAAGGAGAGACCCUGUUAAGGUCAUUAGAGAAGCAAUAAGUAAAGCACUUGUGUUUUACUACCCUUUAGCUGGCAGGCUUAAAGAAGGUUACAACCGCAAGCUUAUGGUGGAAUGCAAUGCUAAAGGAGUCUUGUUUAUUGAUGAUGCCAACUUCACACUUGAGCAGCUUGGAGAUGAUAUUCAGCCACCAUGCCCGUAUUUGAACCAACUGCUUUAUGAUGUUCCAGGCUCUGAAGGCAUUCUUGGUUGCCCUUCGUUGUUAAUUCAAGUGAGUCUCUCUUUACUUUAAUAAGUAUGUAACUUUAUUUUCUGAUUUUAGAAUUGAAAAAAAAAUAGUGGUAGUACAUGCUGAAGAUUAGUUAGGUGAUCAGUUGAGUGGCUUUAAGUAAUUUAUUUAACUAACCACUCGAGUUUAAAUAAUCUUGAGGGAAGAAAGGGGUUAAAAAUAUUAAUUUUCGACUUUGUUUAUUAAAGAAGAAAUUAAUAUUAAAUUUAGAUUAAAACAAGUAUCAAUUCCUACAAAUACAUAGAUUUUUCUUGAAAAUUCUAAACUUAAAGUCGAUAUGAUUGUUAAACUAAUGAUACAAAUUCAUUCAUUUAAUAAUCGUAUAAAAUGUAAUUAAUUUUAAUACAUUAUUUAUAUCGGUUUUAUCGAGUUGGCACGUUUUUAAAAAAAUUAUUAGUUUUACUAAUAAUGAUAAUAAAGAUGUGAAAAAAAGAAGAAGAGAUCCUUAGUAACUUUUACAUUACAUAAUGACUUUUUGAGGUAUAUAUAUCCUGUUUUGCUAUCGGAGGAUUCAUUUUUAUGUUUAUAGGUGACGCGUUUGACAUGCAGAGGAUUCAUUUUUGCAAUACGUUUUAACCAUACAAUGUGUGUGCUUUUGGUUUAGUACAAUUCUUAAAAGCCAUGGAGGACAUGGCACGUGGGGAACGUUCCCCAACUGUAUUUCCAAUUUGGCAACGACAAAUCUUAAAUGCCAGAAAUCCCCCACAAGUAACAUGUAUCCAGUAUCCACCAUGAGUACGAUGAAAUAAACACAAAUGAGGUUCCAAGUGACAACAUGGCUCACAAAUCGUUCUUCUUUAGCCUCAAAGGGAUCAAAGCUCUGAGAAAUCAGCUUCCUUUUCACCUUAAAGAUUGUUCAACAUUUGAGCUAUUAUUAGCUUUUCUAUGGAAAUGUCGAACAAUUGCACUCAAGCUAUAACCUGAAGAGAUUGCUAAAGUUUCUUGCAUCGUUAACGUACGAGGAAAACGUUAUAAAAUGGAUAUUCCUCCAGGCUAUUAUGGCAAUGCAUUUACAUUUUCGGCUGUAUGUUCAACAGCUGAACAAUUGUGUAAGAAUCCAAUAGGAUACGCCGUUGAAUUGGUGAAAAAGGCGAAGGCUCAAAUGAACGAAGAGUAUAUAAGGUCUGUAGCGGAUCUUAUGGUGAUCAAAGGGCGACGAAUAAAGUCCUCGACUAGGGGAAAUUUCAUUGUUUCGGAUCUAAGGAAUGUUGGACUUGGAGAUGUUGAUUUUGGGUGGGGGAAACCAAUUUAUGGCGGAGCUGCUGGGGCUGUAGCAGUGUUCAGCUUCUGUGUUAAGUACCAAAGCAAGAAUGGAGAGCCUGGAAUUCUUGUACCAAUAUGCCUGCCGCAGUCAGCUAUGGAAAGGUUUCAAGAAGAGCUAAAAAGAUUGACGAUUCAAGGAUCUAUGGAGGAUUUAUGGAACACUAACCAGACUCAGGUUUUCAGCAAGCUUUAAGGGAUAUAUCUCCUCAGUUUACGUAGUAGCUUAUUUUGAUCAUAAACCAAUAAUGCAAGUUAUGCGUCCUCUCAAGUUAUGUCUAAACCUAAAUAAUGUACCCUUUACCCUUAACUUUUUAAGGGUAUACGUUAUUAGUCAUUUACGAUUUAGAUAUAUAUUUUCAUAAAAAUGAUAUGCUUGAAGUUAGUAUAUUAAAUAAUGUGUUACCAACAAUUGACCAUCAUGUAUUUGGUAUUUGCAGCACUAAUGAAUAAAUGACAUGUUAAGUUUUACAUCAUUUAUAAUGCAAAUUUUGUAUUCUAAUUUUCUAAACAUAUUAUUAUUCUGAAAGCUAAGAUGAGUAGAAAAUCUUAGUUCAAAAUGAAAAUAGCAAUUCCAUGUCUAAACAGACCUUAGUAAUCAUUUUUGCCAUGUUGCACAAGAAUAUAAAAGAUUCAAUAGAUGAAAUAUUUUUGGAAAAAAAAAAUUACUUCCAAAAUGUUUAGCAUAAAACAGAUAAUACUACACUUUAUCAAACUUAUUUUGGAAAAGAACUGGACUGUUCCCCCUUUCUGUUUACUCACUAUAGCAACAGCAUCUCAACAAAUCUAUCAAAAAUAAAAUAAAAUAAAAACAACGGUGACAAAUCUAUAAAAAUAAUAAUAAUAAUAACAAUGUUGCGGAAACGUGAGUUGAACAAUUACUAAUGUGCAACUUCUGAAGAAAUAUAAAUGUGGUGUUAAACAAAUGUAAAGAAAAUAUAACACAAUGAUUUACGUGGUUCGGCAUAAUGCCUACAUCCACGGGCAAAAACUGAAAGAUAAUUUUACUAACAAUGGAAAUUUAUAAAAGUGGGAACAACUCACAAAACCCACAACCCUAAUACACCCAAAUGGAAUCUCACUAGAACACUUAAAUGGAAGCUCUCUCAAAUUCUCUCAAAGAACUCUCUAAUUCUCUCAAAUUGGGAUGAUUUACAAAUGCAUUUUGCGUCUCUAUUUAUAGGCAAAGCAUGCUCACCUACCACAUGGCUUCAAUUUGACUUUAAUUGGCUAAAUUGACAAAUUUGGUAAUUGGUGCCAAAUUUGUCAUGCAAUACAUGCUAGUUGUCCUAUGCCAUUUAUUCAAUUUGCAUAUUUUCAAAACCUAACCUUGCUUUUUUGAAAUUGGUAAGCCGACCAUUUGACUUUUCAACAAUUCUCCACCUCGGCGAAGAUUUAGUAAAUCUGAGCCGAUUGUCAAUAAUCAUCCUCUAGUCUUUGCCUUCUCUGACUGCUUUUAAACUUGUAGGAUAUUAGUCAAGUUUAGACAAUGCCCAAAGUUGAUCACCGUCACUACCUUGGUCAACAUAUCUGCGAGAUUAUCUGCAGUUUUAAUUUUCUGAAGAAGAAUCUUCCCCUCAUCAACAAUUUCCCGCACAAAGUGAAAUCAUACAUCGAUAUGCUUCGUACGCGCAUGAUAAACUUGGUUCUUCGUUAUGUGAGUAGCACUCUGACUAUCGCGAUACACAUUAAUGUGCUCCUGUGCCAAUCCCAAGUUUUCAAGCAAACCUUGUAACCAAAUAGCCUCUUUAACAACCUCUGUAAUUGCCAUGUACUCAGCCUCCGUGGUCGACAGUGCAACUGUAGACUGUAGUGUAGACUUCCAACUAAUUGGCCCUCCAGCAAAAGUAAAUACAUAUCCGGUGGUUGACCGUCGUUUGUCCAAAUCACCAGUAUAAUAAGAAUUAACGUACCCGAUCACACCUUGACCAAGUGUAUCGUCUCUUUCAAACAGUAAACCAACAUCCACAGUCUUCUGAAUGUACCGUAGAAUCCAUUUCACAGCUUGCCAAUGUCCUUUACCAAGAUUAUGCAUAUAUCUGCUCACUAUACCAACUGCAUGUGAAAUGUCAGACCUUGUACACACCAUUGCAUACAUCAAGCUACCCACUGCAUUUGAAUACAGAACCUCGUUCCGCAUCUGUUGAAGGAGAUAAUUGUGCAGAAAACUUGAAAUGAGAAGCCAACGGGGUACUUACAGGUUUUGUCUGCUCAGUCAUACCAAACUGCUGUAGUACCUUCUUCAAAUAUUGCUUCUGAGACAAGCUUACUUUGCCACGAUCUCUAUCUCUGCAUAUCUCUAUGCCAAGAAUCUUCUUAACUUCACCCAGAUCUUUGAUCUCAAACUCUUGGUUGAGUUAAGUUUUCAACUUCUCUAUCUCAUCUUUGCUCUUCGAUGCUAUUAGCAUAUCAUCGACAUACAAUAGCAAAUAAAUGAAAGAUCCUUUUUAUAGCUUGCAAAAAUACACACAAUGAUCAAAUUUAUUUCUUGUGUACCUUUGCCCUUUCAUAAAUUGAUCAAAUUGCUUGUACCACUGCCUCAGAGAUAGUUUCAACCCAUAAAGCGACUUUGUCAAUUUGCAAACCCAAUUUUCUUUUCCAGCAACCUUAAAUCCAUAUGGUUGAGUCAUGUAGAUUUUCUCUUCCAAAUCACCGAAAAAUGCAGUUUUUACAUUAAGUUGAACUAGUUCAAGAUCAAAUUGCGCAACCAUGGCUAGCAAAAUUCGAAUAGACGAGUGUUUCACAACUAGAGAAAACACCUCAUUGUAGUCCAUUCCUUCCUUCUGAGCGUAACCCUACGCUACCAAUUUAGCCUUGUAUCGAAUUUCAUUUUUAUGAGGAAAUCCUUCCUUUUUUGCAUAUAUCCAUUUGCACCCAAUUGCCUUCUUUUCCUUGGGCAGUGUAACUAACUCCUAAGUUUCAUUUUUGUGAAGAGACUGCAUUUCUUCGUUCAUUGCUUUCUUCCACUGUAUGCUUUCUGGAUUACUUAUUGCUUUUCUGUAAGUGGAAUGAACAUCAUCAUCUACAAUUGGAAGUGCAUAGGCCACCAUAUCAACAAAGCGAGCAGGUUUGCGAAUUUCUCUGCGUGGCCUUCUAUAUGCAAUUGAAUCUUGUUGCUGUGAAGGUUCUUGGGUCAGAACCUCUUCAUCAUUUUCAAUCGAUGGAGAAUCACUAUCCAUCUCAUCGACACCAGCUGGAUCAACUUUAACUUUUUCAAACUUCACCUGCUGCAAAGUGCUACUGGUCUUGUCAUCCUCUUGAGAAUCUUUUUGUUUCAACAUAGUUGAUUAAUCAAAAGUUACAUCUUUGAUGAAAAUAAUCUUCUUCGUAACAGAACACCAGAGACGGUAUCCUUUUACUCCACCAGUUAUACCCAUGAAUAAUACUUUCUUUGCUAUUGGGUCUAACUUAGAUUCUUUUACAUGAUAAAAAGCAGUGGAACUAAAAACAUGUAAAGAAUUAUAAUCAGUAGCAGGUAUACCAGUCCACAUCUCCAUGGGUGUUCUGCCCUCAAUUGCAGUUGAUGGCAAAUGGUUGAUCAGAUGGCACGCAUAUACAACUGCCUCAGCCCAAAACUCUUUGCCCAAUCCAGCAUUGGACAACAUACAAUGAACUUUCUCCAGUAUAGUCCGGUUCAUGUGUUCUGCCACCCCAUUUUGUUGUGGUGUAUCUUGAAUAGUGAAAUGUCGCUCAAUACCCUCAUCUUGGCAUAGCUUCCUUUUUGACUUCCUUUGUCCAUUUUUAGCUCCAUGUGCAAGAUUAAUUUUGCUUGGCCCGUACAAGCUCUAAUUGGAAAAUAUUCUUUAUUUCUUUAUUUCUUUCUAAUUCUUAAUCUCUUUUGCACUUUUGUCUCUCAAUCUUCAAUUCUUUUCAUAUUCUGAUUCUUUCAAUUAGAUUUCUUUCCUAAAUACUCCGAUUUAAUUUCUCUUUAAUCCCAUAAUAUACCUAAAAUAACAAAAUAAAAAAACUAAGAUAAAAAUAACACAAUAAAAAUAUAAUUUACUAAAUUAAAAAUUAACUAAAAUAACUAGAAUAUUUAAGACCAAAACAAGAAAAAAGAUGAGGAAAUUAAUAGCAAAAUAUAUGAAAAAUAUGCACUUAUCAUUCUGCAUAAUUCAAGUUUCGCAUGCUGAAGGACACAACUCUCCACAAUAAGAAACAUUUACAAAUAGUUCAAGUUUCGCAUGCUCAAGGACACAACUCUCUGCUUAAAACUUGUGCCCCCAACAUACAUCCCCAUCACUAGUUAUAUACAUAAGUUUGCAAAUGACACCCCUAUUUGCUAGGUUUAUGUGGCUGCGCCACCCUCGCACAACCUAAAUUUCCCUCCCCAAAUUUUAGGCACCACUAGCAUUAUCUAAAGAGCACAUCUCUACUCCCCCUUGAAUCAAGCAACCGCUGCCCAUUUAGCCUAUUAGCAAGGAAAUCAUGGGAUAUAAUCGCCACUGCCCAUUAACUUUGCCCCUCAUUUCUAGGCAUGUGAUCAAAGCCCAUGUUUUCGCACUUAGUUGCACCCACAAUUGCCCACUCAUGCUUGAUUUUAGGGCCACUUUCUAAGAGUUUCAGCCACCAUACUCCAUGUUCAACCACCAUUGUCCCGCACUUAGCCCGCACAUGAACUCUUUUCAUUUUUCACAUGAUUUGGCCCCACGUGCAUGCCCCAUGUUGCUGCACACUCAUGCACACUCCGACACACAAUUAUGCCAUUAUCUCUCAAACUACCCAUGCAAUUGAGCUACUAUCUCACGCAUCGCUGUGCCCCACGCUUGCGGGCUGCUGCGCCUAGUGCUCGCGCGCUCUUGUGCCUUCGCGCUUGCAUGCUGUUGCGCCUUGUGCUCAAGUGCCCUACGCCUCGCGCCCACCGGCCCAUGCGCGUCACACCCGCUCGCCCGUGCAUCUCACACCUGUGCACCCAUGUGCUCAUGCACUUGUGAAAUGUUGCGUGCGCUGCCCAUAUAUGCCCUUGCGCUCACUAUCUCGCAUUCCCUACAUCUAUGCCACAACACACACUUGUUGCAGCGGCCCAGCCCAUACGUCAUACUUACUUUGCUUUGAUGCUUGCCCCCAAGCACGCCUAUGUUUCUGCCAUGACUUGGCAUAAGGCCCGAAGCCAAGCCAAGACAGUCGGCCAUCAUGACUUACGGUGGUGACAAACCUCCCCCACCCAAAAAGCACAACGCCUUCAUCGGUGGGGUAAAUAUGUCUGCUAUAACCUCCCAUACUCAAAGCUAUAUCAAAGAUAUAACCUCCACUAGUGCAGCAACAUCUUCCGUAACCUUGUUCAGCUUAUCCAAAAUCCCAUUCAUAAACUUCGCCCAAGUUUGCUUUACAUUUUCCGUCUCGAGGGAGUUGAUUUAUGUGUUCUUAGCCAAGCUCUCCAAGUCAGGUUGUAAAGUGCCCACAAUUGCCUCAAAAUGCACUAACCUGUCCUUUUUUGACUCCCCUGUCAUGUUGGUUUCCACUAUUAUCAAUCUCCUUGAAACUACAUAAAUACAUUCUUUCACUCUAGUUUCUCCCUAAAACUAUAAAAGCACCUAUCCGCAAACUGAUUUAACCGAGCUUGGCUCUGAUACUAAAUUGUCACUGAAACUGAGGUAGCCGUCCUCUGAUACCAAUAUGGUCACCAAAAUUUUUCUAACUAUGUGUGGCAACCCGCGUGAUGACACUAAGUACUCUGCUUAACCAGCCACUCAAAAUGCCCAACGGAAGCUAAUGCAUCAUAAGUAAUUUAAGAAGGUUAUGCAAGAGAGAUUUCUCACCAACACAAAGAACUACACACACAAGCCACGAGAGCACAAGUGAUUUUCUUUUUACAGAGGCACCAACCUCUAACUUUUCUAUUUCCGCAAUAAGAAAAGUUUACAAAUAGUUCAAUUUUCACAUGUAUACCCAGUAUACAUCCUACCACUAUUUAUAUAUUAAAUUUGCAAAUGACACCCCCAUUUGCUAAGGUUAGGCGGCACGUCACCCUCGCGUCACCUCAGUUUCCCUCACAAAUUUUUAUACACUAUCAAGCAUGAUUUAAGUAGCACAUCUUCAUUCCCCCUUGAAUCGAACAAUCGUUGCCUAUUUAGCCUUUUAGCAAGGAAAUCAUGGGGAUGUAAAAGCCGCUACCCACCAGCUUCUCGAUAAGUAACCACCACUACCCACUAGCUUUACCCCUCAUUUCUAGGCAUGUGAUCCAAGACCAUGCUCUCCUACAUAGUUGCAAAAGACAUUGGUCCAGUUGCGUGGGCAGUUUGCGGGAUAAUUCGAGAGAGUGGCGUAAUUGCAUGUCAGAGUGUGCACAAGUUUGCAGCAACAUAGGUCGUGCACUUGGGGAUAAAUCAUACAAAAAAAAUGAGAGGAGUUCAUGCGCGAGACAAUGGUGGUUGAAUGUAGACCAUGGUAGCUGAAACUCUCCGAAAGUGGCCCUAAAAUCAAACAUGAGUGGGCAGUUGUGGGUGCAACUAAGUGGGAGAACAUGGCCUUGGAUCACAUGCCCAAAAAUGAGGGACAAAGAUAGUGGGCAAUGGCAGUUACAUCUCAUGAUUUCCUUGCUAAUCGGCUAAAUGGGCAGCAAUUGUUUAAUUCAAGGAGGAGUGAAGAUGUGCUCCUUUGAUCAUGCUUAGUGGUGCCUAAAAUUUGGAGAGGGAAAUUGAGGUAGUACGAGGGUGGCGCGCCACCUAACCUUAGCAAACGGGGGUUUCAUUUGCAAAGUUAUAUAUACAAAUAGUGAUGUGGAUGUAUGUUAGAGGUGCGAGUUUUGAGUAAAGAGUUGUGUCCGUGAGCAUGCAAAACUUGAACUAUCUAUAAACUUUUCUUAUUGUGGAAAUAAAAGCAUUGGGGCUUGGUGCCUCCGUAAAAAGCAAAUCAUUUGUGUUCUCGUGGCUUGUGUGUGUUGUUCUUUAUGUUAGUGAGAAAUCUCUCUUGCAUAACCUCUAUUGGGAGUCUUGGAUUACUUGCGACGCAUUAGCUUCUGUUGGGCAUUUUGAGUGAUUGGCUAAGUGGAGACUUAGCCCCAUCACAUGAGUUGCCACACAUUGUUAGAAAAAGCCUCGUAACUAGUUUGGUAUCAGAUCCAGGCUCGGUUAAAUCAGUUUGCAGACAACUAGUUUUGUAGUUUUGGGAAGAAACUAGAGUUCAAGAGUGUAGUUAUAUAGUUUCAGGGAGAUUCACAACGACGAAAACCAACAUGAAGGAGGAGUCGACAAAGGACAAGUUGGUGCGCUUGGAUGCAGUUGUGGACACUUUACAGUCCGACUUGGAGAGUUUGGCUAAGAAUACAAAAAUCAACUUCAUCGAGAUGGAAAAUGUGAAGCAAACUUCCAUGGAGUUUGUAAACAAGUUUUCAGAUAAGUUGAACAUGGCUACAGAAGAUGUUGCUAUACUAGCGGAUGUGCUUAAAGGGAUCUUGAAAAGGAAGUGGGAUUGCUGAAACAUGCAGUAGGGAACACCUCUGAGGCGGAGGAUGGACCUUCGAAAGUUAAAGUAUUCGAACCAAAGGCUUAUAAAGGAACUUAGAAUGCCAAAGAGUUGAAAACUUUCUGUGGGACAUGGAGAAGUAUUUUCGAGCUGUUUGUGUGCCUGAAGUGGAGUGGGUCAUUAUCACGAGCAUAUACUUAGAGGCCGAUGCUAAGUUAUAAUGGUGGAGCAGGCUUCAAGAGGAUGUUAAAGCGCAACGACCAGCGACUGAAACUUGAGACAGGCUUAAAGAAAACUGAAGGGACAAUUCUUCCCGAAAAAUGUUAGCUGGCUACGAGGGGGAGCUCGAAGAAUCUAAAGCAUAUUGCAUCAAUAGGGAAUUGCGUCAAAGAAUUCAGUUCAUUGAUAUUGAACAUCAAGAACAUGUCGGAUGUGGACAAGCUUUUCAAUUUCAUGUUAGAUUUGGAGUUGUGGGCUCAAACAGAAUUACGGAGGAAACCUGUGAGGGAUUUACCGGCUGCAAUAGCAGUGACCAAUGGCUUGGUAGAUUUCAGAUUUGUGAACGCUUGUCCUUCCAAAUAUAAGAAAUCAAAGGAUGGUAAGAAAGGCAAUUCCUACUACUAGAAUUAUGGUCAUCUGCGACCAAUAAAUUCGUCGCAAAAAAUAUCAAAUUCGUCACAAACAAUAAUUUGCGUCAAAAAAAUUAUGGUCGCAAGUUGGUCACAUUAGGUCUAUCGAGGAAAAAUAUAUACGACGAAAAAAAUGGUCACAAAAUAUAAUUUCACUUUGUCUUUGUUACCUUUUUGCAACCAAUUAUUUCGUCAUAGAUUUAGAAUAUUUGCAACCAUACUCAAACUGGUCGCAAAAAAUUUAAAUAUAAUAUUAUGUUUUAAUUAUAAUUUGUUUAUUUUUCUUUAAUAAUUAAGACAAUUAUAACCAACGUCAUGAAAGUAGAAAAAUUAAAUUAAAAUUUAUUAUUGAUAAAAAAUACACAAAUUUUAGCAAACGAAAUUACAUUAUUUAGAACAAUUACAUAAUUGUAACACUUGGACAAUUACAUAAUGAUCCUCAAAUAACAUUGUAAUAUUUGGAACAACUAUAUUUGUUCAUAAAUUUCUUGAUUUUCUUCACCUCUUUGUAUAUGAUCUUCAAUAUUUAAUUUAUACCAAAAAAAAAGCACAAAGGUUAGUUAACUUCUACACAUGAUAAUUAAAUAAAAUUAUGUAACCAAAAAAAUAAAAACGUUUGUGAGAAAAUAAGAUAGGAAGAUAGAGUGAGAACAAGAGAAUGAGAAUUAUAAGAGUGAGAGAACUUAGAGAUAAAAAUGAAAGAGAGAAGAAUAUUACAAAUAUAUAUAACAUGCUAGUCUUUUGCGACCACGUUUAAAUUUGUUCGCAAAAACUAGUUCAAAUUGAGUUUAAUUGUGUAAGACGGUUCAAUUUCCACCAAAAUCUUUUGACUUUUUUCAACAACUUAAAAGGGGUCGCAAAAAGUAGAUAUAUUGAGACGAAAAUUUGGUUUUGUCCCAAAAAAGAAGUCGCAUAUUAAUUUUAUCACUUUCUUUUUUGUGACGAAAUCUUGAAGUGGUUGCUAAAAGUAUAGAAUUUCCGAUAAAAUGUUUUUGGUCGCAAAUAAAUUAAAAAUAAAUAUAAUUGGCAAAUGCUUUUGCGACGAAAAUUGUGUUUGAUCCCAAAAAGUGAGUUUCUGUGAUAAACUUAAUUUCGGUCACAGAAAAAUAAAACAUUUAGCGACGAGAUCGUCUAUGGUCGUAAAAAGUGACAUUCUGUGACAAAAAUUAUAUCGUCACAGAAAAUAUGGUUACGAAAGAAUAUAAUACUUGUAGUGUUCUUACAUGAUGGUGGUGAGAAGAAUAACAACCAAAACAAAGCCAAGCAAGUGAAUCCACAAGGAAAGAGGAGUUCGGGGUGCUUCAUCUAUGACAGAGAACAUUGGGCAAAAGAUUGUCCAAAACGCGAGAAGCUGAAGGCUUUGAUGAAGGAAUUAGAAAGGAAGUCUUUGAAACCUUUGGAGGUUGAAGUAGCAACAACGUCCAUGAAUCUGUUACAAAUGUCGAGCAACUUCGUCAAGGUAGAAAAAGAACCAAUGGAUCAAGAGGUGCUAGCAAGCAUUCUGAGGGGUGAAUUCCACCAAGGGGGACUAAUUUGUGCAACAAUGUGGCUGAACAAAGUUAAAGUGAGAGCAAUAAUUGAUACGGGAGUGGAAGGAAGUUGGGUACCAUGUUUUGGUCUGCAAGUCGCUAGAGCCAACAUUGCCGUGGGUCUUACUUCAUACUAUCGGGUGGUUCCGAAUGACACAAUGGUGGCCAACCUAAGUGUGGGCACUUGGGUGUGUGAGACAACAUUUAUGGUGAUAGUUAUGUCCUAAUUUGAUGUGAUUUUGGGAAUAAAGUUCUUGUACAAUGCAUAGGUGCAUGUACUAUCUCACUUGUCAUGUAUUUAGAUCGGGGGCAUUAAGAGCCAUGCACAGUUGAAUGCGAGUAUCGGAGUUUGAGUAGGCUGAAACCAUCACUCUAGACUAUCAACAAUGGUUUAGAUCGGGGGAGUUUUGCAAUGAUCAGGUUGAAGAGCACAAUCAAGUUAAGAAAGACCUUGACAGGUAGUGAGACACUUGGACCUCGACUAGACAAGUUACCGAAGAAGAUAAGUAACCAAAGUAUAGCAGAAUCAAAAGCUAAGUCCUUGGCAAAUUUUUCUAAUUACUGGAAAUUGACGACAGUAAGACUGAAGGAGACAUUCAAGAAGGUAUCAGUUGUGGUGAGUCUUUGCCGUACGAGGGAAAACGAUGGUGCAUUAAAAAUGAAGCACAAAGCUUCGAGCACUGUAAAACAGCAAACGAGAGUCCGAUAAAAACUUCACAGUGGCUGCUUGGUUCAUAUUCGUGCUGUUGGGUGUAAUGACAUUGUUCUCUAUUUAUUGAUGCACAUGCAAGUGGUGUGAACAUCAAGCAUUGUGCGAGGAAACUCAUUAUAGUGGGCUGAAGUGGAAAAUGACAUGUGUGGCUGCCGAAUCCGAGGGAACUUUAGCAUUCCUUGGCAACAAGGCAGCAAGGAUGAAACUUUAUUGCGACGUCUACAAAAUGGACAAGCAAAGGCUUGCGUGGACGCAAUGACUUGUGGAAGUCGAGAGGGAACAAUUUGUAGCGACAAGUACAUUCUUAGGAAGAAUGGCUAGUGGGAAAAUCGCUAGCACAAAGUUAUUUAAUAGGUAGUGAAUGAUUCCACAUGGGCAAAAUUGCUUGCUGGAGUGCGCCAAGCAUGCAGCAACAUGGGGCAUGCACAGGGUGCCAAAUCAUGUGAAAAAUCAGAUGUGUUCAUGCACGGCUGUGUGCACACAAUGGCAGUUGAAUGUGGAGCAUGGUGGCUGUAACUCUCCGAAAGUGAGCAUAAAAUCAAGCAUGACUGGACAGUUGUGGGUGCAACUAAGUGGAAGAACAUGGCAUUGAAUCACAUGCUUAGAAAUGAGGGGCAAAGAUAGUGGACAUUGGCGAUUCCUCAUCGAGGAGGUAGUCAACGACGGUUACAUCCUAUAAUUUCCUUGCUAAUAGGCUAAAUGGACAGUGGUUGCUCGAUUUAAGGGGGAGUGGAUAUGUGCUCCUUAGAUCAUGCUUGGUAAUGUUUAAAAUUUGGGGAAGGAAAUUAAGGUGGCGCGAGGGUGGCGCUAUUGCACACAUUAGUCCCCCUUGGUAGAAUUCACCCCUUAGGAUGCUUGCUAGCACCUCUUGAUUCAUGGGUUCCUUCUCUACCAUGACUUCUUUGUUGCUCAACAGUUGUAACGGGUUCAUGUGUGUUGCUGCUACUUCGGCCUUCAAAGGUUUUGAAGACUCCCCGUCUGAUUCCUUCACCAAAGCAUUCAGCUUCUCAAGCUUUGGACACCUCGAACUCUUCUUUCCUUACGGUUUCCCUUGCUUGGCUUUGUUUUAACCGUUAUUCUUCUUCCCACCAUCACGCUAAAAAUUGCCUUUCUUACAAUCUUUUGAUUUCUUAGAUUCGGAAAGAGAAGCGUUUGCGAAUCUGAAAUCUACCAAGCCAUUAGCCGCUGGUAAAUCCCUCACAACUUGCCUCCGCAAUUCUAUUUGAGCGUACAGUUGCAAAUUGACAUGAAAUUGAUCAUCUUGUCCUCAUCCGACAUGUUCUUGAUGUCCACCAUCAACGAACUAAAUUGUUUAACGUAAUCCCUCACUAAUCUGGUAUACUUUAGCUUCACGUGCAUAAGUUUAAGAAUUAUUACCUCAUAUUAUUGUCAAGGAUUAGUAGAAAAUCACGGUAUUCUUUUUGUUAUCUUUUAGUUCAUUCAUUAUAUUGUGAUGUUUAGGGCAAAUAGAUAUGUAUCCAACAAAUAUUUGCGUGGGUAUUGGACACGGAUAAGAAUUACACUUGUGUCCUCAAGUAAUUAACCAGUCAUCAAAUCGGUUAAAUAAUUUUUUAAGAUCAAAUAAUAAAGAGAAAUAAGCACAGUCUAUCUAAAUUUCCAUAAUUUCUCCAUUAAAAAAAUUUAAUUACCAUAUUUAAAAAAAUAUUUUUUUUUAAUAUUAAAACAACUCGAUCUUAAAUUUUUCAUCUUAUUCUUACUUUUCAUAUAUUGCUAGGGAUGACAAUGGAUUGGAUCUAACCCAAGAUCCACGUGAUCCAAAUCCAAUCGGAUCGGAUUUAGGUCAGUUUAAAAUGAAUUUAGAUCAGAUUUGAAUAUCAAUGUGCGGAUUUAAAAUGGAUCUGGAGCAGGUUUGGAUCCAUUUUAAUAUCUAAAUCCAUAUCCAUAUCCACCCAUCUUUUUAUUUUAUUUUAUUUUAAAAGUUUCUUAAUAAUUAUGGAAUUAUAAUAAUAAUAAAUUUUAUUCAUAGCAUAUUAGUAGUAUUUACCAUGCAUUUAAAUUCUUAAAAUUUAAAGGUUAGUUUUGUAAAUUUAAAGGUCAGCCAGCCCCACAGCAUGUACAUGCAAUAUUCAAAUUGCAAGUCCAGUAAUACAACCUGGUAAUUUAUUUUAUUAUAUUGACCAAAUAAUUUUUAAGGAAUAUAAUUAUUCAUAUAUUUAGUCAAAUAUGGGCAUAAUAAAAAUAAUAAAGGACUGGAUAUAAAUCAUAUUUAAUUUAUAUGUCAUUGUCUAAUGUUGUAGGAAUGAAGGUGGGUGUGUUGUUGAUAUUAGAAUUGUGAAGGAGACAAUAGAAUAUUAGAUUGAUUUUGCUCCUAUAAUUACUUUUGAACGAUAUUUUAUUAUCUUUCUUAUUUGUUGUUUUGAUGUAAAAGUAUAAGCUACAAUAUUUAUUAUAUUUUUGAGAAAAAUUAUAUAAUUUAUUUGUUAUCAAUACAUUUUAUCCAAUGAAUAUAACUAAAAAUUCAAAAUUGUACGGUACCAAUCAUAAAAAACAAAAGGGAUAACCAUUAACAUGUAUUUGAUGACGAUUAAAAAAAUUCAUAUUUAUUUUGUACACAUCCAAAGUAAUAUGUAUAUUUGCAUAUUCAAUUUUUUUUGGUCAUUUAGAAAAUAUUUAUCAAUUAAUUAAAAAAUAAAUUUACAUCCAUGAACUUGUUAAUUUUUAAGUUAUUUAUCUAUUAAAUUAAGCCAAUGGAAAUAUUAAAAAUAUUUAAAUUUAAGGUCCAAAAUAAUCGCAUCUCAAUACUAUAAAACUUUAUACCACAUUAUGAAAAAAUUAAUUUUAAAAAUAUACAUAAAAUACCACAUUAAUAAGUAUUUUAAUAAAAUAUCCAGUUGAGGAAACGUAGCAUUUCUCUUAAUGAAAUUUAUGGUCUUUGUUCUUUAAAGUUUUUUUUUUUUGUCAAGAAAACAUGCUACUGACCUCAAACAAAUAAGACCCUUGAUUUUAGGGAAAUUUACACUAUUAACCAUAAAAUUUUUUUCUUUUUCCAUCUUAACCCCCAAACAAAUUUCUAUCAACAUUAGCCACAAAAAACCUUUGAGACCAAAAUACCCCUCUCUCUCAUCUCUCCCCCAACACUCUCUCUUUCACCCAUCUCUCCCAAACUGAAGAAUCUCUCAUCAUCAGUGGCAACAUCAACCCUCGUCGGCGGUGGCUUCAUCCCUCAUCGGCAUCCGAUCUAUCAUCUACAGCCUUCAACAACACCUAGGUUAGCCAUUUUAUUUAUUUUCAUUAAUUUAAAAUGAAAUUUUAGAAUAAUAGUGGUUGUAGUUUGAGAAUAAUGGUGGUGGUGGUGUUUGUGGUGGUUGUUGUUGUUUUGGGAGUGUGUUGAUUUGGGAGUGUUGUUUUGGGAAUGUUGAACCACUGCCCAGCGAAGGGCGCUAGCUCGCGCCCGUCACUGGGCAGCAGCGCGCGCACGCACCCCUACUAUCGCACUAAAUUACAUUGGGUUUAACAUUUUUUUCCGUCAACUCAAUUUAUUUUAUUUUUGUUGUAAAUGCAAUGUAAUAAUGUUAUAAAUAUUAUAGAUACAUGGCGAAAUCAGAAUCAUCGGAUAUCGAAGUAGGUAGGAUGUAUUUUCGUUAUGCCAAUCACUUUCCGGGUCGAAUUUCGAGCAUGUGUAAUUUAUCUUCGGUCGCAAAAGCCAUCGAGGAAAAAUUAACAAAGCGACAGUUGAAUCUAUUCAAGAAGGAUAUAUUUGGGCAUUUUUUGGAGUGUCGAAGCUUUCCAUUUAGUCGGGUAAUUUUGCACAAUCUUUCACUGAGGCAAGUGGCCCAUGAAGAAGAUAGCCGUGAGGAUCAGUUAUGGUUUCAAAUUGGUGAGCAUUUGAUUCGCUUGUCAAUUGUAGAAUGGUGCCUGGUUACUGGACUUUCAUAUGGUGUUGAUAACGAACUAAGAAAUAACAAAACGGUGCAUAGGCUACGGAAUACGUAUUUUGGUGGUGUGCAUCGCAAGAUCAAUUUUAAGGAAUUCGAUGCAUUAUUUAAGAAGUUGAAAUUCGAGGAAAUGGACAAUAUGGACGCAUUAAAGAUUGCGCUCUUUUAUUUUGUGGACAAAGUACUAAAUGCAAGAAUAAAUCACUGUCAAAUCAAUUUCGAUUGGCUUAACGAAAUUGAUGAUAUAGAGUACUUCUGAAACCGUUCAUGGGGUCGUUUUUCAUGGGAAAUGUGACCGGCUCCUCUAUCAUCACCAUUAUUAUUGAAAUGAGUGUCUCUCAUACUAUUAGAAGGUUUUGCACAAACAUUAUCCCCAUCUAUCUCAUCAUGAAGAUCAUCAUUGUUCCGGAAAUCAUUGUUGUGAUACGGAGGAUACCGUUGCUCCAACGACGUCUUUAUUGGAAAUACCGUUGCUCCAACAUCCUGUAACGUAAUGCCGUUAUCAUCAAUCACUACUAGAAAAAUGGGCUACCAUGACAGAGAAUAUCUGUCAUCCGACCCUGUUUAUGACAGAGUUUCUAUCUGUCAUUGUAGCCCCUCUCACAAACCUGUGACAGUAAUUUAUCUAUCAUAGGUAUAUGUGACAGCUUAUAGCUAUCACAAAUGUGUCACAACAAAAGCAACGUCAUUUUAAUAUUUUAGUGGUAAAUUUUUUUUAUUGUGAAAAAUCUUUUGGCGGGUAUUAUUAAUUCAAUUUUAAAUUAUGGCGCGUAAUUAUGUGUCACAACUUUAUGAUUCUAAUAUGGUGUCACGAUGUGAUUUUUUUAAACAAUAAUAUUAUUAAAAGAAUUUUUUUAAAAUCAUAAAUUUGUAAUAUUUUAAAUAAUAUUAAUAUUAUUAUUAUUAAAAAUAUUAAAAAUUAGAACAUAAGUUUUAAUAUUUUUAAUAAUAAUAUUAUUAUUAUUUUAUAAUUUUAUAAAUUCCAUUGAAAUUUAAAAAUUACAAUAUGUAUAAAAUCAAUACAUCCAAAUUAUCUCAACAAUAUUAUCAAAACAUCACUAAAUCAUCACUUGAAAUAACCAUAACAUUGUCAAAACAUCAUCUAUUCAAUUAUCACAAAUCUACAUCCCAACACUACCAUCUGGAUCAUUACCAGCAUACAAAAACAUCACAACACUAUAUAUCAUCUGAAACACUACCAGGCUGAUCAAGAUUCACUACUAUACUUAAGACUUUAUCAAACAAUAUAGCAUACAAAUUUCACUACCACUUAGACUUUAUCAAGAUUCACUAUCAUCUGGAACAAUACCAGCAUACAAAAUUCACUGCCACUUAAGACUUUAUCAAACAAUAUCAUCAUCAACUCCACUGCUCAUACUAUCAGCUCAGACACAAAGGAAGCAUACUCGAGACGCACUUCAUCAAGCUCACUUUGAGUGUAUUCACAUUUCCCUUUAAACUGUGAAAUGAUGAUCACAUGUUAGACUAAAGUAAACUAUAUAUAGUUAAAAGUAUUAAGUGAAGAAAUCCGACAAUGCAUCUGAAAGAAUGUGUACUUACAUCAUGGAGAAGUAAACUCGGGUCUGCAAUUAUGUCUUUCAUAAACCUCAGCACAUAGUAUCCACACUCAGUACUCCCUGGUUGAUUUGGGGACUAUAUCAUCAACAAAAUAAUCAUUAAUACAUAUGCAUAUGAAUUCUUUCAAGUGAUUAAAUAUUAACAAGUCAUGCGCUGCCAAAAAAAAAGAAGAAAAAAGAAAGUCAUGAUUGUUUACCAAAACUUUUGUGAUAUGUGGUUUCACCCUUUUUUUACCAGUCACCGCAACAUGCAUUGAUAUCCCACUACAUUAUAAUACAUGCAGUAAGUAAAUAAACAUGAUACAUAAAAUUAUAUUAAAAAUACAAUAUCACCAUACUUGGUAACUAUGUCCUUCAGGUCACUGUCGUCACCCAAAUCGUUGUUCGUAGAAUCCAGAUAAAACGCUUGCUUUGUCGUCAUAUCAAUUACAAUCAACACCCAAUGGAAACUAUUACAUAAAGAAAUUGAAAUUAUGAAUCAAUUUUAGUAAAUGAUCAUCAAUAUAAAGUAAAUAGAACUGUACCCAGGGUUAUAUGGCAUGAAAAUCAUUUGCCCUUUGUUUGCUUUGUUCAACCGUUCGGCAAUAAAUUGUGCCCUUUUUACCCUUGUAGCAAAGGCAUCCUUAUCAUGGGCUGAUGAUACGAGUCCUGUGUGUAUGAACCUAAAUGGUCUGCCCACUAUAUCAUUCGCCAUGUGUGCAUGCAACAUCCUGAUGCAAUUAAGAUGAUGAAAUAGUGAGAAUGUUGCCAAUAAAAAAUAUCACUAAAAAAAAAAGAAACCAGAGAAAGGAAGUAAUAAACUAAAAAUUGAAAAUAAACUAGUAAUUAUGAUUUUGUAAACUUACGCGAUGUAUAGAUGCAUAUGAUUUGCUCCUAGCUCUUUCAUCGAAAUCAAUGAUUGACAUUCAUCGAGACCAAUAUGUGCUUUAGUUGGAUGCUUGUAUACCUCUUCAUCCAACUGAUAAGGUACAUAAUAACCCAUUUGAGCCAACUUCUUUUCACAAAGAUUUGCAAAUAUUACAAGCCCAGGCACCCGGUUCAUAUGCACAAUAUGAUAAUUCCUUGUUCUUCUUCUUGACAGUGGCUUCUCUUGAGGCUUUUUUGGUGAUGUCUUCUUCUUUGGACUACAUGGUUUGUCUCUUGGACAAUCAAGAGUCAUUCUUGGUUUCUUGUGAGGCUUCAUUGGUGAUUCCUUCUUCUUUCUUGGUGAUUGCCUUUUCUUCAUCACUUGCUGCUUUGGUGAUUCUUGUUUCUUCCUUGGUGAUUGCCUUUUCGUUGGAGUUUCUGGUUUGUCUCCAGGACAAUCAGCAGUCACUUGCUUCUUUGGUGACUCAUUCCUCUUCCUAGGUGAUUGCCUUUUCUUUGUCAACGUUUCGUGCUUCUUCUUUGCAGGUGAUCCAUUCCUUGUCAUGCCGAUUGACUGACAAGCCAAAAAAAAAAAAGGUUUGUUAUUACGGUUUUGACUACGGCUAAAAUUGUCUAAAAUCCAAUGUUUAAGUCAUUUUUUAACUUGACUGUGCACAAUAAUCUGUAUCAUACCUUGUCCUCAUUACGAGCAGUCAUUUCUUCAGCUUCAUCUUCAAUUGUUUGCUCAUCUAAUGGAAAGUUUGAGCUUCCAACAUCUGAAUGUCGAGGUUGCUUUUUAAUCUUCUUCUUCAGAUCACUCAACUCUGCUUCUUGCUUAUCUAACCUCUCUAGUAUGUUUAGUCGCUCUUGUCGCAUCUGAAAUGAAUUGUUUGGGGUGUCAAAGUACAUCUUAGGCGAUAUAAAUUUCCCAACACCCUGCAUAUGUCCAGAAGUGGCAGGCCUUCCAAUUGAACGUGCAAGAAUAUCAUUUCUUGCAUCAGCUUUAAAUUCUCCCUUUUUAGCUUUCUCUUCCAGUGCAUCCUAAUUGCAUAAUAAUCAUAUUGAUGAAUAUCAAUUUUUUUCCAACAGAACCUACUUAAAAAAAAAACCUUGCUAUUACUUACAAUCUUCUUCACAACUGAAUCAACAUCAGGAUCAUAUUCACCGUUUUUCAUCUUCCUAGCACGCUUCCAUGCUACACUCCUGUCAACUUCAGUUUCGACAAGUCCAGUUUCCGAGCACUAUAGUUUAAAAAAAUAAUAAUAUCACAGCUGGUAUGCAUCCUUAACUAACCAUGAAUUGCAAGCAGUAAAUUAAAACAAAAGGUUUGCCAAUUUAUCAUCAUCAAACCAACCAUCUUUAUACCAAUAGCUAUACAAGAAUGGUCAAGUUAGUAUCAUAGUACUUACAAUUUCAUCAAGCAAUCCAGCAUAUCCUUUUCUACUUAAACGAUGGUUCCACUUGUUGUUAGCUCUCUUAUUUUGCUGUUGACGCCUAAUUCUCUACAUAAAACAAUCCAUAAUUAGAUUUAAAGAUGGUUUUAUGAAAUGUCUAAAUGUUUAACAUUUAAAAUUAUUCACCUCAAACUCAGUGGACAAUCUAGAAUUCACAAAUUUAUCCCAAACAUUUUGAGGAAUAUGACUGUACUGAAAAGGUGGCCGCUUCAGCCUUUUACGAUUGUGCUUGUGUGGCAAGAUAUACUUUGUGGUGAGCAAGUACUUGAAGUUUCUGAAUGCACUACCAAGUGCUUGGAAAACUUGCUUCUUACUAUUUGGAUGAACAAUAAAACGUUCCUGAGAAAAAUACAUAGCAUAAUGAUCAAAUAGUUUAACAUAUACAUUAUUCAAUUCUGAUAUAUAAAUAUAAAUAAUCAUUUUACCUUAAUAAACUCCCACAAACGGCUUUUUAAAUCUGGAGUAAUCUUUCUCCAUUCUUGGUUAAUAUCUGGAAUAGAAGUACGGCCCAACAGCCCAAUAAAGCUUGCUAAUUCAGUAGCUUCAGGGCCAACAGGUACACCGAGCCCAUUGUACCUCACUACAAGCUUCCCGCCACUCAUCCUCAUCCUGCCAGAGUUUUUAGUUGGUCCUCUCACAGUGGAACUGCUCUUCGGAACAUCAUUUUCAUCCUCUGAAUUAGGAAACUCAUCAGGAACCUCCUCAUCCCUUGAAUUAUCUUCAUCAGGAACCUCUUCAUUACCCGAAUAAUCAAUACUUUCCUCGUUAGAGAGUUCAUCAGCAAGUCCUUUUCCUUUAUCCAUAAGGUUGCUCCUGCAAUAAAUGCACAUUUAGUAUUAGAACAUUAUAUAACAUAUAAAUAAUGUCAAAAAAGGUAAUCUAAAGUCAAUACAAGGAAAAUAUAAUAAUAAAAGAUAACGUAACACAAAACUAUUAUAAGACAUACAAGCAGUAAAUGCCAUCAGCUUUUUCAAGCAUCAAUCCAGAUGCCAUGCUUGCCAUCUCUUGCAUAUCUGUCCGCGUAAUUUAAAUUUUCAAUAUUUGGUAACCCAUUGGUCAGAGGGUUGUGUUCCAUCAUGAUAUCUAUAUCCUCAGCACUUGUCUUCUUUGGAACACAUCUACGAUGUAUAUGACUUACAACUGACCAUCUUUUAUCAAGUUGAUCAGUGACAUAAAAGACUUGUGUUGCUUGUGAAGCCAAUAUAAAUGGGUCUGAUUUAUGACCCAGGCGAUUUAAGUCCACUAAAGUGAAGCCAAAUUCAUCAAUUUUAAUACCCCCAUUAUUUUGAACCCAAUCACACUUGAACAAAGGGAUUCUAAACAUAUGGUAGUCAAGGUCCCAUAUGUCGUUAAUAACUCCAUAGUAAGACAUGUCACCAAGAAUAGGGUUUUUGUCUUUGGCACUUGCUACUUGUAAAGUUACUGCAAUAAGACUAACUCCACUAUUUUGAUGAACUCGUUGUUCGUCUCAUUCCCGAGUAUGGAAACGAUACCCAUUGAUGUCAUAUCCUGGGUGCUUAACUACAAAAGGACGGGGUCCUUGAGAUAACCACCUCAAGAUGUUCGAGACAUCUUCAUCAUCAUCUAUCAUCUCAUAUACCUACAUAAUAAUAAUCGUAAUGAAUGAAUUAUUGUAUAAACAUGACAAUAACUUUACUAAAAAGAAUAUAUAAUGGAACAUCUAUUAUUAACCUUCUUAUUAAGCCAAGUUGAAAAGGUGCGGUUGUGCUCAUUGCUCAACCAUCUCUCAUUCUUGGCUUUUUGUGAAUGAUGACCCUUUAGCCAUUGAAUGUGCUCACUACAUAUUUGACAUUUACAUAUUAAGCUACUGUUCAAAUUCUUUAAAAAUAAUUCAGUAAAGGAACAAAUUAAAGGUUAAACAUUAACAAACCUAAUAAAUGGUUGAACUUCUUCUGUGUUUUGCAAUACAUAUAGGUGCGCUUGAUGAAUUAAGGAAUGAUCAACAUGCUCAAAUUUUCCACCAGGCAAAGGCUUAUCAAUUGAAGAGGUUUCAACAUGUCCAGGAGGAAGCCCAAUUGUACGCAUAUUUGAAACAUAUUUUGCACAAAAUUCCAGAGCCUCUUCGGCAAUGUAACUCUCAGCUAUGCAUCCCUCAGGGUUAUUACGGUUUCGAACAUAAGCCUUUAGGCCUUUCAUGUUCCUCUCAAAUGGGUACAUCCAUCUUAAGUAUACCGGCCCACAUAGUCUAACUUCAUUAACUAAAUGGAUGGUUAAAUGGAUCAUUAUGUCAAAAAAGGAUGGCGGAAAGCAUUUUUCCAGCAAGCAUAAGGUCAACGCAAUAUCUUCUUCCAUUUGGUCAAGUUUGGUCACAUCAACAACCGUUGCGCAUAAGGAAUUAAAGAAGAAGCACAAUCUAAUAAUGGCAUAUUUAACAUGAUCUGGUAAGAUAGACCUUAAAGCAAUAGGUAAAAGUUGUUGCAUGAGAACAUGACAGUCAUGAGACUUUAAACCUUGCAGUUUUAAGUCUUUCAUUGACACUAGGUUCUGAAUGUUUGAAGAAUAACCUACAGGAACCUUUAUGCUUUUUAAUACUUCACAAAACCUUUUCUUUUCUUCUUUGGUCAAGGUGUAACAAGCUGGAGGCAAAAAAGUACGAUUAUUUUCUUUAACAUCAGGUGCCAAUUUUUGCCUAAUCUUUAAAACUUUUAGAUCCCACCUCGACUUAAUGCCAUCUUUGGUCUUUCCCGGGAUAUUUAGUAAUGUUCCGUAGAUGCUUUCACAAACAUUUUUUUCAAUGUGCAUAACAUCUAACUGGUGACGAAUAAGCAAGUACUUCCAAUACUCUAACUUAAAGAAUAUUGAUUUUUUCUUCCACCAAACACGAUCGUCAUCAUCAUCCUUUUUCUCGCCUCUUUUUUUGCGCUUUUUAUCUUUCACUUUACCCCAUUUGUUUUCAAUACUCUCCACCUUUCGAAAAAUGGCCUCACUAUUCAAUGGUUUCGGAGGAGGCUCUCUUUCAUGUUUAUUAUUAAAAGGUUUCUUUUGAGUUCGAAAGGGAUGAUCAUGAGGAAGCCAACGGCGAUGGCCAAUAUAAGCAAUUUUUUUACUGUGUUUAAGUCUACAUUUUGGCAUAUCUUCACCGCAAUAAGGACAAGCAUAAUAACCCUUAACCGUACAACCCGCCAAAUUCCCAUAAGCAGGAAAGUCAUUUAUAGUCCACAAUAGUACAGCCCGUAAAUUGAAGAACUCUUUUUUGUAGGCAUCAUAAGCUUCCACACCAACAUCCCAUAGAGUUUGCAAGUCCUCUAUUAGUGGUGCCAAGUACACAUCAAUAUCAUUACCGGGCUGUUGUGGACCAGAAAUUAAUAAGGAUAACAUCAUAAAUUUUCGUUUCAUACACAACCAGGGUGGAAGAUUGUAUGUUACAAGAAGAAUGGGCCAGCAACUAUACGUACUACUAAGAGAGCUAUGAGGAUUAAUGCCAUCAGCUGAUAGGGCAAGACGCAGAUUUCUAGGCUCUAAAGCAAAGGUAGGCCAUUUUUCAUCAACUAACUUCCAUGCCGGUGAGUCAGCUGGAUGUCGAAGCUUACCAUCUAUUUCCCUCUCAUUUAUAUGCCAAGUCAAGUCUUUGGCAGUUUGUGAGGACUGAAACAAACGCCUAAAUCUAGGUAUAGGAGGGAAAUACCAUAACACUUUUGUAGGAACCCCCUUCCUAUAAGCAGCAACACUACCAUCUCUUUUCUUCCACCUAGAUUCACCGCAUGUAGGACAAUUAGAAAGGCUUUCAUACUCCUUUCUAUAGAGUAUACAAUCAUUUGGACAAGCAUGAAUUUUGAUAUACUCUAAGCCUAAAGCACUCAUUGUCUGUUUGGCUUUAUACAUUGAUACAGGCAAGUCAUUUCCUUCCGGUAACAUGUCAGAAAGAGCACUCAACAAAUCUGAAAAGCUACUAUCAGACCACCCAUAUCUGCCCUUUAUAUUGUACAAUUUAACUAAAGCUGAUAACUUGGUAAAUUUGUUUGAUCCAGGGUACAAAGGCUUCUCAGAAUCUUCUAAUAGUUUUUUCAAUGCUUUAAGAUCACUAUCACAAUCCUUAAAAGCAUCUUCAACCAUUUCAACAGUAUUACCACCAUCAUAAUCCAUAUAUCCACUGUCAUUUUGGCAACCUAUAUUGUCAGGAGAUUUGUUGCGGAUAUCUUCCCCAUGCCAAACCCAUGUUUUGUAUGACAUAUCAAGACCCCAUAUAAUUAAAUGAUCUUUCACUUCUUUAGGCCUAUGAAAUGCUAAAUUCUGACAUUUAUCACAUGGACACCUAACAACACUAAUUUCUUGAUUACUUUCAACUGCAGUCUUAAUAAAUUUUUCCACACCAGCCUCAUACUCAUCGGACAAUCUAUCAUAUUUAAGCCAAGAUUUAUCCAUUUUUUGUCUAGUACCUGACAUAUAAUUGAGAUAAAUUUCAACACAAUGUACUAAUGGGCAGCAAUGAUAAACGGUUUCCAUUAUCAAUAAAUUAAGCAACAAAACAUUAUUAAUAUUCAAUUUAUAAAUUCAAUGAAAUAAAUAAGUUUAAAAAAAACUUGUCAUCAUGUGCAACAAAUGUAACUUUACCAACAUGCUAUCAUCAUUGACCAAAACCACCGACUAACCAUACCCAACUAAUAAUAUCCUAAAUAACUUGGCCCACAUACAUUUAACAUUUAUUUAAAAAAAAAAUUCUAGCAAUCCAGCAUUUCAUGGACCACAAGACUAUAUAUAUAUAACCAACUAAACAUUACUUGGUCCACAUGACCAAACUUGCCCCCACAUGGUACCAUUUCCUUCAAACAUAAAAAAGACAAUUGAAAAGGGGGCCUUACUUUUUAACUCAAUAAAUUACACAAAAUCUAGCUCACAAUCAUUAAAGAAAAUGUCUAACACCAUUGGACCACAGUUUCGGAUUCAUCCCAACAAAAGACACUAGUAAAUGAAAAGUACUAUAUCAUCAACCAAAAUCACUUCACACACAUGCAAGCUCUGACUAAAAAUUUACAGAAUAUAACAAUAUUCAUACAAACCAUUGGCAGCAAACAUUUUUCAAACAUUGAACGGAAAGGCAAGUAAAAAAUUGAACAAACCUGAUGUUAGAAAUCGAGUUUGAAAGGGAACAGGGCAGUGAAAUCCUGCGAUUCAGAACAAAUUUUUUUUAAAUAAAAGAUGAGGACAUGCUAAAUUAAAUGAUUGAGCAAUUUCUAGAUUUAAUAGAAGGACAAAGUAUAAGCUUCUUGAAUUAAAAAAUAAACAAAAAAUAUAACAACAGAAACAAACGAGAAUUAAAAAGUAAUAAUAAAGAUAAACCUAGGGCAUAAAUUAUGAACAAAUAAGGGAAAUAACAACAAAACUAACAAUUAAUUUUAUAAUGACCAAUUAAUUUAUUCUGAAUAAAAUUUAAAAAAGUUAAUUGAUGACAAACCUAGGGAUUCAGCGAUUACAGGAUGGCUUCUCCAACGCCGAUUGAACAAUACAAAGAAAUAGUGACACCGACAGCUUCAAUAAUGGACGCGAAGGCGCAACAAUGAGCAUAUGUGGUGAUUUUGUUCCUAAAAACAAUGGGUUCGAAAUAAUGGGGGUUAAAGAUAAUGGGGGUUCAAAAUAAGGACGGGAAGGCUCCUUCAAUAGCAUAAACUAUGAUUUCGGUUUCCAUGCAACGGAUUUCAAAACCAAUUUGCAGAUUAAAAUAUGUUAAUAAACGGAUUUUGAGGGGUUUCACUGCUUUGGUUUCUCAGCCCUUGCUGAUGGAGUGAUGGGUCAAAGGUGCCAACACUUAGAAUUUUUUUUGUGUUUGUGGUUUACAAUAUACUGAAACGAUAGCGUUUAAAUGUUAAAUAAAUAUUUUUAUUUUAAAAAUGUUUUAAAUCUGUAAAACGGUGUCGUUUUAUGUCCAAAUUAAUUCCACUCGAAACCCACGGUUUGAUUAAAUAUUAAUACGCUAUCAUGUUUAUCUGAUAUAUAAAAAAUCUAUCAGAAAUCUGUCAUGAAUUUAUGAUGUACGAAAAUUCUAUCAUAUGUCUAUCAUAUUCUUAUGAUAAAUGACUAAUUUUCUAAUAUCUAUCACAAAAAUUCUGUCAUGGUAGCCCAUUUUUCUAGUAGUGAAUGUUGUCAUAUUUGUUGUGGAUUGGAGAGUAAUAUUGCUGCACCGAUAUUGUCCUUGGUAACACCUCUUCUUCAUUAUCGGGGCCAGACAUAUUUGCUCUAAACGAAAUUUCUAUAUCGACAUGUGGCUCAAUACCUUCGCUUGGAACUCGAGGUGAUGUGGUCACGAAUAUAGGAAUGCAUCCAAAAUUGGCUACAUUGGAUGCCAUAUGCAACACAAUCCUCAUCAUUUCUUCAUCAAAUAUAUCUAUGGGCAGUGCACAUAUACGAUGUAAUGUGUUACUAAACCUCAAAGUUAUCUUCAUUGUAAUACUAUAUUCAUUAUGGUUUAUUUGGAACACCUCGUAUACUCUUGUCAAUAACUGAUCAAACAAAUAAUUUUUCCCAACCAAAAAAACUCUAUUUUUACCAUUCACAUACUCCAUACGGCCAUCCUCUAAUGUCUCCUACCAAUUAUCGUAACACAAUUCAAAUACAACUGAAUCCAUUAAGCCUGAAAUUAUAAAAAUAAAAAAUAAAUUAUUUGAGCCCUAUCAAAUUAAUACAGUUGCAAUGAAUCUGCCUCUUCGUGCGACAGGCAGCCUGUUGCCAGAUUCACCCACGACUCGCAGUUCACUGAAACUCUCAACCAAGUUCAGAAAAUAACUCAUACCACUAUAUGAUGCCGAUUAGUGUUGGAUCCGGAUAGAUUAUGAUCAGAUUUCACUUUUAUCGUUGCCUUUUGCUGUCGUCGUUGGUUGAUGAUACAAGAGUGGAAAGCUACCUUUGGUUUGACGAAAAGGGGAGAAAGAAAAUUGCUUUUGGUUUGUAAAGAAGGGUAAUUUGGGAAGAAAGCUAUAUAAAAGGAUUAUAAUCACGAUAUGACAUGGAUUUAUAUUUUACUAACAUAACAGAUGGUAAGAAAGCUCUGAAAAACGAUGAGAAUUGACGUGGAUUAAUAUUUUACUUACAUAACAGAUGGUAAGAAAGCUAUAUAAGAGGAUGAGAAUCCUAUACACAAAAUGGACAAUACGGUAGACAAGUAGACUAUAUUUUACUUACAUAACAGAUGGUAAGAAAGCUAUAGAAAAGGAUGAGAAUCCUAUACACAAAAUGGACAAUAUGGUAGACAAGUAGACUAUAUUUUACGUACAUUUUGCUUGGAAUUGCUUCUUUACAUUUCUUUAGUAAUUUCACGCUUUCUUCAUCAUUCCAGUUAUGCAGCAUCCACUACAAGUACAAUUUGGUCAGAUCCAUUAGGCGCAAUUUGGAUUCAUACACUAAUUAUAAAUAUUUUUAAAACUAGAGAAGAAGAAUUGGAUGAGUAAGAGAUCCUUUACCUUGAGUAAAAUAGCAUUUGCCUGAGGUAUUGCCUCAAACAUGUUCCCUCCAAGAAAGUCCAGAUUAUCAUUAGUCCCUUGCAAAUUAUCAACCACGUGUGGAAGAUCAAAAACAGUGCAUUUAAUAUCAGGAAAAGCUGUAGCAAUGGCCCUUGCCAUGGUUCCUGUGCCACCAGCGACAUCAAUCAGGGAUUCAACCCCUCGAACACCUCUUUACAAUCUUUAAUCACAAUCCCAGCUAUCAGCUCCGAAUCAGUGAUCAUGAGAUCAUAAAAUAAGCUUUUAAAUUUGGGUUCAUCAGCUACCCGGUCCCAAACUUUUUUCCCAUGCGUUGUCUCAAACAGCGUGGGAUCAUCGUUUUGCAGCUAAGUUCCCAAGCAAUGAAACGCAGUUGUAUAUAAGGGAUCAGCAACAAGAUCCACAAAUGGUGCUGCCUUCAAGGGCGUAUCCUUAAGAAGAAGUCUAAAAGCGGGUGUAAGAAAAUACUCAUCAUUUUUUUGCUGAGCAAAAAAGCCCGAGUGAACUAGAAUGCGCAUGACGCUUUGAAUGCAUUCAACUUUAUUUGGUUUUAUAUUGAGUGCUUGAAGAAACGUGUUUUCAUUUCUUAAAUAAAGCAUUAUACAUUGAGAGUUAUUUAUAGAUGCAGAGGCUACAUUUUUUCAAAGAUUACAUAUGUGAAUACGGAAGGAAAUGUGUCAAUCCGUUCGGCGCGGAUCUUGUCUUUGACAAGUGCAUAUUACCCCUUUGACAAGUGCAGAUUCUGUCUUUGAAAGCUUCAUUCAAUGCCGUUUUAUUUGAUUCUCAACACUCCCCCUCAAGCUGGUGUAUAGAUGUCUUGCAUACCCAACUUGUCUAGGAAUUUUGUAAAUGCCCUGCUUGAAAUGGCCUUCGUUAAAAUAUCUGCAAGUUGAUCUUCUGAUCGAAUUUUCGGCAGUUCUAAGAUUUUUUCAUCUAAUUUCUCCUUGAUGAAAAAUCUAUCUACCUCCACAUGUUUUGUUCGAUCGUGUUGAACUGGGUUAUGAGCAAUAUCUCGUGCAGCUUUGUUGUCACAGUAUAGUUGUAUUGGUUGUUGUGAUGGAUAGCCCAAAUCGUUUAAGAUAAAACUUAUCCAUAACCCUUCACAUAUCCCAAGGGCCAUGCCUCGAUAUUCUGCUUCAGCGCUCGAACGGGCAACGACAUGUUUUUUGCUUCUCCAUGUGACAAGGUUUCCUCCCACAAAGGUAAAGUAUCCUGAAGUAGAGCGUCUAUCACUAACUGACCCGGCCCAAUCUGCAUCAGUAUAAACUUCUAUGUUGCUGUAAUCUUCAUUUUUGGAAAAUAAGAUUCCUUUUCCUAGAUUUGUCUUCAGGUACCUCAGGAUCCGCAUUACUGCUUUCAUGUGUUGUUCUCCGGGAUUAUGCAUAAACUGGCUUACAACACUCAAUGCAUAAGCAAGAUCUGGCCUUGUGUGGGACAAGUACAUCAAUCUUCCAAUCAGCCUUUGAUAUCUUCCUUUGUCUACUGGAACUUGGUCUGAAGUAAUACAAAACUUCAGUCCUUCUUCUAUUGGGGUGUCAAUAGGCUGACAAGCUGUCAUUCCCGUUUCGUGUAAUAGAUCUAAGGCAUAUUUCCUUUGAGACAGAAAGAUUCCUCCCUUAGAUCGAGAAACCUCUAUUCCAAGAAAGUAUUUUAAGGCACCUAAAUCCUUCAUCUCAAACUCUCUUGACAAGUACUUCUGAAGAGCCUCUGUUUCUUCCUCGUCGUUGCCUGUAACUACCAUAUCAUCCACAUAGACAAUAAGGACAGUGAUUUUACCUUGUCGUUUUUUAAUGAAUAAGGUAUGAUCUGAAUUGCUUUGGUUAUACCCAAAAUGAACCAUAGCCUUUGUGAAUUUCCCGAACCAUGCUCUUGGGGAUUGCUUCAACCCAUACAAUGAUUUCUUCAAUUUGCAUACUUUCUGAUUGAGUCGUUCUGGUCCACUGCAUCCUGGUGGCAGAUCCAUAUAAAUUUCUUCAGACAGGUCUCCAUGGAGGAAAGCAUUCUUUACAUCGAAUUGUUGCACUGGCCAAUCCAAGUUGACUGCUAAUGAUAAUAAGAUACGAAUAGUAUUAAUUUUUGCUACCGGUGCAAAUGUAUCAGUAUAAUCAAUCCCGUAGGUUUGGGUGUAACCCUUAGCUACGAGUCUUGCUUUGUAUCGUUCAAUAGAGCCAUCUGCUUUGUAUUUUAUAGUGUAGAUCCAUCGACAACCCAUUGGUUUCUUUCCUGUUGGAAGAUCAACUAGUUCCCAUGUUUGAUUUUUCUGAAGAGAUCUCAUUUCAUCAUUCAUAGCCGCUUUCCACUUUGGAUCUUUUAAAGCUUCCUGCACACUGUUAGGAAUAGAUACAGCAGAUAAUUGAUUCACAAAUGACUGAUUUGAUUCUGACAAGCGAUGGUUAGACACAAAAUGACUCAUAGGGUAUUUGACUCUACUAGAGAAGUCAGGCUCAUAUGUGGGUUUAGGGAUACCUCUAUUUUGACGCUGGGGAAGAAUUCUUCUGAUUGGACUUGUGGUAGGAACAUCCUCUGCAGACGAUUGGUUAGGUAUUUCUUCAUGUGACUCAUUCUCGAUUGCAGUUAUGUCUGAGUUAUUGCGCUCCCCAAAUGUGUCUUCACAUAUCUCAGCCUGCGAAUCAUCACCAUUUGCUUUUCCAGUAUCUUGAAGGUUUACUAUCUCAAUGGAAGAUUGACUUUCUUCAGGUAGAAGAUAUGUAAGAGUAUGAAUUUCCUCUUCAUUAUACUCCCCCUGAAAUUCAGACUCUGACAAGUAGUACAUGAUAUCUUCAUGAAAAACGACAUCCAUGGUGAUGUAUAUUUUUCUUGAUGGUGGAUGAUAGCAUCGGUAUCCCUUUUGAUGUAAGGCAUACCCUACAAACACACAACGUAGUGCUCGAGGAGAUAAUUUGUCUUGUUGCGGCAAAUGAACGAAGGCAACACAGCCAAACACAUGUGGGGGCAGAUUCGGCACAUUUGGUGACAUAAUUGCAUCAUUCAGAACUUGGAAAGGAGUCUGGAAUCCAAGGGAGCUUGAUGGUGUUCAAUUGAUCAAGUAUGCUGCGGAUGCCAGUGCUUCUCCCCAAUAAGAUAAUGGCAUGUGGGCUUGGAUUAGUGAUGCUCGAACAACUUCUAGUAAAUGUCUGUUUUUUCGUUCAGCAACGCCAUUUUGUUGGGGUGUCCCCACACAAGUGGUUUGAUGGACAGAUCCUUGUGAUUUCAGAAACUGUUGAAUUGCUGUGCUCAUAUACUCGCCUCCAUUAUCAGUAUGUAGAACUCGAAUUUGUGUCUGAAAUUGAGUUGUCACCAUCUUAUGAAAUCUUUGAAAUAAAGAGUUUACUUCGUCUUUCGAUUUCAUCAGAAAAAUCCAUGUCAUUCUGCUACAAUCAUCAAUAAAUGUAACAAACCAACGAGCACCUCCAAUUGUAGAAACUUUAGAUGGCCCCCAUACAUCAGAAUGUACUACCAUAAAAGGAACUAGAUUUUUAUUUAAGGACAAUGGAAAAGUAGUUCGAUGGCUUUUUGAAAGUUCACAAACAUCACAUUUAAAGUUACAAACAUCAAAUUUCAGAAACAAACUAGGAAAUAAUUUUUUUAAGUAACCAAAUGACACAUGCCCUAAACGUCUAUGCCAUAACCAAAUUUCUGAUUUCCCUUUUUUUAUGGAACUAUCUGCGACUAGUGCGGGGCUUAGCUUUCCAGUGUUUGUUGAUGACAUCUCCAAGUAGUACAAGUUGCCUCGUUUAAUACCAUAACCAAUCGUUUGCUUCGUUUGGAUGUCCUUAAACACACAAUGAUCAGGCCAAAAAAUUACAACACAUGAUAAGUAAGUGGUUAAUUGAGACACAGAUAAAAGAUUAUAAUCUAAAGAUGGAACAAUUAACACAGCGUCUAAAUUUAAUUCAUUUGUGAGUCGUAAAGAUCCUUCCCCAAUAACUGAGGUUGUGGUUCCAUUUGCAGUGGAAAUAUGUUUUUGUGAAGAUGGUUUCAAUUGAGAAACUUGUCGAGAAUCAAAAGUCAUAUGAUCAGUUGCCCCAGAAUCAAUUAUCCAUGUACUAUUAAUAACAGGUGUAAGAGUUUUAAGGGCCUUACCUGGACUGACAGAGGUUGCGAUUUGCACUGAAGAUUCUUUUCUAAGAUCUGUAGUGGAUGUGGAUUCAGCUACUGUAGUUUUUGAUCCAUGCUUGGUGUUCUUCUUUCGAGUAUCCCACCAGUCAGGAUAUCCAAUGAUUUCAAAACAUUGUUCUUUCGUAUGACCCUUCUUUCUACAAUGAGUGCAAUGGAGUGAUGACUUGUCAACAAACUUCCUUUGAGGCUGCUGUCGUGCUAUCAUAGCAGACGUUUCUGAGUCGACCUUCUUGUUUAGUUUGCUUUGCCGUAUAUCUUCUCUUCGGAUCAGAGAAUAACAUUCUUCUAAGUCUGGGAUAAUGUCUUUUCGUAGAAUUUCUCCACGAACUUGGUCAAAUUCUUCAUCUAGCCCAGCAAGAAAAAUGUGCACUCUCAAUCUUUCAACAGACCUUCUGUAUAUUACAACAUCUUCUGGAUCCUUCAUGACCACUUUAUCUCGGUGAUCAAGUUCUCGAAAUAUUUCAACCAAUUCUCCAUAGAAUUUAGAGAGUGGUUGUCCAUUUUGCUUGGUAGAGAAUGCCUUCUGGUUUAGAGUGAAAACUUGUAAUUCAUCGCUUCCAUCAUAGAAGGCUUUUGAUAAUGCAUCCCAGAUUUCGUAGGCUGUAGGAAUUCGUAAAUAUCGCUUCAUGAUCUCCGGAGACAUGGAUAUGAGUAACCAUCUUUUUACUUUUUGGUUCUCACUAUACCAUUUCUCAUAUUCCUUUGAAGAUUCCUCAAAUGGCUUUGUGCUGCUACGAAUAUAUGAGAGUUUUUCUCUUUCUGCAAGAUGCAUCUCCAUUAUUUGAGACCAAACAUCGUAGUUUGUCUCAGUGAGGAUAAUUCCAGCAUUAAAUACUCCAUCAGAUUGAACAGAUUGAAUGACAACAGGACUAGAUUCAGUUGGAGUUUUCUCCAUUUUUUUGUUUUUUUUCCUUUUCUUUUUUCUCUUUUUUUUCUUUUUUUUUGUUUUUUUAUUUGUUUUCUUUUUUUUUGUUUUUUUUCCGUCUAGAUUGAAAGAAGAAAAAAAAUAACCUUUUUAGGUAACAAAACGAUAGGUCGUUUGACCACUGCUUGCCAAACCGACAUGUCGGUUAUGGUGGAAUAUAAACGACAUGUCGUUUUAAUCCUGCUGCACUUCUGGAGACUAAGUGUCACGUCGUUUUAUCUCUAAUUUAAACACGACAUGUCGGUUUUAAUAUAACAAAAAACGACACGUCGUUUUUUGACUGCUGCACUUCUGAGAUAAAAACGACAUGUCGGCUGACGUCUUCUUCAACCUCUGGAGCGCGUGAGAGCGCGUGAAUGAUGACAGUGGCGCGUGGUUGACUGGCCGUGGCUUCGGGUGGCGCGUGGGAGCGCGUGGGAAUGUGUUUAAAUGCGAAAUGUUUACAGUUUCCUCACUGAAAACUGAGAAUUGUGAUGGUGUUCUUGGUUUUUGAGGAAAACACUCUCGGAAAAUUGAUGGGAUUGUUGAUAAAUUUGUAAACUCAAGUUUUUUACGUAUGGGUGGCUUGUUUCUUGAUCGGCAUGGAUAUCUGUAAUGGUAGGAAUGGGUUUAAGAAAGAAAAUGGUGGGAAAAAUGGUUGUGGGAGGAAUUUGGUUUCCUCUGUUUUUGUUACAAACAGAGCAGCGGAACUUGAAGAAACUUGAGCGUAUUCAUGGCUCUGAUACCAUGAAGAAACGUGUUUUCAUUUCUUAAAUAAAGCAUUAUACAUUGAGAGUUAUUUAUAGAUGCAGAGGCUACAUUUUUUCAAAGAUUACAUAAGUGAAUACGGAAGGAAAUGUGUCAAUCCGUUCGGCGCGGAUCUUGUCUUUGACAAGUGCAUAUUACCCCUUUGACAAGUGCAGAUUCUGUCUUUGAAAGCUUCAUUCAAUGCCGUUUUAUUUAAUUCUCAACAGUGCUGAGGCUAUUUGUGAAAGAGUCGUGGGUUGGCCAUGGCUGUGAAUGAUAUCUGCUAUGCCAAGCUCAACGGCACAUUUUAGUGACAUGGAAUUGACGUAAUUGAAUGUACAAUUCCACACCUGAGCUUGAGCUUUAAGAAGCUCAGAGCUGCUAGCAGCAUUCUCUCCAUUAAUCAUAUUCCUUUUAAGGCUAUAUUCCCAGUUGUGUGAACCCUGAAGACUCAAGGCUCUUUAUAUAUAGCAAUUUAUCAUCAGAUCCAAAGCAGCGGAUUAAUUACGUUACCUCGUUGAAAACGUUAAUCUAUUGUUUCUUAUUAUUCAAACACUCCAAUAGGGUUCCACUAGGGUAGGAAGUAUCAUAGAUUCCCAUUUGUUAAUUGACAUAAAGAUUCGUUCAGGCAUCUUUUUUAAUGCGCUAGUUAAAUUUGAUUUGAGUUGCUGUGAGUCAAUUGUCUAAGUAGAAGAUUUUCUGUCUAUAUAUUGUUUGUAAUCUUUGAGAUUUUUAAUUAAGGGCGGGUAAAAUUGGAUUUAGAUCGAAUUCGAAUCAAUCCGAUCAAAUUUCAAUUAUUUAGAUUAAGAGAAGAAAUCAUCAGAAUGCAAUUUUAAUUAUUCAGAUUAACAGAAAAAGUCACUCGAACACGAUUGAAAUAUUAAAUUCCAUCCAAUUCGAGUUAAAUCGGAUUGAACGAAAAUUUCAUACUUAUUCGAAUAGGAUCGAAUAAACUAUUCAAUUCCCAAUAAAUAUGAAGGAAAAAAACAAAUAAUCCUUCGUGUAAUACACAAUCAUUAAAAAAAAUGAGUACCUCGACCGAUCUAUUCAACCAUGAUCAUUUAUUCAGCUAGUUAUUGAAGUAAUUAUCUUGAAUGAGGCUUCCAACUGUGAAUUGUAUAAAUGAGGCAUUCAGCUAAUUAAUUGACAAAAUAAAAAAAAAAUAAAAAAAACGCAAGAAUAGUACAUAAAAAAAUGGCAGCAAAUUAUCAAAAAAUAAUAAUAUCAGAAAUAUAUGUUACAACAUAUACAAUGAAGUUAAAUAUUGGGUGUAAUCUGAGUUUUAGUAGUUUCCAUUCGAAAAUUAAUAAUUAGUAAAAUAAAAAAAUAAACCAAUUAAUAAUAAAUGUUUGCUUCAAUCAGUGCCGAAGUUAAUUAAGAAACUAUUUUAAUCUGGGCUAAAGUAUUUUAACCAUAUGACAGUGAUUAUAUGGGAGACAACGACACCGAACUGGUCUCAUCAGAGGGCGAUGUGUCCCUGGAUGAUGAGAAUGUCAUGGCAGUGAUUUAGGAGGCUAUUGAGCCGUUUGCUUAAGGUUCAUAUCUCUUUUGUUUUCUUAAUUUAAUUAAAUGGUUGAUUCAAUUAUGUUUAGGAAUGUUCAAGGAGCUGCUUCUCCAAACUUUCGUCAGACUUUUCGGACGCUUGUGAAAACUUAUAAACCGCUGAUGGUUGCUAUCUUCGAACCUAGAAUUAAUGGCAUAAAGGCUGAUGAAUUUAUCAGAAAGAGUGGUUUUGACAAGUCUCAUAAAGUUGAAGCCAUUGGUUUUUCUAGCGGUAUUUGGUUGUUGUGGAAAGAUAGCUAUGAUGUGGAAAUUAUUUCAAAUCAUAAACAAUUUAUUCAUUUUAAUAUCUCUAAAAAUAAUGUGUUCCUUUCGUGAAUUAAUGUUAUUUAUGCUAGUCCUAAUUCAUGCAAAAUGAGACAUCUUAUUGGCCUAGAGCAGUUUUUUCUUUACAUUGCCUUCGGUAAAUUUUCCUUCUUAUUAGUCUAGGAAAGUUUUUCCUUAUUGUUGGUAUAAUAAAAUUUUUCCUCUUUAAUGGUCUAAGACAUUUUUCCUUCUUAUUGGCCUCAGAAAGUUUUUUUCUUGUUGUUGGCCUUGGAAAGUUUUUCCUAUUGGCCUAGGAAACUUUUCCUUUUUCUUGGCAUAUGAAAAAAUAAACUACUUUUACGAAUCUUUUUCUUCUUAUUGGUCUUAGGAAUAUUUUUCCUCUUUGUUGGUCUAAGGAAUAGUGAGUUAUUCCAAACGAAUUUUAUUAGGAAAUUUUUUUUUCUUUAUUGGCCUAGAAAGUUUUUCCACUAUUUUGUCCUCAAAAAAAUGAGUUAUUCCAGAGAAAUUUAAUAAGGGAAAUUUUCCCUUGAACUGGAAUUAUUUGUGGAAAUAUAUGAAUUGUUCUUUCUUAACAUGAGAGAGAAUAUCUCCUUGUUUAUUUGUCUUGGGAAAUUUAGUUAAUUUAAUGACCCAAAUAGAUAUUUGUUUAUCUAAUACCCCAUUGAUAAACCACCCCCUUUCUAUAGAAGGUCGAUCGUUAAAAGCUUACUAAAUCCACUCGCAAAAUAUUGCUUCUUGAUCUACACGAUCGACUCCAUGAAUCACACUAAUAUGAAUACUAAAAUUGAAAAAAAGUAGUCAAUUUAACGUUUAGUUGUUGAGGAGAGGAUUAGGGUUUAUGGUAGGUGCAAAGAGUUGAGUUUGAUUAAUAAUUAAUUAAAUUAUUUGUCCCUUUUAGUAAUUUUGUUUAGGGUUAAUUUUGCAAUACAAUUUUUUAUUGAAAGAUAGGUUUAAAGAGUAAUUUUAUAAGUUUAAAUAGCCUCACUUUUAAUUUAUGGGUGACACUAUUUGAACCACUAAAAAAACUUUACAAAUCCACUUUUCCAUUUGAUAUUUUAUUACAAAAUAUCCACAAUACACACCUAUGUUCGUGCCUAUAGUCUAUAGAUCUUUUUCAGCGACGAUUUUAUUUUUUGUUGCCAUGGCUUAUUUUUAGCAAUGAAAUCAUGCAUCGCUAAAAGUAUCUUUAGCUUUAACAACAUUUUCAUUUUCAUCACAAAAAAUACUUUUUCGUCGCUAAUAGUUGGUUUUUGUGGCUAAAAAAUAUUUUGAGCGAUGAUUAACAUUUUCAUCACCAUUUGUUAGUUUUAGCGAUGAAAUGUUUCGUCGCUAAAUGGUUAUUUAGCGACCAUUUUUUGAAUCGCAAAAGGUUUACUUUAGCGACAAAAGUUAACAUCGCUAAAUGCUUUUUUAGCUACAAUUUUCUUUUGGUAGCAAAAUAUUCUUUUGAUGACGAAAUGUAACAAUGUGCCAAUAUUUUAGUGGGUAAUGGCGCCUUAUUUUAAAUAUUUGAAAAAAUAUUUAGCACCUAUAAUUUUUGGCGACGAAAUUACUGUUUCAUUGCUAAAAAUCUAGAAAAUCAAUAUAAUUUUAUAAAUUUAGAGUGCAUUUUUAAUGUUUUAAUCAAUGUUCAUGAUUAAUCUUUUUAUUAACUAAUAAGCAAUAUAAUUUUCACUGUAAUAAUAAAAAAUUAUUAAUAUUAUAAAAAAUUAAGAAAAAUAAAAUGUGUUAGUUAUUAAUUCUUUAUGGGAAUAAUGAUAACUUCAUAUUCUCUAGAAAAACUGAUAAUUUUUGUAAAAUUAAGUGAAUUGACUUAUUAUUACUAUUAUUUUUUUUAAUUAAAACUUACAAAUAUAUUUUGUUGAGAGGUUUAUGACUACUCAUGUUAAGAGACCUUUAACUAUAAAUGCAAAUAGUUCAUUCAACCGAGCGCUUCUUAAUUUUAAUAUAGUGAUUGAAUGAUCGAAAGUUCAAUUUAGUUCGAAGUUGGAACACUUGUAUAUGUUAUGAUUAAAAUUAUGAGUCAAUUUAUCAUAUUAUAUAUCUUUUAAAGGUUAAAAUUAAAAUUGAUCGAUAAAGUCGAUACAACAUAAUUAAAAUUAUGAGCAAGUAUAAUAUAGUUAAUUUUGUUUAUGAAAUAAAUUAUUAUUUAAACUUGAAAUAAAAAUAUAUUUUCAUAUAAGAUCCAUAUAAGAUAUAAAUUUUCAUAUGAAAUUAUAUAAUUAUCAAUUAUCAAUUCAAUUUAAUUGGAUUAAUAUAAAAUGUAAUUUAAUUUUAAGAACUUAUAUGAACCAAAUAAUGAAUUGGGUUUUUGAAUCGGGUUAAACAGAAUCUGAAAUUUAUUUUGGAUUGGAUUCGAUUUGAUUUAACUCUAGAAACUGACCGAAUUCAAAUUUAGAAACCGAUCGAUUUUUAAUUUUGGUUUUGGUUGAACUGGAAUAAAAUUAUGAAACCAAUUGGGUUUCAUAUAUGUGUGUGUGUGAAAAAUUCUAUAAUGUCGUAAUGAAAAUUACGUGAUAAAAUAUAAAUAUUGUAAAUUACACAUAAAACUAGUAAAUAUAAAGUAAAACCAGUAAAUUCAUAUAAGAUUAUUAAUUAUUUAAAAAAUUAACAUUGUUUCUAUAGAGUUUAAAUGAAAAAUAUUUUAUUCAUUUACAAAAAAUAUUUUCCUUAAUUAAUUAAAUAAAAUUACUCGUUAAUUAAACAAAAAAAUUAUACUAAAAACUGUGGAAUAAGUUUUAUUGAAUUCGUUUAACCAUAAAUUCUAUAUUUAUUCUAGGACAUUUGUGUACUUUUUUCUCAUUUUCUAUAAUAAUAUCUAUUUAUUACACAAGUUAAUUAAGCACAAUUAUUUAUCUUGAUAUGGAUCAAGCAAAAACAAAAUUAAAAAAUAUUCUUAUAUUAUUAGAUACAUAUAUGAUAUAUCAAUAAACUUAGGUCUUAUUUUGAGUCUUAUGCAUACUUUAUACAGUUUCAAACUUUUUACUUGUACUUAUAGACCAUUUAGGGUUAUUGUUGAGGAAGUGUAGAAAGACGUAAUUAUGCAAAAUAACCUCAUUUAAUAACAACUAUAAAAGAUAUUAAAAUAAUAUCUUUUUCAAAAUUCGAUUUUGAAAAUAAAUUUCAUCCUUAAUAAAACAUCACAUGUAUUACAUAAAUGCAAAAUCAGCAUCAUUCAAUUUAAAUAAAAAAUAAUAAAUAUAUAAGGUAAUAAAUAUUAUAAUGAGUUUUUAUUUUAUAAUUUUUUUUCAGUAAGUCUUAUAUUAAUUUACUUAUUUUACCUUUUAUUCAUAAGUUUUAGGCAUAAUCUAUAAAAUUUAUGUUUUAUUUUAUACUUAAUUUUGUUUUACUUGUUUUAUAUUAUAUUUGUGAGUUUUUAUUUUAUUUAUCAGUAAUACAUCAAUUACCAACUUUAUAAUAAUUUAUUUGUUUUACCUUCUUUUUACAAAUCUUAUGUUCUAUUUCCAAAAUUUAUGUUUUAUUUUACAGUUAGUGUUGAUUUACUAAUUUUAUAUUAUAUUUGCAAGUUUUUAUUUUAUUUACCAUUAAUACAUUAAUUUACUAAUUUUAUAUUAAUUUACUUGUUUUACCUUCCAUUUACAAGUUUUAUGUUCUAUUUCCAAAAUUUAUAUUUUAUUUAACGCUUAAUGUUGAUUUACUAGUUUUAUAUUAUAUUUCUAAGUUUUUGUUUUAUUUACUAGUAAUACAUCAAAUUACCAGUUUUAUAGUAAUUUACUUGUUUUACCUUUUCUUUACAAGUCUUUUGUUUCGUUUCCAAAAUUUAUGUUUUAUUUUACAAUUAAUGUUGAUUUACUAUUUUAAGUUAUACCUACAAGUUUUUAUUUUAUUUACUAGUAAUACAUCAAUUUACUAGUUUUAUAUUAAUUUACUUGUUUUAUCUUAUAUUUACAAAUCUUAUGUUUAAUUUCUAAAAAAAUUAUGUUUUAUUUUACACUUAAUAUUAAUUUACGAGUUUUAUGUUACAUUUGUAAGUUUUUAUUUUAUUUACUAAUAAUACAUGAUUUUAUCAAUUUUAUAUUAAUUUACUCAUUUUACCUUUCAUUUACAAUUCUUAUAUUUAAUUUCUAAAAUUUAUAAUUUAAUUUAUAAUUAAUGUUGAUUUACAAGUUUUAUAUUAAAUUUAUAAGUUUUAUAUUUCAUUUACAUAAUUUAUGUUUAAUUACGGUAUUGAUGUUGUAACUGUAAUCAUGGCAUCAUAAAAUGACCCAUAUACAUAUAUAUGAAAAAUUCUAAUAAUAAUAAUAAUAAUUUAUUCAAAAUUAUUUAUUUAUACAUAAAUAAAUAUGAGGCAUUAAAUCAGACCUUGUAGUCUUGUACCAAUCCCUAAUUCCCCUUUUCUUACUUCACUUCUACUUCUCCAUCGUGAAAGAGAGAGAGAGAGAGGACACAUUCACUCGCACAUACCACGCCCACGCUGCCGUCGCGUCAGAGACUGGUUUGCGAUUGGUGUCCAGCUGAGGGAACCUGAGUUCGGAUUGAAACGGUGAGUUUUGUUAUGUUUUGUUUUUGUUUUGCGUGGGGUGGGGGACUGUGAAAUUGGAAUAAAGUUUGUGUUUUUAUCGUUUAGUGGGGCGAGUUGAAUGCGGAGCCGUUCGUUUUAUGAUCCGUAUUGAGAAGUUGCAAUGUGGAUUUACGGUGAAAUGAAUCACUAUCGUGUGGAUUUUUUAUUUUCCCGCUGGUUUGGUUUUUGAAGCCGAAAUGAAGCUUUGGUUUCAAUUUUUGUGAAUCUGUGUCUUGUGUGUGUUUUGGUUGAACAAAACACAUUGCAACUUGAAAAUGAAGAUUUUUUUUAAAAUUUUUUAAAUGGGGUUAGUUGAUUUUCAUCUAUUUAUAUUCCUGGAUUUGUGAAAAAAUAUAUUAAAUAUAUGCAUAAUCUGAAAUGGGUAUUUGCUUGCUUUAUUGGGGAGUUAUGUAAGAACUGAAAUUCCUGAACUUUCAAGGGAAAAUGCAAUUUUUAUUUAUUAUAAGCGAAGUGAAGUUGUGAAUGAUACAUGAUACCUCACAAGAAAGUUGCUUGCUUCUUUUGCUGCCUUCAAGCUCGGCUAAUAUAUCAGAUGCAGUCAAACAGAUUUUCUUGUUCAUCCAAGAGUUUGGUGAUUUAAAUUUAGAAUCUCUGUGUUGCAUUUGUGGUUUUGCUUUUGGAUGCUCAAGCUUCUGUUUUUGACAGAGUGCACAGACGUGAGUGCAUGCAUUUUAGCUGUGGAUUUGUCUUCAGUUUAAGUGUCCAUGGAGAUGGUUUGCACACUUUUGCCGGACUAUCUAAUUUUUAUGUAAUUCUGUAACAAUAUGGGAUAUAAUGUAAUAAAUUUAUACUGGAACUCCACCCCCUCACCUUCGGUUGUUAUGCCUUCUUUUGUUCUUGUGUGUGUGAGACUUGGGCGUUUUCAAUUUUGUGUGAUUGAGCUGUUAUGGAAUAGAAUCUCUGACCAUCAACUAAAAGUGGUAAUUGUAUAACUGGCCAAAAUUAAAUCCUGAUAGUUCAGGAGAUAUAUAGCCAAAAAAAAAAAAGGAGAUAUAUUUAUUAAAUAUUUAGUUGCAUGGCAGUGGGCACUAAUACUGAAGUUGGGGGAAACACCAUGGUAUAGGGAGUAGGUUCUUUGACUUGCUUUUUGAGACAAUGCUAGCCUUUAGAAAAGUUUGCAAAAACAUAGCAUGCAGACCUGCCCAAUUAGUUCUUCCUUUCAAUAAUAGUAAUAAUAAACAAAGAAGAGGAUUUUAAUUAGGUUGCUGUUUCAGUAACUGGACUUCAAACCUCAAACUCCACAUCAAUCCAUUUGAUUCUAUAAAUCUCCAGGCUUUGGUUUCCCGUUCAUUAACUCGUCUGCACAUUAGCAGGCACAUUAACGGAGAAAUAUUUUAAAAAAUCACAUUAGAUCUUGAAUUAGUUUUUCAUUAAACCCCAUUUUUGCUGAUGCCUAUAACUCAAAAAAUUUGAAGUGGUCCACUGCUCUAAUAGGCUUUUCGCCAUAGCCUAUUGGCCUGUGUUUUUAUUUUACCGUGUUACUGUCACUUUAAGCUGCACUUAUUUGCUGCUGUGUCUGCUGUUUUUGCUGUUUUUUCUGUUUCUAUUGUUAUUUGAUAUUUUUUUCCCUGUUUUUGGGUAACUUAUUAUUUUUUCUGCUGUUAUUUGCUGUUGAUUCUGGUGUUUCUAAUGUUAUUUACUGCUGUUUAUACCGUUAUUUACUGCUGUUUUUGUUGUUUUCUACUGUUUCUACCGCUAUUUUUUUUACUGUUUUUGGUAACUUUUUAUUUUUUCUGCUGUUAUUUACUGUUGAUUCUGCUGUUUCUACUAUUCACUGCUGUUUCUGCUGUUUUUACUGAAUAAAUAUGUUAUUUGGUGUUUUUCUGCUGUUUUUGGGUAAUAUUUUCAGUGUUUUUACUUUUUUUACUGUUUUUGUAACUUUUUAUUUUUUCUGCUCUUAUUUACCGUUGAGUCUGCUGUUUCUACAGUUAUUCACUGCUGUUUUUACUGUUAUUUACUGUUGUGAUUGCUGUUUUUAACUGGAGAAGUUUGUUAUUUGGUGUUUUUCUGCUGCUUUUGGGUAAUUUUUUUGUACUGUUUUUGAUUUUUUUUCAAAUUGUUUUCACAGUUCAUAGGGAAAAAAAAAUUGAUUGUUACCUUAACUUUUUUCGCAGAGAAGAGGAGGAUAGCUUAUCCCAAAAUUUACUGCUGUUUUUGUUGUUUUCUACUGUUUCUACUGCUAUUUUUUUUACUGUUUUUGGUAACUUUUUAUGUUUUCUGCUGUUAUUUACUGUUGAUUCUGCUGUUUCUACUAUUCACUGCUGUUUUUACUGAAUAAAUAUGUUAUUUGGUGUUUUUCUGCUGUUUUUGGGUAAUAUUUUCAGUGUUUUUACUUUUUUUACUGUUUUUGUAACUUUUUAUUUUUUCUGCUCUUAUUUACCGUUGAGUCUGCUGUUUCUACAGUUAUUCACUGCUGUUUUUACUGUUAUUUACUGUUGUGAUUGCUGUUUUUAACUGGAGAAGUUUGUUAUUUGGUGUUUUUCUGCUGCUUUUGGGUAAUUUUUUUUUACUGUUUUUGAUUUUUUUCAAAUUGUUUUCACAGUUCAUAGGGAAAAAAAAUUGAUUGUUACGUUAACUUUUUUUGCAGAGAAGAGGAGGAUAGCUUAUCCCAAAAUUAGGACAAAUUUCCCCUGAACACUCACAGCUGUUAGCAAGAGUAUCAGAGAAAGUUUCAAGUGAGUUUUAGGUGUUACAUUUAAAUCUGUUUUAAUUUCUCUGUAGGAUGUUAAAAUCAAUUUUUUUUUUUAGCUAGAGUAGUGGCCAAAGUUAAAGCUUCAGCACAAUCUCAAUGUGAUCACACAUGAAUUGAAAAUAGGAUCUAGAGAUUAACAAAGUUAGGUUUUAGAAAAUGUUACCAAAACGAAAAUAUCCUUAAUGACCAGACCACAAAAUGCACCCAUAUAAAACAAAUAAGUAAUCUCGAUUAUAAAGAAACAGGAAAAAUCAGUCCCAUUGCUUAAGCUAAUAACAGCAGUACAGCACCAUAAAUCAAUCUCAUUGCCUAAGCUAAUAACAGCAGUACAGCACCGUAAAUCAAUCCCAUUGCCUAAGCUAAUAACUGCAGCACACCCACCCCCGUAAAACAAUAUCGUUUGUCUAAUUUUUCCCUAAAUAUGCUAAUAGCAAAAAGUUUAGACCCUAAUCUAUUAAAGUAUUAAUCACAACUCAAAAAAUAUUAAUGAAAAAUAAAUAAAAAUAAAACAAUGGAGUCAACAACUCACUGUCUCCAGCGCGAUUGCAACGGCUGAGCGAGGCUACGACAACAACAAAUAGCGGUGAUGGCUGAGGCAACGAGCUGUUGAAUCAUGAUUACUGGCGUGAGCUAGCUAGGUCUGUGAAUCACGAUCACGAUCUAUCGUCUGCAGUAAGCUAGCAAAAGUAUCCCAAAUCAAAAAAAUUGAAUCACGUUGUCGGCAAAGGGCGUGUGAGUGACGUCAGUGGAGAGAAACUGAGAGAGAGUGAGACUAUAGUGAAAUGCAGUCGACACUGCCGUCACUCACACACCUUCCGCCGAUUCAAUGUUUUUGAUUUAGGAUACUUUGGCUAGCUCACUGCAGACGACAUAUAGUGAUCGUGAUUUGUAGACUUAGCUAGCUCAUCGCCUCAAUCAUCUUCGCCAACUGUUGCCGUCACAGCCUCAUUUACCCAUUGCCAUUGCGCCGGAACCAGUGAGUUGUUGACUCUGUUUUUUUAUUUAUUUUUUAUUAAUUUUUUUCCUUAAUUAAAUUUUUUUGAGUUGUGAUUAAUACUCUAAUUUUUCCCUAAAUACGCUAAUAGCAAAAAAAUUUAUGUGGGUGUGCUGCUGUUAUUAGCUUAGGCAAUGGGAUUGAUUUAUGGUGCUGUUAUUAGCUUAAGCAAUUUUGGAUUGAUUUUUCCUGUUUUCUUAGAAUCGAGAUUACUUAUUAGUUUUAUGUGGGUGCAUUUUGUGGUCUGGUCAUUGAGCAUAUUUUCGUUUUGGUAAUUUCUGUGCUGCAAAAUUGAAUUAUGCAAAUAUGCUUCUGCUUUUACGGAAAUGAAAAAAAUUAUAUGGAGUUCAAUGAAAAACUGAGUAGAUACCAAACGCUUAAUCUGCUGCACCUAAGAUCAAGCAUUUGGUAAACACCCACUUUUUCUUGAAUGCUGAUGUUUACUACACACCCACUUUCUGUUUAUAGCUAGAAAUUCCGUUCCACGGCAGCUGUGGGUUAGAAGCCACAUUGCCUCAAUCCCCUAACAUGCCCUGUAUUAAUUACAGUUUUACUAGUAAAUUAGGAUUAGCAAUUUGUACUGUUUGUUAAUGUAGCCAAUCAUACCAGUAAGAUAACAGUGUUUGAAUUGAGAUAAUGGAUGUUGAGAAGCAUGAGUCUAUGUUCUGUGUUAUCUAUUGCUGUAUAUGUGGGUUGGAUGAAAAUUGUUUGGUUGUUUCUCUAAUAUUUUAAAUUCUAAUAUCUUUAUUUAGUUUACAAGGAAUUUGCUAAUGAUUUAUCCAUGUUUGUUCUCAGGCAAUUUAUGCUAUAAGUUUACUUUAACCCGGAUGGAAGCCAAAUUUUUUCGGUUUUUGAAGAUUGUAGGUGUUGGCUACAAAGCCAGGGCUGAAGCAGAGGGGCGACUCUUGUAUCUCAAAUUGGGAUAUGUACAUGAUGUUGAACUCACUGUUCCCCCAGCUGUUCGUGUUUUCUGCCUAAAAAACAAUGUGGUUUGCUGCUGUGGACUUGACAAACACAGGGUGCACCAGUUUGCUGCUUCAGUUCGCAGUUGCAAGCCUCCUGAACCUUUCAAAGGCAAGGGUAUAAUGUACACUGAUGAAGUUAUCAAGAAAAAAGUUGGAAAGAAAAAAUCAAAAUGAUGGUGGAGAUGGUCUCUACUUUUUAGCAAUUCGGUUUUUUUUUUUGGUGCAUCUAUUCACUGCGCCAGCAAAUCUUCAUUUUGAAGUUGAAAAUAUUUGGAACCUUUCAAGGGAUUUUGUAUUGAGAGCUUCCAAUAUCUGAACAACUUAGUUAAGAAAUCGGCGGAUUGUGAUGCUUUUGGAGGCUUUGUUAUAAUAAAAUGUUUGUUGAAAUUUCACCAUUGAAAAUUUCUUAUGCAAAUUCGACGUUGGCUUUAAAUGAUUUUUUUCUCUGCAGUACAACUUGUUUGCAAUAACGGUCUUGUGGGCCGCCUUAUGGACUAGAGUCUUGUAUUCCUGCACAAACAACACAAAUCAUAAUCUCAUGAGCCCGUAAAACCAAUAGACAUGGUGUAGCGUAAAGAAGAUUUGUUGCAUCCCACAAACCACAGACUGUUUAGCUAAAGCUACCACAAGUACAUUAAAAAGGACUGAAAAAUGACUCAAAUUAUGAACGAGUUAAUCAAGCAUGUCAAUCUGAGAGGCAACGUCCAGAACCACCCAAUCAAAUCCCUCAAGCAACCCCUCGCCUGCGUAGGCACUACAACCCAUAAUUUCCCAGUCUCGUGUUAUAUCCACAGCUUCCAAGUUCAGCAUUUGUAGAAGUGUAGUCGAGACAGAUUAGAACCAAAAAGGUUUUAAAUUGUUCCAAAUCCAACAUACAGAUGUUUUGAAUAUAAAUUGGAAAAGAAAAAGAAAAGAAGAUCAUAUCAAUUGGAUGAUUGUUUUUAUGAGAGUUCAUAAACAUCUAAUAUCAUCCAACCCAUGAAUGCUUUCAAAUUUGUGAAACAGUGUUUGGUCAACCUCGUUUUUAAGGCCUCACAACGCCUGAGACAGACAAGGGCUAAUAAAUGAUCUAAUGAAUCUACUGUAAAAUUAUGCAAAAGGACAACUAAAAAUACCUCACAACAUCUUAUAUUUCUUAUAGCUCUUUGGCCCCAACAUCCCAUAUAUUUAAGACUAUACCUGUCAAAUACACAUAAUAUAUUCAUGGGAAUUAAAACUUUUUUGGAGUGCUUCAAACUCUCAUCUCAUGUAAGCAUGCAUAUUUUGAUCAUCAUGUUCGUAAGGAUGGACAAUACUGUACAUAAUAAGCCUAAAAUUUUACAAUAAAUUCAUUUCAUUUCAUCUCAUCUCAUUUCAAUUACCGUGUUCAAUUUUAUGUGGAUCUGAACGGAAAUCUUACUUUUGGUGAGUGGUGGUUUUGAUGUUGAAGCCAAGUCUACCAUCAUUUUAUUUUUAACUUCCUCCAAGCUUCCCUUCAUAUCCUCAAGCAACAAGAAUGGACCAAAAGCCUUGCUAGCAUUUACACGAACCACCUGCCUUCCUGGCCAAAAUAUGCAAAUUAAGACUUGCAUUAAUCAAAAUAAGAAUAUUUGAACAAACUGUGACACUGGGGUUGGGAAGGGGGCAAUAUCUAAGAAAUAGUCAUUGCAUGUCAUUUUUUUUCAAGUUCUUUUUUUUUAAAUUAAAUAGGCAAAACAUAAUCCCAUAUAAAGCUAAUAAAGCAGUUCAUUCAGGAAAGAUGCAAAAGUUAAAAGGUGUCAAAAAGACCCUCACUAGAAGUCUAGGAUAUACCUCUGUUUACUUCAGACGGGAAAAGCAGGCGAUGUGGGUAAGGUAACCUGUCCCUGUGGAGAAGUACUGCAUCAUAGUAUGGUGCAAAUAGUCGCACCCCUUGUUUUUCAUCUCUUUAUUAUUGACGAGUUAGAUUAGGACCCUUAUACAGUGUAACCAUCUUAGACUUCCUUUGGUGCCGCUACUUACUUAAAAGUCAAAUCAUAAUUAAGAAGUAGUUAAUUAAGAUGAUUUAAUCUCACAGUUGUUUGAUGAAAAACUUCUAUUACCUUUACUUUAAAAAAAAAUUAUUUAAAAGUCAUAUUUAUCAAAUAUUAUUCAUCAAUACUUAACUCACAUUUAGAAUUUCUAUUUCACAGUAUGAAAAUACCAAACAGAUCCUUACACUUCAACGGCUCACUAUCAGUAUUGGGAAGACACAGGAUCUUCUUAUCAGGGGUAAAGCUCAAUAAGAGACCUCAGACCCAAAGUAGAAUUUACAUUGUAAUGGCUGAAACCAGCUUCUAAGAAGAGCUUCUUCCAUUCUUUGAUGCUCCGCUCUUUGGCCACACUGAAUAAAGACAUCAUCAACAUGUCAGAGCACAAUUGUGUCUCGGUUGAGUCCUUGUCUAUGCUUUGAUCUUCUAUGACCAUGUCUAUGACAAUAACUUUCCCUCCUUUAUCUUUACUCCCAUCAAUAGCUUCUUUGCACUUCUUCAAUAUCUUCACGCUCUCUUCAUCACCCCAGUUAUGCAGAACCCACUUCACAGAUAUAUUUUGUCAUAUAAAUUUAAUUAAACAGUUAAAAAUCUCGGAAUUCUGUUCAUAUAUAGAAAAACAGUAAUACUAGAUCCACAAACUCUUUGUGCAAACUGAUGCAGUAUAACAAUGUUGAUUUGAUUUUAAAAAAAACUCCACAUGAUGCAUGUAAUUAAUUUUUAUUAAUAUUUUUUAUUUGGAUGAGUCUAUUUCAACUUAAGUUUUUUAUAAAAAAAAUUUCUCGAAAUUUGAGCCAUUGAUCUUAUACAAUACAAUGAGGGACGAAUUUUGACAUCAUUAAAUGCUAUUUUGACAUUUAAUAUAUCUAAAAUUGGAUUGUAUAAAAUAACUAAUUCAAAAUUUUGAGUAGAAAAUUCACACUAAAAUAGCCCACUCUAUUUUCUUCGACCAAAAUUGUUAUAUAUGCUACAGCUAUUUGUAGAAUGAGGUUGUGACUCUGUAUAUAUCAGUAUUGAAACAUUAAUAUUUAAGUGGGAGAGAAAAUAGAAAUCCUAUUACUAAUCAAUUUAAUUACCUUGAGUAGAACUGCAUCUGCUGGAGGUAUUGCUUCAAACAUGUCGCCUCCAAGAAAUUCCAGGUUCUUAUUAGUCCCCUGCUGCUGCUGCAAAUUAUUAUCAACGACAUGUGGGAGAUCGAAAACGAUGCAUUUCAUUUCAGGAAAAGCUUCUGCGAUGGCUUUGGCCAUAGUUCCAGUGCCGCCACCCAGAUCAACCAGACACUUCAGCCCCUUGAAUACCACCUUACAAUCUUUAAUCAGAACGCUUGAUAUGAACUGAGAGUCAGUCAUCAUGGCAUCAUAAAAGACGUUUUUAAAUUUAGCUUCUUGAGCCAAACAACCCCAAAUGUCUUUCCCAUGCGUUGACUCAAACACUGUGGGUGUAGAGGGAUCAUCAUUCUUGAACCAAGAGCUCAAGAAAUUGAAGGGAGUCGUUAUUAUAGGAUGGGUUAUCAGAAACAUAAAUGGUGCGGCCCUCAAGGGCUCAUCCUUUAGGAGGAGUCGAGAAGCUGGUGUAAGAGAAUAAUACACUUCUGAUUCGUCUUUGUCAAUUUUAUUUUGUUGAGCAAAGAAGCCAGAGUGAACUAGAAUCCGCAUAAGGCGUUGAAUGCAAUGAGCUUUGUUUUUUUGGAUGUCGAGUGCUGAAGCUAUCUGUGAAAGAGUCAUGGGCUGGCCAUGUUUGUGAAUAACAUCUGGUAUGCCAAGUUCAACGGCACAUUUUAGUGACAUGGAAUUGAUGUAACUGAAGGCACAAUUCCACACCUGAGCUUGAGCUUUAAGAAGCUCAGAGCUGCUGCUGCUGCUGCUACUACUCUCUGCAUUAAUCAUAUGAUUCAUAUCCAUUUCAGGCUAUUCAAAGCUUGGCGACCUUUAAAGAUUCUUGAAUUAUCUGUCAUUAACAAGAAGCGAGCUUAAAUAUUGUCAACGUAGUAUAUGAAUUACCUCCAUUCUUUAAGGUGAUGUUUGGUUUGAAAAAAUGAGAGGAGAGGAGAGGAGAGGAGUAGAGUAGAGAGGAGGGGAUAAGAAAGGAGAUAAGGUGAGGGUGAAAUUAAAUCUAGUUGUUUGAUUUAACAUAGAAUUUUGUUGGGAAAGGAUAUUACAAAAAAAAAUUUGGACUAACUUACCCUUUACCUUACACCAUAGACUUCCAACGUUAGUUACAAAUAUAAUUUGAAAAAAAUAAACUAUGAAUAAUUUAAUUUAAAAAUUAAACAACUAAAUAGCUAUUAGAUAAAAUAACUUGAAUAUUGUAUUUACAAUUAAUUCUUUAAAACCAAUUUAAGUAAUACCGUAUAACCAAUUAAAUAAUUUAAAUUAUUUUCCAAUAAAUUAUUUUUAAUAAAAAUAAUCAAUUUAACCUCGCCGGAGAGCCGCCACAUUGCCCCCGCGAAAGCUGCCGAAAUAGAGUUUUUCGUCCUCAAAGUUACAUCAAAAUGAUCAGAAACUAAUGAUCUACUCAUUGAGAGAUAAAAUUAUCCAAAAAGUUUACAACUGCACUGGAAAUAGUAGAGUUAAAAGUUUCUCAGAUGUUUACAAUGAGAUUUUAGCCCAAAAAAGAUAUCUAAUGUCGUUUUCAUUGCCCUAAGAUAGUAGAUCGGCUCUUGAAAAUUCGAUUGGCAUAAAAAUUGAUGAAGAAAUCACUUCGACAGAGGCAGUCCGGCAACUUUCCGACGACGGGAUGGCGGCGGUCUGUCGACGGCUGUUGCUGUUCUUUUAUAUUUAAUAAUUUCAAAUUAAUUAAAUAAUAAAUAUAUAUUAUCUAUUAAACUAUUUACUAUGUUAUUUUAACUUAUUUAAAGGAUAAUAUUGAACUUUUGUUUUAAAACUGGUAAGGAACUUAGACUCUUUACCCACUAGUGCAGAAUUAAAAUUCUUUAGUUUCAUAGAUUUUAAAUUCCUUUAGAAAUUAAUUUCUAGUCAACUAGGACCAACCAAACAAAAGAAAUCAUAAAAGAAUUUGAAUUCAUCUCUUUUCCACCCUUCUCUCAGGCCAAUCAAACGUCACCUAAGUUCCUGCCUAGAGGAAUUUUCAACUGCAGGCAUUAUAGAUUAGUCCCCUGAUUUACAAUUUUUUUUUAAUAAGGAAUUAUAUAAUAAUUUAUAAUUUGAACGACCUUGAUGCUCGGUACUCAGUACCCCGUUUUAUGUAUUAAAAAAAAUUAGAUAUCAAUUUUAUCAGCACAUGGGUCAGCAGAUGGAUACAUUGAACCUUUUUCUUCUCUCUCAAAAGCUCUCUCUCCUUGAGAAAGUUUAGAGAGUAGGAGUGUAGCUGAGCCUGAAUGGCUCAUUAACUCACUCUUAUUGAGUGUUUUGUUAACCUUUUCUAAAGUUCCUUUAAAGCUUAAGUCCUUAAUACAGUAGUUCGGAUGUCAUAACUGCAUCAAAAAAGGUGGGUGAGCAUUCUUGUCAAUUAAAAUGGAGACCGAGGAAUUAAUUCGAAGAUGCAGGUCAAUAUCUUUAGAGGAAGCAGAAGAAAAUAAGUUCUCUUUCAAAGGAAAAAUUAAAGAGAAGGGAAUACAAGUAGCAGCGGGCUGCUUAAUUGGAAAAGUUCUGCAAACAAGAGGAGUAAACACAGAGGGGUUGAGAAUUGCUGUAACUCAAGUGUGGCAAACAAGAAAAGAAGUAAAGAUUGAAAAUAUGGGGGACAACAUUUUCAUUUUUAAGUUUGGGGAUGAAGUAGACAAAAGGAGAAUUAUUGCAGGGGGACCGUGGCAUUUUAAUCAAGCACUGAUUUUGCUCAAAGAACCAGAAGGAAUCGGAGAAAUCAUAGCCCAACUCUUCACACAUACAACAUUUUGGGUACAAAUAAAAAAUGUCCCGAUUAUGUGUAUGGAUGAAGAAAUUUGUAAAGGGAUUGGAGAGCUCAUCGGAAGAGUUGAAGAAGUGGAUACGGACAGAACAGGAGAUGUCAUAGGGCAGGCUAUACGGUUGAGAAUCUCGGUUGACAUCACCAAGCCCCUAAAGAAAAUCCUGUUCAUUGAAACAGAAGAAAAGAAAAAAAAUCCCAGUUGCAGUAGAGCAUGAAAAGCUUCCAGACUUCUGCUAUUGUUGUGGAUGUCUUGGUCAUUCUUAUAAAGAAUGCACCAAAUACAAAGGGCAACCAACAAAAGAGCUUAACUAUGGACCAUGGCUGAAGGCACUGACGUGGGGGGAAAAAUGAAACAAAAUAGGACAAGGGAACAAUGGAGCACAAGAAUGAGCAGCGGAGAUGAGAUGAAAAGUCAGGAUCACAGUCAAAAGUCCAUGACAAGGGAGCAGUACCCCCAGAAGCUGAUGAAUGAAUUAAGAAGGUUGGACCAAGGCUCAGCUGAACCGAACCAAGGCAAAUUGAACCGGAAAGCACAAAAUGGAAGUGACAUCACAGAUGGGGAAGGUACAGAACAUUUAAUGAAGGAGGGGGAGAAAUUGAGGACUGAAAAAAGUAGCAGCCAAAGACCAGGAAAGACAGCUGGGUGCAGGGACCAAAAAUUGGAAGCGGGAAAAAUAGGAUAAGUAGAAAACGAGGGAAAUGUGAACAAAAGUUGUGACGGUGUAGUGGGCCAAGAACUGGGCCCAGAUGCAAUGGAAGGGGAGGAAAUAGAAAAUGGGCCGGAGAAAAUCCAAGUGAAACAAAAGAGGAAAAAAUGGAAGCAUCAAGCAAGGCAACUUGAAGGGAAAAAAGGAGAAACAUCUAAAUCAAUUCUAGCAAAGAGACAAAGCUGUGAAAUGGGCUUGCUGAGUCCGUAACCAAAGAGAAGCAAAACGCUCAGCCCAAAUAAGCUAACAACUGCAGAGUACAGCUACAAAUCUCCCCCAGCAAAAAUCAAACUAAGGUGGGAAACUCACAACAUGAAUGACAUGGAAAUUUCAACCACAAUCACUGAGGAACCAACGGCGGAGGCUGGGAGCCAGCCCCGCCGACAAUCAUGAAGCCUAUCAGUUGAAAUGUUCGGAGAAUGAGGAAGGACCGGACAUUCUGAGAAAUCAAAAUGAUCCUCCGUGAGCAUAAACUAGAAAUUAUGUUUUUUUGUGAAACAAAAUUGAUGGGGCAACUCAUGCAAAGAAGAGCAGCAGAGCUAAAUUUCCAAAAUUGCUUUGCAAUUAGUAGUAGGGAGGGGGGCUGGCAAUGAUGUGGAGGGAGGGGAUAGAAAUGGAGAUUAAAUCGUAUAGCAAACACCAUAUAGAUGCUGUAGUGCAAAAUAACGAGGGGAGCUCUUGGAGAUGUACAGGGGUUUACGGCAAUCCAAAAUCAGAAGAGAGAAAGCACACGUGGGAGCUAAUCAGAAGGCUAUCAGGUCUGUCAUAUAUACCUUGGAUUUGCUUUGGAGAUUUUAAUGAAAUUCUGCACUUGAGGGAAAAAAUUAGAGGAAAUGAUAGAAACGUAGGAUUAAUCACAACCUUUAGAGAAGCAAUUAACGAUAGUGGCUUGACCGACUUAGGUUACAAAGGGUACCUCUUUACUUGGUGUAAUAGAAGAUUCGGGCCACAUAUUAUUGAAGAAAGGCUGGAUAGAGCCUUUUGCUGUAAAAAUUGGGGUGGAGUGUUUCAAGAAUUGUUGUCCAACACAUUGAAACAUGGAGCUCAGACCAUUACCUUAUUGUUAUGGAAGUAGUGGAAAGAGGGAAAAGAGCCAGAUAUGAGAAGAAAACUUUUCCAAGAAUGAACUAUGAAGACAUGUGGAGUCCGUACGAAAAAUGCCAAGAGAUUGUGAAAAGAGAGUGGUGGGAACAAAGUAUAUGGGAGGGUGCAGAUGUCGUAGAGGUUUUCAAAAAGGCCACAAAGAAGUCCAUGGCUAAUCUGAAAUUGUGGAGCUCAACUGAAUUUGGGGGGAGAGAAAAAAUGGUUAAGAAGCUAAUAAAUGAGCUGAAGAACUUGAAAAGAAACUAUGACCAUUAUGUGAAUGGGGACAGAAUCAGGGGGCUGGAAAAUCAGAUUGACAAUAUGCUAGCUGAUGAUGAAGCGUAUUGGAAGCAGAGGUCUAGAGCUGAUUGGCUUUUGGCGGGAGAUAAAAAUACGAAAUUUUUUCAUGCCAAAGCUUCAGCGAGAAAAUAUAAGAAUAAAAUUUGGGGAGUUUUGGAUGAAGACGGAAACUGGACUGAAGAAGCUGAGGAGAUCGAGAGCAAAUUUUGCGAUCAUUUUGCAAACCUCUUCACUACAACAAGGCCUUCAAGACAGCAAGGGGAAGCAGCUGUGGACAGUGUACCAAGGAGAGUCACAGCAGAGAUGAACAAGGAGUUGACCAGACUAUUCACAAAGAAGGAAAUUAAAGAAGCUCUUUUCCAAAUGUGCCCAAUGAAAGCACCAGGACCGGAUGGCCUCCCUACGGCUUUUUUUCAAAAGCACUGGAAAUUUGUCGAAGAAGGAGUAAUAGCUACAUGUCUGCAAAUUCUAAAUGAUCCAGGUAACCUCGCUCUACUAAACCAUACGUACAUUGCUCUUAUCCCAAAAAUAAAAAAGCUGAGAGAUGUAGCUGACUAUAGACCUAUUAGCUUGUGCAAUGUCAUUUAUAGAAUCAUAGCAAAAUGCAUAACAAAUAGGUUAAAGUAAAUUCUGCAUGAUGUAAUAUCUCCAAAUCAAAGUGCAUUCAUUCCAAAUAGACUCAUCACAGACAACAUUAUUAUAGGAUAUGAAUGCCUUCACAAAAUUAGAAUGAGCAAGGGAAAGAAAAAUAGGCUAGUUGCGUUGAAGUUAGAUAUAAGCAAAGCCUAUGAUAGGGUGGAGUGGAAUUUUUUAGAGCAAAUCAUGUAUAAGCUAGGAUUCGAAAAAACCUAGAUUGACUUGAUUAUGAAUUGUAUCUCUACCUCAUCUUUCUCUGUACUGAUCAAUGGGGCGCCUAAAGGUCUGGUGAAGCCAGAGAAGGGUUUACAACAAGGCUGCCCUUUAUCCCCAUACUUGUUUAUUAUUUGUGCAGAAGCUUUUUCCAGUAUGCUGAUUCAAGUAGAAAAAAAGAAGCAUUUCCAGGGGUUGAAGUUCAACAAAGAGCUUUUCAUCAAUCAUUUGUUGUUUGCGGACGACAGCCUAAUCUUUAGUAGAGCUGCAAUGGAAGAUUGCAAAAAACUGAAGCAUAUUUUUUAUCGUUAUGCUGCUGCUUCUGGUUAGAUCUUCAACUUCGUAAAGUCAUCCAUGUUGUUUAGUGGAAACGUUUCAACUGGGCAAAUAAAUAAAAUAAAAGACAUCUUCCAGCUAAAGGUGGUUUCGAAGCAUGAAAAGUAUUUGGGGUUGCCCUCCAUGGUUGGAAGAAAGAAAGUCAGCUUUGUCAAGGAAAUAAAGUUGAGAAUCUUAAGCAAAAUCUCGGGAUGGCAAAGCAAAUUUUUCUCAAGCGGAGGUAGGGAGGUUCUAAUAAAAGUAGUGGCCUAGGCUGUUCCAGCCUAUGCAAUGAGUGUGUUUCAAAUUCCUACAACUUUAUGUGAAGAUAUACAACGAGCAGUUGCUGGUUUUUGGUGGGGAGUAAAAAAGGAUCAGAAAAGCAUCCACUGGACAAAGUGGGAGAGUCUUUGUCACGCAAAGGGCAGGUGAGGGCUUGGAUUUAGAGACUUUGCAUGUUUUAAUCAAGCCCUGAUAGCCAAGCAAAGCUGGAGAAUAAUCCAAAACCCUGAAUCUUUGCUGACGAAAAUUUUGCAGGCAAGAUAUUUCAAGAGUUGUGAAUUCUUACAAGCCAAGUUGGGAUCAAAACCAUCUUUUAUUUGGAGGAGCAUACUUUGGGGGAGACAAAUCAUCCAAAAAGGAAUGAGAUGGAGAAUUGGGUCAGGGGAUUCGGUUAAGGUAUACAAGAGCCAAUGGAUACCAAGACUACAAACUUUUAAACCUAUUGCUUCGGCAACUCUAAGUAUGGAUGCCACUGUAGCAAAAUUAAUAGAUGCCAAUCAUCAGUGGAAAGAAACACUCAUACAUCAGCAUUUCAGCAAAGAAGAUGCUGAAAAAAUUCUGCAAAUCCAGCUCCCAAACAGCCCCCAACCAAACCAAAUCUUGUGGCAUUAUGAUAAAAAAGGCCAGUAUUCGGUUAAGAGCGGAUACCAGAUAGCUAGGAAGAUCAAGCACCCUGAAGAAUCAUCUUGCUCUAAAAACAACAGUGGGCAAUGGAAUGUGAUAUGGGCAAUAGAGCUUCUAGAGAAAAUAAAAAUUUUCAUGUGGAGGGCUGUAAAAAAUCUGCUCCCAACAGCAGAAAACCUAUAGAAAAGGAGAGUGUUGCAGGAUCCAAUAUGUUCGAGGUGUAAAAUGAAGGCUGAGAGUAUCGUCCAUGCAAUAUUGGAAUGCAAACCAGCAAGACAGAUGUGGAAACUAACUCCCUAUUAUGCAAAAAUGAAUGUGCUCAUAAAUCAGGAUUUGUUAUCUAUGAUGAAGGAAAUAGAAAAAAGAAGAAGCAAAGAGGAGUUACGGAGAAUAAUUGCGUUGUGCUGGGCAGCCUGGUAUUCAAGAAAUGGGUCUAUCUUUGAAAAUGCAGAGCAAGAUCCUCAUAUCACAGUAGCCAAAGCUGAUGCCACUGUUGAGGCUUAUGCAAGAGUAAAAAUGGGGAAGAUUUUAGCAGCAGCAAGCAACACACCAAAAAAGAGCUCAAGCUGGUUACGUCCUCCGCAAGGCUUAUUCAAAGCAAAUGUUGAUGCGGCCAUAAAUGAAGAGAAAAAGGAAGCAGGACUGGGAGUGGUGAUCAGAGAUAGCAAGGGAGAAGUGAUAGCUACAGCUGUAAACCGAACACCCUUCUACGGGAAUGUAGCUCAAGCUGAAGCAACAGUAGUGAACUUUGGGCUCCAGACUACAAUGGAAGUUGAUUUGCUACCUCUAAUUGUUGAGACGGAUUGCAAAGAAGUCUUUGAUUUUUUCUUCCAUAAGCAGAGCAGCAGAACGAAAAUAUUCUGGAAUAUAGCUGGAAUUAAAAAAAAAGAUGAACUCACUGAACAGCAGGGCAAAAAUUCAGCAUAUCUCUAGAGACUGUAAUGCAAUUGCUCAUGCACUAGCUAAGAUUGCCCUAGGUAGUGACAGAUCUUGCGUUUGGAAGGGAUCGUUCCCUCCUCAAAUCAUGUGCUUAUUUUCAAAGCUUUGUUAAUGAAAGUAAAUCUUUCUAUCAAAAAAAAAAAAAAAAGAUGGAUACAUUGAACCCAUUAAAAAUGUUCACCACCACCAAGCCUAGGGAUGGCAAUGGGCACCGCCCGCAGCGGGUUUGCCGUUACCAAACCCAAACCCGCACAAAAUUUGAAUUAUCAAACCCACUCGCAACCCGCAGCGGGUUUUAAUUUUUUAAAAAAAACCCACCCGCAGCGGGUUUUAACAAUUACCAAACCCGCAAUGGUAUCCGGCGGAUUUUUUACGGAUUUCCGUAUUUAAAAUCACAAAUGUUUAUUAUAUAAAUUUAUAAUAAUAACCUCAAAUUUCAUAUAACAUACUCAAUUUUAUAUUUAAACAAUGUAAAUAAAAAAUUAAAAUUUCCACAUCAAUUCAACACAAAUUCUCAAAUUUAAGUAUAAAUUAUACAAAUCUAUUUAAAAAACACAAACUAGUAUCUAAAAAUAAUAAUUACAUUUCAUAUUAUCAUUUAAAACAAGCUACAAGAGAAGAUAUUCAUUUCAUUCACCACCAUAAGCACACAUCCAACACAAUGCCUAUAAUAAUAAUUAAGAUUAAUAUUUUCAAAUACUAAUUCGAAGGAAAAUGCCUUUAAUUUUCUUUAGGUUAUGACUUUAGAAUAGGAGAUGGAUCACAUACACACAUAUACAACUUUGAGCCUUUGGUUAUUUGGUAAUUUGAUUAAUGACAUUAUUUUCUUUAUACAUUUUUAUAUUAAAAUUAAAUUAAAAAUAUUUGGAAAAAAUAUUGCGGGUUUGGUGGAUAUCCAUGCGGGUAUCCAUCGGGUAUAAGGUUAAUACCAAACCCACCCGCAUCCAUGUGCGGGUUUUAAUUUAUAAUACUAAACCCGCCCGCAACGGAUAAAAUUACCCGCAACGGACGGGUUUUGGCAGGUGGGUUUGGGCGGGUUUGCGGGUACAAUUGCCAUCCCUAACCAAGCCCUCCCAAAAUCACCGAGAUGAAUGAAGAGCUGGAGCGACCCUUCACCGAGAUACACGCUAUUUCUCGUGAAUCAUGACAUCCAUCACCAAAAUUUUAAAAAAUUCUGAUUUUUCUUUACACACCCCUCUGAAUUUCAAUAAUACCCCUUAUUAUUCUUUUUCCCAUUAAUGAUGAACCAUGUUAUAGAUUGUUGUUUUCCAUAUUAAUCUUAUAUUAAUUCUAUUGAGUUGACCAAGCUAUUCAAAUUUGAUCCCGUGCCACGCAAUUUUUCCUCCUAUUUAUUUUAUAGGAAUGUUUACUAAUAUUUAUAUAAGACAAUUGGUAAAUUUACUAUCUUCAAAUCACUCUUCUUAUUUUUAAAAAAUCUCAAUUUAUUCCUCAUUUUUGUCAAGGAAAAAAAAAUCAUCAACUCACCCAUUUUUUCUCUAUCUUUUAUACAAAAAUAAGAGUAACUUGAGAUUUUCAAAAGUUAUAAGAUGAUUUGAAGAUGAUCAAUUCAGAAGGGAGAUAAUUCAAAAUUUAUCCUUUUUAUAAUCAUGAUUACUUGAAUGGGUGCGAUCUCGUAAUUCUAAUUAAGUGAUUUUUAAAUAAUUUUAUUUUACUACCCACACAAAUUCAAAUUUUAAGAAUAAUAAAAAAUUAAAUAAAUCUAAUUAAACUUUGUCCAUCCUAUUAAAAAAAUAAAUAAAUAAAAUCGGUCAAGAAGCUUAGCAGCAUCUUCGCUUAAUAAGAAGAAAAAAGAAAAAAAAACAUUACAUCAGCAUAUGUGUCAACAAAAAUGACCCACAUAGGGCCCUAUCCAAUAGGGGUGUUCACGGAUCGGAUUUUACGGAUUGGACCUCAAUCCAUAUCUGAUCUACGAUUUUACGGAUUAUAAAUUUUUAAUCCAAUCCAAUCCAGGGAUUGAUGAAAUUCAAUCCAAAUCCAAUCCAUACAUCUGCGGAUCGAAUGCGGAUUUGACCCAAUUCAUAUUCAAUCCACCAUUUUACGGAUUGGUUUGCGGACUGAAAAUUUUUAAUUAUGUCCAAUUCACGAACUAACUAAAUAAAAAAAAUAAUAUAAAAAUAAUUUUAUUGCCAAUCAAAUUUAAAAUUAAAUAAGAUUUAAAUAAAUUAAUUAUUUAAAUAAAACUAGAAAAUACAUUUAAAGUUUCAAAACAUAACAAAAACGAAAAAAAAAAAUAAUUCGUUUAUAUCAGUAUGUGGAAAUUAACUAUUUAAAAAGCUAUAUUUGUUUAUUUAAUUAAUUUUAUUUUAUAUUAUUAUCGGAUAAGAUGUAAUAUAGUGUUAAUGUAACUAUAUUUUAACUUAUUUAUUUACUAGUAAGUACUAAUGCCAUAUUUACAAGUUUUAAUUUUUAAUUAAAUAAAUACUUUUUUAUUUUUUUGCGGAUUUGCAGAUUUUUGCAGAUUUACAGAAGUAAAUCCAUAUUCAAUCCAUCGAUUGUGGAUAAUCAAAUUUUCAACCCAAUCCAAUCCACUAAUCCACGGAUCGGAUUUUUAUGGAUCGGAUUUUUACGGAUCAAACAGAUUGAGCGGAUUGGAUUGGAUUUUGAACAACCCUACUAUCCAAUAUAGAAAAUUCUUUAUUACUUAUGCCCGACCGACAUGGCGGAAUGAUUUUUUGAAUAGGUUUCAAAAGCUUUAUUUAGUUAGUUAAGUGAGCUUGAGUCUUGUGAGAUAGAGAGUUGAAAAUUGAUGCGGAUUUUGUCCAUUUAUUUACUUUUAAAACUAAAUAAUAAUUAAUUUGACAAUUUUAUUACAUUUUUUUUUGGUUAAAAGUACUUAAUCAUGUUUGCCCCAAAAAAAUUAAUCAAAUAGUUUUAAACAAUUUUAUUUAUACGGCACCCCUGUUUAAAUUUUAAAGUUAAAACAUAAAGUUGAUUUUUUUAUAGGUAUUAUUCAAGUCAAACUUCUCAGUAAAUCAGUCUAUUAAUGUACAAUAAGUAUUUAUUUAAAUUCAAAUUAUCGAUUGUAAUGCAAUGAUUAGGAUAAUGAUUUCUUUUUUGUGCAUUAAAUAGUUGAUUUAAUGUAAGAAUAUCGUUUUCUAUUAUCAUUGCCAUUGUUUUGAUAAAUCCUAUUCAUAACCUUGCUUGAAAUUUAAACCAUUGAUAAAACUAACAUUUCACUGUAAACGCAUUAGGAAAAAAAAAAGAAGUAUUUGAAUUGCAAACGGCUAGCUGAAUGGAAUACAUCUGCUACCAAGUCAAGAAUUAAAUCCCUCUCUUUCCCCUUUUUUGGGAAAAUGUUGGAAACUUCGAACACUCUCCAUACGAGUGAGAUAGGAAACUUGGAAAUUUUUUCACUUUAUGUGUACACGGAGAUCCUUUGGUUCAUUUCUUCUAUUUGAGAGAUUAUCUAAAUUCAAUGACAAUGUAGUGUGUUUUUCUCCGUUACAAUUUUUUGACAUCCUAGAUGAAAUCGAAUAUUAAAAAUUUUCUAGAGACCUAAUUAUGUACGUAGGGCAUAUAGUAUAUAUAGGAGGGACCAAAUUAUCAUUCACAUACCUGCUAAAACAUAUAAACAGUACAGAAUGCUUUCUUUUUAUUUAUUUCACAAAAUUUCCAUUUCUUUAGCACACUCGCAAUUAUUACAACUUGGGUUCUUAUUUUGUAACUAAUAUAUUAGGUAAGUUACAACCCACUGGAGAAUCCAAGUAAAAUGAAGCUUAUUACAACAAUACAUAAAUAAGCAUUUGAUAUUCACUUAAAAGAUAUAAUGAUAGGUAAUGUCUAAUUUAAAUUUUAAUUAUUAUAUUUUUUUGAAUUCAAAUUUAGAUGGUCUUCUAAAUAAAAUUACUUUGAAACUACUCGGUACUUUGAAACUACUCGGUCUGGUGGCCCUAGGGCCAAGAAACAAAUUUUAAGGACAAACCUCAAUAAGAGAUCUUAAACCUAAAAUGGAGGUAAUUUUAUAGUCACUAAACCCAGCAUCGGCAAAAAGCUUGGCCCAUUCUUUCUCAUCUCGUUCUGUUCCGGUGGCCAAGACCAUCAUCAACAUAUCAAAAAAGAGUUGUGUUUCAGUAGACUCAUCAUUCCCUUUUUUAUUCUCUCUCAUCAUGUCAAUUAUAAUCACCUUUCCUUUCUUGCCAUCGCUCGUAAUUGCUUCCUUACAUUUCUUAAGAAUCUUCACGCAUUCCUCAUCAUUCCAGUCAUGCAAUAUCCACUGCUUGUCAUCAUCAAUAAUAUUAGAAUUUAGAAUAUUUGAAGAUUCAGAAUGGAAAAUUAAAUGAGUAUAUGAUGUACAUAAGUAAUUCGAAAUCCUUCUAGUAUAUAUAUUAAUUUUAUGCUCAAGAAACCACUUUAGUUAAACUAUAAAAAUUAAUACGCGUACCUUGAGUACAACAGCAUCAGCUGGGGGAAUGGCCUCAAACAUGUCCCCUCCAACAUAUUUAAGAUUGGCCAAAUCGCUUUCGAGGCCAUUAACCACAUGCGGCAGAUCAAAAUCAGUGCAUUCCAAAUUUGGAAACGCUAUAGCUAUGGCCUUGGCCACAGUUCCCGUGCCCCCACCCACAUCCACUAACGAAUUCAAACCUUGGAACACAUCCUUACACUUAUGUAUCACCACUCUUGUUGCCAACCGCGCAUCACUUGCCAUGGCUUCAUUGAAGAAAUUGUUAAUCUUUGGCUCGUCCCCAGCAUACUCCCAAAAACUCUUCCCAUGUGCCGUAUCAAACGGCGCAGGAUCGUCGCUUUGAAACCAAGUGCUCAGUUUCAGCCACGGUGAUAGCAAAAUAGGAUCUAGCAUGGCUUGCAAGAAAGGUGUCACGCUUAAGGGGCUGUCUUUUAGGAGAAGUUUAGAAGCAUUUGUGAGAACAUAACCUUGUUCUUCGUCAUUGUUAUUUCGGCUGCUAUUUAGCGUUUGCUGUGCAAAGAAGCCUGAGUGGAUCAGAAUGCGCAUCAAGCGAUACACACAUCGGGUUUUUGAUGGGUUUAUUGUUAGGGCACUAACAAGCUUGUUGAGGGUCAUGGGUUUGCCAUGUUUGUUGAUAAUAUCUGGUAUGCUUAAUUCAACAGCGCAUUUAAGUGACAUGGAGUUUAUGAAAUUGAAAAUGUGAUUCCAAACAUGAGCUUGAGCUUCAAGUAGCUCAGUAUCGUGCUCUCCAUCGAUCAAAUUCAUCCUUAUUAGGCUAAGUAGGGUUAAUUGAUAUUUGAUGCAAAUCAAUGGAUUUGAGCUCUAUAUAUAAUAGCGAAAGAGUCAUAUAUACUAUUAGGACCCAUUUGAUAUUAAAGUGUUCUUGUUUUUAUUUAAGCUCUUGUAAAAAAAAAAUCUAUAAUUGUUAAAUAAAAGUUGAUGGUGUAGGAUAAAUAUGACUUCUAAAUAAUAAUUUUAACAAAAAUAAUAAAAAUAUACAGAUUUUUUAUCAUACAAGUGUGGAGAAAAUUAACUCAGUUUUCAAAAUACAACAACAAAUGUUUACAAUAUACUUUAAAGAUGCAGUUUCAAAUUAUAACCACCUGACUACAAUACCAAAUAGACCCUUAAUAUGCGUUCAUAAUAAUUUUCUGUCGUGCCAUCCAAAAGAAAAGGCGUUGGAGUGUUUUAAAAAACGUUUUUCUGAAUGCAUCUAAUUGCUAACUAAAUUAAUAACUUGCUAAGGGUUAAAUUCAAAGAAAAAGAUGGGGAUCAAAGAGGUUGUGACAAAAAUUAUUGUGAAAAAUUAAUUUUUUAUUGCCACGUGAUUCACGCCAUCGGCCGAAAAUUAUUGCAAGAUAUGGCUCAAAUAUACGUAUUCAGAUCUGCUAAAUCUUGUUAUCCAAAUAAUAAAAUUAAUUCAGAAGACCCACUUAGAAAAUUAAUUCUGUUAACAUCUCGCGUGCCUAAUCAUCGAAAAAAUAUGCAACUUGCAGUUUGGGGUAAGGCAUUAUUUAUUCCAUCCAAGACGUCUAAGGAAAAGAACAUAAUUGGAGAAAGAAAUAUCAUGUUGAUUAUAAAUGCUUUCGGAAUUAGGCUACAAAGAGAAUCACGUGAAGUGAAGUAAUAUUGAGUGUUUCCUUAAUUAAUAAUACAAACGGACACCAAAUCUGAAUUAUUGUGCUUUUUUUUGGGAUUGAAGUGCUGUAACUUUACAAUUGUUGUGAAAAUAAAUUAUAAUUAUGAAAUAUAAUUUAAUAGUAUGUAAUAAAUAUAAUUUUUAAAUAAUAAUUUUGAUAAAAUUAGUAAAUAUAUAAUAAAAUUUUCAUCAUACGUAUGUAAAAUUAAAUCAAUUUAGCUUUCAAAAUACGGCAGCUAAUAUUUAUCAAAUAUAUUAAUACUGUAGUUUUUAAGUUAUAACUGUCCAAUUUCAAUCUCAAAUAAGCCUUAAGUAUAACAUCUCUAAUUGUAAUCUUGCUGAUUCUGAGGUGAUCUUGAAUAAUGUGUUAGUUGUGUCCCAUGCUGUACAUGUAAACAACAAUCACUUGUACUUUCUAAAUAUAUCAGCCUGCAUGUUUUUCUCAAUUGCAGGAACCUUCUUGUUUCCUUAUUUGACUUUUAAGUCUGUAUCAUAGAAUUCUCCCCGGUAAUAAAAAAUAGUUAAUUGAUUUAAAAAAUAAAGCAUAUGUAUGAUGUCAAAUUAUCUUUAAUUAUAUUAAAUAUCAACAAUAUCCUCAUUGUAACCAUUACAUCUCAUGAUAAGUAACGCAAAAAAUGACACAUCGAUGAAGUUUUUAAGGGUGGGACACUGUAAUUUUUUUCCACGACCUUGUUAACAUAAAUAUUUCUUUAAUAUUGAUUUUGAUGAUAACAAACUUGAUUAAGAUUGUUUCAAAGCUCAAAUUAUUCUUUCAUAUAGUUUUCAUACUAUAAAGGCUUCAUAUUCAAUAAAAAGUAAUUUUAGGAUUUUCAUGUUAAUGAUUUAAAUUGAAAAAGGUUUGAGAACUUUGAAAUUAGCAAAUAUUGCUUGAAAUUCUGAAAAUGGACUUAUUUGACAAGUUUUAUAAAAUUUUGGGUCAUAAUAUAAUUUUAUAAAGUUUGGGGGCCAAAAUAUAAUUUUACAAAAAUAAGUUCACUGUAGCAGUCAUUGUAGAAAACGGUGAUCCUACAGCUUUAUAACAGCUCGCCGACAUCGAGCAAAAAUGAAGAUUAGCCUCUGGACACUAACGACGUUCUGACAUCUUGAAAACGGCGAUCCGACAAUUUGAAAUUCAGCCCAACAGUCAUAUUGACUAGUUAAAUGGCGAUCUGACAUCUAAUUAACGGUGAUCUGACAGUGAGCAGAAAGUCAAUAACGGCUAGUUUCCAGCUCUAACUAUAAAUAAACUCAAUCAAAUUCAAACAAAAAUUAUUCCAACAAUUAUCAUUGAGCAAAUUAUUGAGCGUACAACUUUCAUUGAGCCUAAAAUUCUUAUAUUCAUUUCAUUUACUCACACUUUGGAUUUUUAUUUGUAAUCAAACACAUUGUGUGAGAGAGAUUUAUUUUGUAAUAUUCUUUAAAAUCAAAUUGUGAGAUUGUAAGUGUUGGGAUACACUUGGGUUAAGAGAUUGAGGAUAAUUUCUUAUUGUAAAGGUUUAUUGACACCUUGAAAGUUAAUUGUAAGAGCGGUUGAAGUCUUGGAGGGUUGCUCAGUGGAAUCCUCAAGCCUGGUGAGCUUGGAGGCGUGGACGUAGGCACGGUUAGCCGAACCACGUAAAAUCACGUGUUUGAUUUCUCUUCUCUUCUCUUCUCUUACUCUUUUAUUAUCUUGCUUGAUUAAAUUUAUUAUUUUUGUUCUUAUUAAGGCAUUAGAUUUAAAUUGUCGUGUGCUUUGUUUUGCAUAAAUUUUGAUAACCCAAUUCACCCCCCUUCUUGGAUUGCUUAGAUAGUAUUUCAGACCUAUGCCCAAAUAAUUUAAAAACCAAUACUUUUUGAAAUUGUGUAACAUCAUCUUGUUGGCAAUAUAAAUUGAAAUCAAGUUCAUGGCCCAUGACCUUCAAGUACUGCAACAAAAAUGCUCCACAAUCACCACUAAAAAAAUUCAUAUAAAUCAAUUGUUAGAAAUCACCAUUCUUAUUGUUAAGUCGAAAAAACAAUACACACACACAAACACACACACACACACACACACACACACACACACACACACACACACAUACAUACAUACCCUGAUUUUUGAUGCGGACUGUUACAUACUUGCAUGAUUUGGCUCAUACAAUGGACUGCAAUUUAAUCAUGUUACCAACGCAAACGGCCAAUCCUAAACCACAUUUUCUUCUCAUCAGUCUUCACUUCUCUCAGUGGUAUGCUGUGGAGUAACUGAGCAGAAACUUCAACUCUUUCACAUCCAAAAAAUGACCGAAACAAGAAUGCCUAAAAAUACUUUUUUGCUCCUUAAAGAGUUUAUUUUUUAUAUCCUCCUCUGCAUCUAGUGAUGAUCGGUUAGAAAUCUUGGCUUUAAAGUUUUCAUAUUCCUUGAUUUUCGGUUCCAUUUGCAUAAACAAAAAGAAAAUAUUUGAAUUAUAAUAUAAAUACAAAUAAAGUUGCAUAAUAAUAAAUUCUAAACCAAUCAGAAAAAUUACACGCCAUUCUGGUCGAGAAUAAUUUUCCUUACACGAUUACAGUCGAUUAAAGUAUCCAGUGCACGACUACAGUUGACUAAAAUAUGCAUUGCCCGACUACAGUCAAGUAAAGUAUAUAUUACACGACUACAGUCGAGUAAAAUAUACAUUACACAACUAAAUUUGAGUAUAGUAAAAUCAUUACACGACUACAAUCGAGUAAAGUAUUCAUUACACCAUUACAGUCGAGUAUAUAAACCAUAAAUAAUUCUUUGCCUCUAUGGAAAAUAAAGUAAUGCAUAAAAAAAAUUAUUCUUUGCCUCUAUAGAAAAUAAAGUAAUGCAUAAAAAAAAUUGUCUUCCUAAUAGAUUUAUUAGAUCAAACGGAAGGAUUAUAGUAAAGAUGAACGAGUAGCCAACAUCAAGGCAAAACAAAAUAGAAAAAAAUAAGUCCCUCGUAAGCAUUAUCAAGAACUCUCCUAUUCAUUUCUUGCCAAAUAACCUAAAUAAAAGCUGCACGAUAUAACUUCACAAAGACUUGGCUUUCUACCGUCCAAGAAAAUGUAAUGAUUAUUCAUAAAAAAAAAAAAAAGGAGGCAUAGGAAGUUGGAAUCACUUGAAAAAACUUCACUGCCUUUUUGUUAAUACAACACCCUUAAACAUGAAGCAAUUGACAAAUGAUCAAUUUUCUCAAUCCUUUCUAUAUACACAACACUCCAUUUAGGCGAAAAAUAAGCACUAGAUGUACUUCUUUGUAAUAUAUCAAAAGUGAAUCCUUCCUUAAGCCACAUAUGAAAAACUUGGAAUCUUACAAGGAAAAAGUGUUCAGCUUCAGCUGCAUUUGUACUGGUAAUUAUAGGAAACAAUUCCUUAUCCUAGGGUUUGAAGCACAUCGGAUUUUGAUCUUCACACGAACGGUUAAAUAUGCAUAGAGUUGUGUAAAUAAAUAUUACAAUGUGAAGGAUUAAAAUUAGUAAAUUAAAAAUUGUUAGCCUAUAUGGCUAUAAAUAUUGAUUUUGAUGAUAUCAAACCACAUAUUUUGGUUAAGGAAAAUUGAGAGUAGUUAAACAAAGAUUUAUAUAUUGUGCUUUUAUAAUAGGAAAAUGAUUUUAUGGAGUUAAGUUUUUUUUCAAGUUAUGAACUAAAAUGAAAGAAUUUUACAAUCUUUGAUUUUAAUAAAUAUUGUUUUGAAUUUUGGAUUUAGAAUUUUUUGAAAAUAUUUAAAUCUUUUGGGCUAUUCUAUAAUUUCACAUAGUUUGGGCAAUAUAAUAAUUUCAGAAAAUUUUGGGAAUAACAAGUAUUAUUUUAGAAAUUCUAAAAUUGAACCUAUUUGCAACUAUUCAUAACGUUUUGGGCUAUAAUGCAGUUAUGAAAGUUUUAGAGUAAAACUGUAAUUUUAGAAACCAUUUCACUGUAGCAAAGCGGCUAACCGGAUGUUAUAAAGCGGCAAUCCAGUUAUGGGCAGAAACUCUCUGGAAAGAAAGAGGCAUACCGGAUGUGCAAAAAUUCAAAUUUUUUAACAUAACGGUAACAUGAAACGGCUAACCGGAUUCACAAAAGCGGCAAGCUAGUUAUCACCAGAAAGUCAAUGACGACUAGUUUUCUUCCUCAACUAUAAAUUGGCUCAAAUCAAAUUCAUUUUAGAUAAGACAACCAUUGAUAUUUUGAGCAAUUUUCUGCAAAUCUAAGAGCAUAAACUUUGUAUUCAUUUCACUUAUUCACACAUAUUGAGCUUUCAUUUGUAUUCAAACACAUUGUGUGAGAGAAAGUUUUGUAAUUCUUUUUGUAAAAUCAAAUUGAGAGGUUGUAAGUGUUAGAAUACACUUAGGAUAAGAGAUUGGGAAUAAUCUUUUGUUGUAAAGGUUCAUUGACACCUUGGAAGUCAAUUGUAAAUGUUUGAAGCCUUGGGAGGCUUGGAUAGUGAAAUCCUUAAGCCCGGUGUGCUUGGAGGCGUGGACGUAGGCGGAGAUUGCCGAAUCACGUAAAAAUCCUCGUGUUUGUUUUUCCCUUCCCUUACCCUUUUAUUUUUUUGAUUUAUUGAAUUUAUUGCUUUCGAUUUCAUUAAGGCAUUAGAUUGAAUUAUUGUGUGAUUUGCUUACUUAUUUUUUAAAUACCCAAUUCACCCCCUUUCUUGGGUUGCAUAACUUGUAGUUCAAAAAAUCCAGUCAAAAAAUUCCAUUGAUGAUUACCUCUUGAAGCAAAGCUAAAACCCACCGUGGGUUUUGCAUAAAAUUGUCAAGUUGAAGUUUAAUUUUUUAACAAGAUAUUCAAAUUAAGGUAACAAAAAAUAGUGCAAUAAAACCAGCAUAUGCUAAAAUCAAUUGUAGAUGUGGUGACUCACCUUUAAUUUGGCCAAUUUCCCUUUAAAAUAGCAGAUUUGGGUGUUAAAACAAACAGCAGCAAGAGUGCGAAAUACCAGCAGUAGAAGCAUCGUCGGUGUUCACUUCAUCUCAAAGCCCACCGGAGUGACUUCACCGGAGUUCUUGGAGAACGCUAGUAGUGAAUGAUAAUGCUGGCUGGUCGUGAAUGAAAUUUGGGGGUUGCAGCUUGGUUGUGAAUGCUUGAGAUGAUUUAGGUUUUCAUUUAGGGUAAUUUCAUAUUUGCACUUUAAAAAGGGCAUAUGUGAGGAAUUUUGGAGUAUGAGGGUAUUUUUAGCUAAAUACCCGAUUUUGGGGGUAUGGCCAGGGCAAAUCCUUGCAGAUCCUUACACUUCAACGGCUCACUAUCAGUAUUGGGAUGACACAGGAUCUUCUUAUCAGGGUUAAAGCUCAAUAAGAGACCUCAGACCCAAAGUAGAAUUUAUAUUGUAAUGGCUGAAACCAGCUUCUAAGAAGAGCUUCUUCCAUUCUUUGAUGCUCUGCUCUUUGGCCACACUGAAUAAAGACAUCAUCAACAUUUCACAGCACAAUUGUGUCUCGGUUGAGUCCUUGUCUAUGCUUUGAUCUUCUAUGACCAUGUCUAUGACAAUCACUUUCCCUCCUUUAUCUUUGCUCCCGGCAAUAGCUUCUUUGCACUUCUUCAAUAUCUGCACGCUCUCUUCAUCACCCCAGUUAUGCAAAACCCACUUCAUACAUAUAUUUUGUCAUAUAAAUUUAAUUAACAAGUUAAAAAUCUUGGAAUUCUGUUAAUAUAUAGAAGGGAUAUUAUCAUUUUACUACCAAAGUUUUACUGACAUAUCAUGUCAGUACCAAGAUUUUCUGAAAAGUGCAUUUUACUACCAAAGUUUUGCGCCGUUAUCAAUUCACUACCAUUCCGUUAACAAUGUUAAAAAUUUACUGAUGUCAUAAGGGCAUCAAAGACAUUUCCAGCUGUAAGAGUAAAAUUGUCUGUUAAUUUGAUAGAUAAAUUAUUAUUUUACUACCAAGUUUUUAGGGGAAUUAUCAUUUUACUACCAAUUUUUAGGAGAAUUAUCAUUUUACUACUGAAUUUUUAGGGAAUUAUCAUUUUACUACCAAACUCUUGGGGGUAAAAUCGACUUUUAACUCAAUUUCCGUUAAACAUUAACUUUUUCUUAACAGAAUGGUAGCGAAUUGAUAACGGCGCAAAACUUUGGUAGUAAAAUGCACUUUUCGGCAAACCUUAGUAUUGACAUGAUAUGUCAAUAAAACUUUGGUAGUAAAAUGAUAAUUUUCCUAUAUAGAAAGACAGUAAUACUAGAUCUACAAACUCUUUGUGCAAACUGAUGUAGUAUAACAAAGUUGAUUUGAUAAAAUAAAAAAAAUAAAAUAAAAAAUAAAAAAUUCCACAUGAUGUAUGUAAUUAAUUUUCAUUAAUAUUUUAUAUUUGAAUGAGUCUAUUUCAACUUGAUUUUUUUAUAAAAUCUUUUACUCAAAAUUUGAGCCAUUGAUCUUAUGCAAUACAAUAAGGGAGGAAUUUUGACAUCAUUAAAUGUUAUUUUGACAUUCAAUUUAUCUAAAAUUAGAUUGUAU
RNAcentral lists this long non-coding RNA (129007 nucleotides) under Citrus x clementina. Its description in RNAcentral is "Citrus clementina (C. clementina) long non-coding RNA (CCLE_LNC005312)". The record is from RNAcentral. Lineage: Eukaryota; Viridiplantae; Streptophyta; Magnoliopsida; Sapindales; Rutaceae.